RNAcentral lists this long non-coding RNA (172776 nucleotides) under Coffea arabica (coffee). Its description in RNAcentral is "long non-coding RNA (CARA_LNC007320)". The stretch from base 165741 to 165846 matches the Rfam family "Plant small nucleolar RNA R71". Lineage: Eukaryota; Viridiplantae; Streptophyta; Magnoliopsida; Gentianales; Rubiaceae. The record is from RNAcentral.
GCUCCCUCAUAAAGUUUUAGUAAUUGAUCCUUCACCGGAACCAAGAAACUGGUGUAAGAUUCUGUUAGCUCCAUAAUAAUAUGUAAAAGAUCAUCAAUAAAUUCGGCCACUAGGUGCUUAUUCUUCUCCAGGGCUAAAGUGUGUGAUGAUGGUGACAACUUGGACGCUGUCAAGACGUGGAUAUAAGUUUCUCGGACUUGGAGAUCAACGGGAUCAAUCUUCUUUUGUAUCAGUUGAGAAAUUUCAGAUUCCAUCUCGUUGCACACCUUUUCAUCAUUUCUCUGAAACCAAGAUGUAGAGAUCAGGCUUGCAGCAUUAAUGGCCACAACUUCAAUGUGAACUAACAGAUCUACUAAUUGCUGACCCUUAACACCAUGUAAUGUUGCAAAGCAAAUGAAACUCUUCAAGAACAUUAGCUUCUCUUGAAGGGUUCCCAUUACACUUUGCAGAGCUCCAUCAUCCCUGUAAUUUCUGGUGCAAAGAUGCCUCAGAUUCUCUAAAAUGGAAUCAGUGAUAUCCAUAACCAGUUGGAAAUCUCCAAGCAAGUUGUGAAGCAAUAAACUACAGAUGUUGGAUUCCUUGAUGUCUGAAUCAAAAAUCAACCGCAUAUUUUCCUCGAAUCUGCCGAGCUUGCGUUUGGUGUCAUCAAGCGAUACUGCUGAGCCAAGUUCAUGCUUUAUUCCACUAACCAGAUCCUGAAUCCUGAAAGAGAUACUGCUGAGCCUCAAACUGUCAGACUCAGCAUCACCCCUGUCCUCCUUAUCAUAUUCCAAACACAUACACUCUUUGCUCCUCUUCCUCCUAAACUUUCUAAUAUACAGAUCAAAUGUUUCCAAUAGACUUAUCCCCAUCUUCAGCUCCCAGAUAUGAGAUUCGAACAGACAUUUGGACGCACCGUCUAAGUCGUCCAGAUACUCCCGAGCAACAUCGAAGCAACUAGUGCUACUGCUGAAGGAGAUGUUCGUCAUGGUACCUGCUUUUCACUGAGAAAUGAGAUUUCUGCCUAUUGUAGCCAUUGAUAUUCAAGAUCAACAACUUUCUAAUGAUCUAACAAUAUUCACAGUUUGCCGUCAAGACUCUUAUCUCUCUGGUUUUUUUAUUCUUUCUUCUUUUUUGUGUGUGGCAAGGUGGUGCUAAAAUAUUGCAAGACUUUACCUUCUUCCUCUCGAAACUUUGUCAAGGGAAGCUCGCAUCGAUACAACAGGCAUAAGCUGUUGGGGUCCCCAUAUCAAAGAUUAAAACAUUAGAGAUGCAUUCAGCUGAGGCCUGAUGGCUUUGUAAUUUGCCACAACCUUUUUUACCGCAACAAUAUUUUUUACCACAAAACGUGAAAGGGAAAAAAAUAGAUGAAAGAAAAUCAAUAUAUAGUAUUGUAGUUUCAAUCAAAUCCGCCAGCACUAAAAAUGAACAAAAUGAGAAAUAUCAAUUAGGUUAGCGGUCAAAAUAAACAAUAGAAAAAUCAGAAGAAAAUGAUCCAUGGCUAUUGUUUAAGAAUGUAUAACUAAAUACAUUUAAGGAUUUUAGAGAAAAUUGUUUUUUAAUUGCUAAUGUAUGUGAGUGCUGAUGUUUUAAUGCUUCUUUUUUCUAAUUUUUUAAUUUGGCAACUUCUCCAAAUUUAAAAAGUUGUAUAAUAAGAAUAACAAUUUUACUCCUUUUCCCGUGUGAGAUAACUUGAGCCUGUAAACCAUCUAAAUCAUUUUUUCUUUUUUUGGUUUUCUACAUGCACCGAGAAAUAAUAACAACCUACAAGUACGAAAAAUCUUGUGAAGUGAAAACAAAUAUUAAUAGGGCACAUUAUAGUUUACCCUCCUGUGGUUUAGAGUUUUUUUACAUAACCCUCCUAUGAUUUUAAAAGUUAUGCAUAACCCUCUCAUGGUUUGGAGUAAAGUGUCAAAGUGACGGAAAUUAUCAUUGUAAUGGAACAACUAAAAUAUCAAAAAUACUCUUAUGUAAAAUUAAAAAGUAUUUAUUAACCAAGGGGGUUAUGUGUAUAUUUUGAAAACCAUAAGAGUGUUAUACGGUAAAGUAUUAAACCAUAAAGGGAUUAUAUGGUAAAACAUAAAAACUAUAUGAGAUUAGUUUGUCAUGUAUUUAUAAGGGUAAUUUCGACAUUUUUAAAAGCUACGAAGGACUAUUUUAGUUAUUUUGACACUUUAAUUCAAACCAUGAGAGAGUUAUGUAUAAUUUUGAAAUCAUAGAGGGGUUAUGUAGAAAAACAUUAAACCAUAGAAGGGUAAAGCAUAAUUGGCCCAUAUUAAUAUCAUAGUUACUCAUCAUAUAAUAAAUAUCACAUGAAAUUCGUUCACAUAAUUGCUUCACCUAAAAUCGAUAGGUCAGGGGUUCAAAUCAUCAAGGAUUAAGUGAGACACCACUAUUAAAUCCUCUUUUUUUUUUUUUUUUUUUUUAAAAAAAAAAAAAAGGCUUCAGUACUUUUAGCACUGUAUGUAUUCAAAUCAAAAUUUGAUUUAUCUAAUGCUGAGUCAAAUAAAAAAGCUGAAAUUUCCUCCUAUUACGUCCCAGGCAUAAGUGAAGCGAUGAUAUGCGAGUAUGAAGUGUCAAGAACACAUGGAAGCCAUGUACAUUUCAACCACAAAAUAAUAAAUGUGUGGAAAAAAGAAAAGAAAAAGAAAUUCAGCACUUACUUUGGAGAGAAUGACCGCUAUGGCAACAAGUGAUCUGUUGAAUCUGCAGAAAUUCCAUUUAUAUGGUGAAGCCACGUUUAAAAAGAAAAACUUUAAACUUAAAAAAAAAAACGAAAUUCAGCACUCACUUGAGAGAAAAUGAAAUCCCUGGCAAUAGCUGGUGAUCUAGUGAAUAUGCAAAAAAAUUCCCAGUAUAUCUUGCACCUACUCACUCAAAAUUAAGUUCAAGAAAAAGAAGAACAUUCCGAGGAAGAUGAUGAUUUCAACCAAAAUGAAAGAACUCGUACAUGCAAGACUUUUUGCAGUGAGAAAGUAGUACUGGUAGCAGUCGGUAAGGGCUCACUAUUUUGUUAUAAGGAACUCUCUUUGAUUUUUGCGCGUGUGGUGGGGACGAGGGAUGGUGGGCGUGGCACUGAUAAGUAUUACAAGACUUUUCCUUCUUCUUCCGCGUGAAGCUUUAUCCAGAGAAGAUGCUGUGUUAAUCAAGAAUUUGGCAAGUGUGGCAGAUGACUUUGACACGUGUGGUAGAAUACGUGUUUGCUCUAAAAUUUCCUUUAUGUAAUUCUUGGUCACUGGGUAGAACAAGCAUGCUAUAUCAGUAGGCUCAGAUUUCACGAUAACUGUGGACAGAUAUUGAGUUAAUCAAUCUCAGAAAUUUUGAUGACCAAAUGACUAGAAAUUAGAGAUGCAGCACAAGAAAUGGCAUGUUAAGUUAUCGUAAAACGAUCAUUAGCAUAUUUGGUGUAAGUUUGUAGAGUUUUGAUAUAAUUUUGAAUUUUAUACAAAUUUAGUUAUAUGAGAUGAUAAAUUUAAGGGUAAAAAAUCUCAGCGGCCACUAAACUAUUGGUCAGAUCAUAUUUUGACUAUCAAACUAUUUUUCGUUAAUAAUUGGUCACUAAACAACUUAAUCAGUAAACUCAUGACAUUUAGUCGAUAAUUGUUCUUAAUCUGUAAAAUUAGCAAUUAAUCUGUGAAAUAGGAUCGCAUAAUUAUUGGACAAAAUUACCCUGCACUUUGCCACGUAUACAGCUAAUUUCACAUAUUAAGAGCAAUUAUCGACUAAAUGGUCACGGAUUUACUGAUUAAGUUGUUUAGUGGCCAAUUACUAACGAAAAAUAGUUUGAUGGCCAAAACAUGAUCUGACCAAUAGUUUAGUGGCCGCUGAGGAUUUUUGCCCUAAAUUUAAAUUUACAACCGAUUUGGACGAUUUUACACCAAAAAGGGGAAGAACUAGACCAACCAGUUGGAUUGGACAAAUUCCAACUUAUGAGACCAGAGACAUAUAUGGUUUGACUAAUUGUUACCUGUUGAAUAUCUGGUGAAAGGAGUCUCAUGUGGUUUUUUAAAAAGUAUAAUUAAUUUGAAAGAGUGCUUAAAUGCAAAACAUAUAAUAAUUGGGAUUGUGUAACGAAUAUCCAUGCCGAUUGGAAAAACAAAACCAUAUAACUAUAAAUAUAAAUAAAUAAAUAAAUGAUUGACUAUAUAUAUGUUUGUAGUAAUAUGUUUGGAAAAAAAUCCAAAUUCAAAUUUAUGCAACUUUCGUGUGAUCUAACAACUAUAACACAUUGCCAUCAAGAUUCUCUUCUUUUGCAUACACGCUGCCUGCAAGGAUCUCUUUUUUGCUUGUGUGGUGGAGAGGGAUGGUGGGGCAUGGUACAGAUAAAUAUAGCAAGAAUUUUCCUUCUUUCACGUGAAAUUUUUUGUGUAUGUGGUGGGGAGGGAAGAUGGUGGGGCAUGGUGCUGAUAAAUAUUGUAAGACUUUUCCUUCUUCCACUUGAAACUUUAUCAAGAGAAGCUGUGUUAAUCUAGGUUUACAUGCGUGAUUAAUGCGGUAGCGAAAGCAUAAAAAUAGAAGGGGUUUCAUGAACACCUUUCAAAUGACAAUCAUUACACGAACAAAACCCAGCAAUAAAUCAAGAUUCAUAAAAAUAAGAGAAAUUUCUCAACAAUUUGAUAAAACCAACAAUAUUUGAAUUAUUAGGAGGAAAUUCUUUUUACAAAAGCCCUAAAGAAAAUAAUAUGUAAAGUUUUAAACAAAAUCAACUACGUGUCUGAUGCAUUUAGGAUCCUUAUUGACACAUUUAAUACUAAUACUAAUAUUAUUAAUUAAAAAUAAAUAAAAAUAUAGAAAUCUACCCUAAUUAGAAUUCUAAAUAAAGUAUUAACAAUAUAGAUGAAGAAUUCCUGAACCCAAGCAUGCUAUAUCAGAAGGCUUAGAUUUGUUUUUCUCGUAAUGAACCUCAGAAGCGUAAUCAUAUGUUGCCGCAAUUUCGCAUAAACAGUUGACUGACUACAUGAGUAUGUGAUGCAUAUUGAGUUAAUCAAUCUCAGAAUUUGAUCGGUUACAAUUUCAUUAUUUAUUUUAUUAUUAAUUUUUCCUUUUACCUGACCUGAUGUGGAUUUAUUAUUAGAUUUUACUCACUUUUCGUAAUUUACAUUUAUUUCAGGGAGUAGAAUAAAAAUAUCACAAUCAAGGCCAAUUUAACAGUCAUCGGGAAAGAAUUCAAAUGGAAGGUCUUCAGGGAUAUUUUGGAACAAGGAGACACAAGUCUUUUUUAGUAAUUUGCGGAAGACAACAUUCAAAAAAGAAGCACAAAAGGUUGGAGUCGUUUCUCUCCUGGUGGGCCACCGCACAUGAGAGCCGAGCAUUAGAAUAGAUUAGUAAUUCAAUAGGUACAGGGAGUAGCAGAAGACUUUUCUUGGGCUUUGGACAAUUUUGUCCUUUAGUGGUUUUGAGUCCACGUAUGUUACACUUAGGGUAGAAAUAAGGGGUCAUCAUUUUUUUUGACCAAGUAGUCUUUUUUUCCAUUAUUCGGUUUUCCACCUUUUUUUCCUCCUUAAUUGGGAGAAUGUACGUCGCAACUAUUUAUGCAGUUUUGUAUGGGAUUUUUUCAUCAAUAAUGAGCUAAACCCCUUUUUCUAAUCAAGGAGUAACGGAGGCUUUGACUCGCCUAAAAUUAUGAGAUCGAUUUAAUUUUACCUUUUUCUUUUAUUUAUUGGUAUUCGUAUAUUCCUUGGUUACAGUACUUAUGAUUAUUUAAUUAAUUGAUUGUCUUGGAUCCGGAUAAUUAAUUAAUUUGAUAAUCUAUUGUCAAUUAGAACGUUAAAUCCGUAAUUAUUUAAUUGUCUCAAAAUAGUGAUAACUGGCAUGAUUGGGUUUGUGUCAGGGGAAUACGCGGGUUAAUUUAAAAUAACCCUGGUAGUGUGUUAUUUGGUUAGAAUAGGACUCCUCUAAUACGUAAAGCAAUUGGGAAAUUAAAUCUUACGGGCGUACCUAAGAUUAUUUCUCAAUUAGAGUAGUGAUUAACGGGCGUACCUUAAUCACCGACACAGUAAGGAGGGGUUGAUUGUCAUCGCUUGUUUGGCAGUUAUAACCUAUUUAUUAGUAAAUAAUUGGAAUUGCCUUUGUUUCAAUGAUCAAUUAGGUGAACCAUUGCUGAAAUUAUUCCUUGGCUAGAUCCUUAAUUAUCAUUCAUUUGAUUUUAGUAAAUUGUUAUUUAAUUUCUAGUUGGCUAUUUUAUUUUUAUUAUUUUACUUUUAGUUGAAUUGCUUAAAUUGUCACCCCUGAUAUAAAAACACCCCCUUGUCACUGUGAAUUUGAAAAGAAACAAUUACUCCCAAUCCCUGUGGAUUCGACCCUACUCAUCGCUAUCUACAAAAAUUACUUUUAGUUUGAGUAGGUUUUAUUAUUGCACAGGCCAACAACCUGUCAAUUUUUUACGCCGUUGCCGGGGAUUGGGGCUAGUUAUUUGUUUCUUUUUUAUUUCAUCUUGUUUUCAUUUUUUUAUUUAUUUUUCUGUUUUUUUAUAUAGUUUAUGGCUGCUAACAUUCUAUAUUUUGAUGAUAGACUGGACUUUAUUCCUGAAUGGGGUUAUGAGACUCGUGUUUUUCCUAAUGAUCAAUGGGCUGCUGCAAAUUGUGAAACUUAUUUUGCCUCAAGUUAUUCAACCAACAUAUACCCCACAUUUCAAGAUAAUCUAAGUACUCCAAUUGAUACUUUUGGAGAUUUUUCACCUCGAUUUCAAACGUGGUAUGACCCUUACCCAAACAGGUAUGAUCAAGGAGGGUGGGAUAAUUUCAAUUUUAAUUAUGCGACCGGGCCAAUGAAUUUUCAACAGCAAGAGUCUCAGCAAUCAUCCUCCGUGUCAGGUAUGUCUCUUGAAGAAAUGAUUGAAUUACUAAUUGUUAAUUCAUAUCGAUUUCAACAGGAGAUGCAAGCGAUGGUGGAUCAAGUGCAACUAUUGACAUCCGAGAUAGCAGAUCAAGUACAUCUAUUGACAUCCAGGAUAACGCGAUUGGCUUCUCACCUUGAAGAAUUGCCUGCACAAACCAAUACCAACCUUGAGGAAGAUGAGAGUGCAAUUGUCCGGCCAAAUGACAUGAAACUGCAAGAGUUUCAAAAAAACAGAUCUAAAGCUACAGUUGAAAAGGAAGUUGAAGUGCAAGAAAUGAGACCCCAGUAUCAACUCGUUCAAGUGAAUGAAUCCAAUGAACAAUCUUUAAAUGCGGUGACAUCUCAUCCAUUCCUUCAUCAAUAUUCUCCUGACUCUUAUUGUUCAAUUCCUGCUAAUGAAAUUGACUUUAUUAUACCAGAAAAUUUUAAAUUUCAUGACAGGAAUAAAUUAAGAGUGAUCAUGGCAAGAUAUCUUGAACCAAUAAAUGCAAGUGAGGGAGGAAUGAAUGGAGAAUUCAAAUUAUCGUUGACUUGUUUGACACCAUUUAUUAGUCCAAGGAAGACCGUAGCUCGUGUGCUCAAAGAUUACUCUAUUUACGAGGGCUAUCGGACUAUAUAGAGGAUGAAGCAUUGAAACGAGCCACAAGAUUUUAUCCUCCCUGAACAAAUAUGACAAUGUCUAGCCAAAAACAUUAAAAAAAUGCGCUCAUUGGGAGGCAACCCAAUUUCUUUUAGUUAUUUGUUUAUUUUUUGUUCGUUAGUUUAAAUAUAUUUUUUCUUGGAUUUGACUGAUUUAUGGUUUCAAUUUUCGUUUUUGAUGAUUCAUAGGUAUCUCUUUGACAUGACGCGCCCGCGCCAACUGGGCGCGUGACACAUUGCGAUCUCCUGGUGCUUGGUAAAAAGGGUUUCGAUCUCCUUGACGUGCCCGCGUCAAGUCACAUGGAGAGUUCACGGUCAGAAGGGUUCUUGCCCUCAUGACGUGCCCGCGUCCAGUCACCUAGAAAGCUCCUCCUUCCAUGCCUUCAUGGCAUGCCCACGUCACGUUCGCGGGAGAGAUAAGUAUUUAAAAAACUCAAGAACGGUUGUUGAUUGUCGGUUAAUCUCUGCUUUUGAAUCUCGAAAAUAAAAUUUGCCAAUGAGAAAAAAUUUUCAAAAAAAAAAAUUUAAAAAAUAAAAUUUUUGUUUCACCGUAGCUUAGAUUUUCAAAGUGUAAUUUUUUUUAAAAAAAUAAAAAUAAUUUCUCUUUCUUUUUCUUUUUCUUCUUUUCUUUCUUUUUCUUUCUUUCUUUCUUAUUCUUUCAUUUUCUUUCUUCUUUCUCUCUUCUCCCUUGUUUCUUCCUCUUGCUCGAUGCAAAACCUUUGUCCGCCGCGCCAAUCGAUCCGCCACCAUCUCCUCUGUUGCCGUGCGCCGCCACUCUCCGUUUGACCGCCAUUUCUUCGAUCCACAUCGCCGCAUCUCUCUCUCUCUCUUUGCCCACCUAGCCCGCGCACGCCGCCCAUUCUUUCCCCCUCACGGCUCUCUCCCUUGCGCGCUCAACUUCUUCGCGGGCUACCCACGUGGCCACCUAGUCAAGUCACCGCCGUCGAUCCCACCCUCGCACGCACGCUGCCACCACUAGCUGUCCUUUGGCCGCCAACAUCAUUCUCUGUCACAGCGAUUAUUUGGCAGCUUCCAGUGGUGAAGGUAUUCGAACUCCAAUUCCAAGUCUUUGAUAUUGUUUGGUGUUGCUUGUGCGAUUAACUGUCCAACUGGAGUCAUUUGAUGAAAUUUUUGGUGGGUUGAAAUUUUGCAUUUGUCUAUUGAUCAUUGGAAGGCAUCUCUGCCAGUGUUUCGAUUACUGAGGUUUUGGUUCAAUUAUUUCUGAUAUUGCCUAUUGAAUUGGGGCCCUGUGCCGCGUGAUUUACUUUGUGAGAUUGGUGAUCACUAAUUGCAUUAUUGGGGACAUUCUGGCGAUUGGUUCAUAUUGCUAAUUUGGGGACCAUUGUCUGUGCUUUCGAUUGUUUUAUUUGUGCAUGUGGUUGUCAAGCUGCUCGAAGUCCUUUUUUGGCUGAUUGUUGACUUCAGUGGUCGGGGUUGAAUACUUAUCUUGUUGGUAUUUUUCUUUGGGUAAUCUUUCUUUGCUGGUGGGUGACUACAUACUUGGCGCUAUUGCUCUACUACUACUUUGCUAUGCUCUAGCAAUUUCUUUGGUUUUGGAUUGUGAUUUGCACCAGUGGUACUGGUGGGGUAAUUGGAUCUCAAUUGAGUACCUCUAUUUGGUUGGCCGAGUUAUUAUUGUCAAAUUUCUAAGCUAUUAUUGUUGAAAUUGCUGAUUCUGAGUUAAGACAUUAACUGGCCAACUGGAGCCAUUUGUUGAGAUUUUGGGUGUACAGAGUCUUGCAUUUGCUGGUUGAAUUGAGUUAUGAUGUCUCAGAACUUGGGCGCGUACUUCCACUACAUCGGUUUCCCUCCACCGUCCCCGCCUGCCUUGUAGCCACUCGAGAGGGAAGUUUCGUUGUCCUCUUCGCUUUAAUUGCUUUAAUCCCUCCAUUGAGGACAAUGUAGGAUUUAGGUGUGGGGAGUACAGCUGUGCUAGUUUUUUCUAGUUUUUAAUUUUCAGAUGUUCUUCUUUUAUUUUUAGUUUGUUAUUUGUCUAGUCUUCGUUUACUUUCUUUUUUUAAUGAAUACCGAAGUUUGAUGUUGGAUUGUUGUCUGUAAUUCUACUAUUGCCAAGUUUUAAUAAUAAAAGGGUAUCAAGUUAAUGUGGUUUAGUUUAGGGACUUCUUUUUGGUGAAUAUCAGUAAUUGCUUGACUCUUUUAUUUUUUGGUUAACUAUUCUAGGCAUAGGAAAUAAUUGUUGAUUUUUUCAUGUGAAUUGGUCCGAUUAUUAACUUUAGUUCUCCAUGUUUGAAAAUUUGAGACUGGCUGUUGUUACUAUUGUGUUGUUUUGUAGUUAUCGUACUAUAUGAGUAUAAAUAAGAGUUGACUGUACUCCGCUAGUUGCUACUACCGAGUAACCGGGGAUUUUCACCUAAAGUGUCGAUUCUCUCGUCAAAAAGUAGUAAAUGCUAUAAGUACGUGGUCACGUGGCGAUAGAACCUGAGUAACCGAGUUCUUUCAUCUGACAAAUGUCAGAGUUUGCGUUAAAAGGCUCCCAUGGCUAUAAGACUAAGUCUCGUGUUACUAUUGAAAAAAAAAUGAAAAAAAUGAAAAAAAAGUGAUGGUUGUGUUAAUGUGUGAUAAAAGUCAGCUUGCCGAUUUAUGGAUUUAAUGUUGAGAUUUUGGUUAAUAGUUGGACCAUUUGCUGAUAAAUGUUGAGCGACCACUCCUUUUUCUUAGAUUAGUUAACCUGAAAUUGGAAGAGUUUAUGGUUUAAAAGCUAAUCGGAGUGAUGUUUUUUGGACUUGACCAUUGAUGCUUGAUUAUUAUUUUUCUUGGUAUCUUGGCAAUUUGGUGGAUAGAGCAAUAGCCACUAUCACAUAUUGGUGUUUGUUUGUUGUUCUCAUGCUUGAGGACAAGCAUGGUUUAGGUGUAGGGGGAAUUGAUCGGUUACAAUUUCAUUAUUUAUUUUAUUAUUAAUUUUCCCUAUUAUCUGACCUGAUGUGGAUUAAUUAUUAGAUUAUACUCACUUUUCGUAAUUUACAUUUAUUUCAGGGAGUAGAAUAAAAAUAUCACAAUCAAGACCAAUUUGACAGUCAUCGGGAAAUAAUUCAAAUGGAAGAUCUUCAGGGAUAUUUUGGAACAAGGAGACACAAGUCUUUUUGGGUAAUUUGCGGAAGACAACAUUCAAAAAAGAAGCACAAAAGGCUGGAGUCGUUUCUCUCCUAGUGGGCUGCCACACAUGAGAGCCAAGCAUUAGAAUAGAUUAGUAAUUCAAUAGGUACGGGGAGUAGCAGAAGACUUCUCUUGGGCUUUGGACAAUUUUGUCCUUUAGUGGUUUUGAGUCCACGUAUGUUACACUUAGGGUAGAAAUAAGGGGUCAUCAUUUUUUUUGACCAAGUAGUCUUUUUUUCCAUUAUUCGGUUUUCCACCGUUUUUUCUUCCCUAAUUGGGAGAAUGUACAUCGCAACUAUUUAUGCAAUUUUGUAUGGGAUUUUUUCAUCAAUAAUGAGCUAAACCCUUUUUUCUAAUCAAGGAGCAACGGAUGCUUUGACUCGCCUAAAAUUAUGAGAUUGAUUUAAUUUUACCUUUUUCUUUUAUUUAUUGGUAUUCGCAUAUUCCCUGGUUACAGUGCUUGUGAUUGUUUAAUUGAUUGAUUGUCUUGGAUCCGGAUAAUUAGUUAAUUUGAUAAUCUAUUGUCAAUUGGGACGUUAAAUCCGUAAUUGUUUAAUUGUCUCAAAAUAGUGAUAACUGGCAUGAUUGGGUUUGUGUCAAAGGAAUACGCGGACUAAUCUAAAAUAACCCUAGUAGUGUGUUAUUUGAUUAGAAUAGGGCUCCUCUAAUACGUAAAGCAAUUGGGAAAUUAAAUCUUACGGGCGUACCUAAGAUUAUUUUCUCAAUUAGAGUAGUGAUUAACGGGCGUACCUUAAUCACCGACACAGUAAGGAGGGGUUGAUUGUCAUCGCUUGUUUGGCAGUUAUAACCUAUUUAUUGGUAAAUAAUUGGAAUUGCCUUUGUUUCAAUGAUCAAUUAGGUGAACCAUUGCUGAAAUUAUUCCUUGGCUAGAUCCUUAAUUAUCACUUAUUUGAUUUUAGUAAAUUGUUAUUUAAUUUCUAGUUGGCUAUUUUAUUUUGAUUAUUUUACUUUUAGUUGAAUUGCUUAAAUUGUCACUCCUGAUAUAAAAACACCCCAUUGUCACUGUGAAUUUGAAAAGAAACAAUUACUCCCAAUCCUUGUGGAUUCGACCUUACUCACCGCUAUCUACAGAAAUUACUUUUAGUUUGAGCAGGUUUUAUUAUUGUACAGGCCGACGACCUGUCAUAUGUUGCCGCAAUUUCGCAUAAACAGUUGACUGACUACAUGAGUAUGUGAUGCAUAUUGAGUUAAUCAAUCUCAGAAUUUUUGAUGUACAAAUGACUAGAAAUUAGAGAUGCAUUCAGCUAUGGGCCUGGUGGCUCUGUAAUUUGCAAUGACAACAAAUUCAUAACUAAUAUCUGCAGCACUGCAGUAUUCAAUCAGAUUUGGAAUAUGGGAAAAAUGAACAAAACAAGAAAUAUUAACCAGAUUAGCAAUCAAAGUAAACGGUAGACAACUCAGAAGAAAAUGAGCACCAGAGGUUGAAACGAGUAAAAGACACUUUCUAAGAUCAAUGGCUACCAUUACACAAGUAAAAAUAGGGAUCUUCUUGAAAUACAGCAUAGGCGAAUAGAAAGUUCCAUGAAUUGGGAAUGCAUACGAAAAAAUGAAGAAUUCACAUAUGAUAACUCAUUUUCUCAUUUCGAGUACUUGACUCUUGAAUUGAGACCAUUCCGCUAUUAAUCUGUGUUAUUGGCAGGCAUUGUUUUACAGAAAGAAGUGGUGGUAGCGCCUGGGACAAGAAGCAUCCCAUCACAUGAAAAAAAAUAAUGAACAUUGUAUCAUUGGUACAAAAUAUUUUCCAAGAAUUAUAUUUGGAUAAAUUUCAUUUUGACCCCCUAAACUAUUUGUAGUUUCCCAUUUCAAUCCCUAAAUUUCAAAAUGGGACACUUAAGUCCCCAAACUACUGAAUCCGUCCCAAUUAAUUAAAAACAUUGAUAGAAUCCACAAAACCAUCAGAGUUUUUGCAUCAUGUAAAACAUGUACUAUUGACCAAGGGCAAGGAUGGAAAUUCAAAUAAAAUAUAUUUAAAAAGAAAAGGGAAUUUAUUUUAUCCAGCACAUUCGGGUCAUAUAAUCGACCCGAUCCAAUUCAUAAAAGGGAAGUGAUGUUUCCUAAGAAAAUAGAGAGCAAUUGGCUGAAUCUCCAAAUAAGAGGUAAAAACUAAGAAGAAAAGAGCAUAUGAAGAUAAGAAAAGAGACAAAGGAAAGAUCGCACAUUAAAUUUAUCAUGAUUAAAUUUUUUGCAUGUUAGAAAGACACUCCGCCUACUUUGCUUUAAGAUGUCAAAGAAUCACUAUCCUUGUGAUGAAUUUGCUCCAACAAUAAAGACAAUCUUCUACAGGAUAUAAUAAAACUGUUCUCUUGAUUUCUCAAAAGAAAGUGUAAAAAUCGUACAUCAAUUUUGAUUGAAUCCUCGUUAUAGAUGUUAAAAGAGGGUGUUUGAAGAGUUAUUACUGUAUUUUAUAUAGCGGAUACAAGUACCGGAGUAGGAAUGGCCAAACAUUUGAGUCCAAACGGGCAUAGUGUCUAGAGAGCUAUCAUUAAAUCUUGACACAGUUCGGACUUCAAAACAUUUAGUUUGGCCCACGAACAUCCACUUUGACAGAUUUGCAUAGUUUUGGCAAACUACUCAAUAAUUCCCCACUAAUUUGCAAAACUUAUGUAUCUUAACCCAUGGAGUCUUCAAUAAUACAACUUUAACUGAUGAAUCUUAAGCAUAAUUAGAAGUAUCUCUUGAUUUAAACUUCCAACUGGUGUAGGUGAUUUAAAUUUUUAAUGGAGUUGUUAGAGUUCUUAAAUUGAACUAUAACUCUUAUAUGUCAAAGACGAAAACACAACACAAUUAAUUAUUGUCUUCUUUUCUCAAGAGGUUAAUAUGAGCUUUAAUUAGAGCUAUUUUAGCCACAUGCUAAUCCUAGUUUCACAAUCAUCUACAAAAGUAUACUCAAACUCUUGUUGAAAUGGCAUCACUUCAAUACUUAUACAGGUAAAAUUGUACUUGUAGAGUUCUAUGUUUAUGUCAUGCAAAAUCAACAGCAAUCCCACUCAUGGGAGUACUGUAAAGUAAAUAUUAUUGACUAGGAACUUAUGUUAAGCAAAUUUCUUUAUGAUUUACAAAGUCAAAGCUAUCGAACCAGUGAGGGUGUUUCUGCCUAAGUCCAAAUGAGACAGAUAUUCGAAAGAAAACAAUGACCUUGCAAUAUUUCCAAUGAAUUUAUUGCUCUUCAAACUGAUGUAUGUUAUGUGUGCGUAAUUCAUCUAACAAUCAGGAAUUUCUCUUGAUAAAGAAUUCUUUUUAAGAUCUAGAAUUGCAAGGCCUGAUUUUCCAUUCUUCAUUUCACACAAAAAGUGAGAAAUACCUCCUGAAAACAAAUAGAUUGAAAGGUCUAAUUGUUUCAGAGAAUGAGAAAUUGAUUGUGCUAGUGGACCAUUGAAUCUGUUUGACUAUCAUAAAUAUAUAAUCUUUCAACAAUUUCAGAGAUGUUGAACUCUUACCAUGAAGUUGAUUGUGAGAAAGAGACACGAAUCCUGUUGUUGAGUUGAAUAACCAAGGGGGAUAGUAUUUGAAAUUCCUGUGGAAGACAAAUUCAAAUACCGAAGGGUUUUUUGAGACAUAUAGGAAAUUGAAGACUGAGAUUCCAAGAACCUAAUCCAAGUCUUUCAAAUGUGCUAAAAGAGAUGUUGGCAUUAAAUGGCAUGGUGGUUUUUAUCCUCCACUUUCUAAGCACUGUUACCGGUCAGAUUUUGUGGCCUUCAAUGCCAACAAUGUUUCUUAUCGUCCUAACACUGCUAGCUUCGCUUAUCGAUAUUUCCAGUGAAGAAAUCGAGAAGUUGCCCCACUAAUGGGGAAGGUAUUUUUUCAGCAAAAUUGAGCAUCUUAAAUUGUUGCCUUUCUUUACUUUAUUGUUAUAUUUCAAGUGAAAGAUAUCAUGUCAAUUUAUGGACCAUGGACGAAUUAAUAUGAAGUGGACAGAACUUGGACCAAGUUAAAAUCUCAUUUGAAAUUUCCGACAUUUGGUGUUGAACACCGAUCAUAUAUAUGCUCAAACCAAAGCAGGCCACUGCAAAUGGUGCAGCUAGUUUCGUUAGAAGCCUGAUUAGGCCCUGUCGGGGCGGUGGAACAGAUUAGACUAGCAGAUGUCAGUCUAUUGAUCAUUGGCAUGAAAAUGCCUUCUUGGAUGUCUUCAUGUACCAAUUUCGAACUUGUGUAGCACUAGUUUUACCUCUUCUGGUUGCCAAUUCUAUAUUCUUAACUAAAAGCUCAUUUCUCCAAUUUCUUAUUCAAACUUAAUUACAAUUGAAGGUGUCCACUUGUUGUGAGUGCAAUUAUCCCAAUCCAGAAUCCCCUAUCAAUAAGAGGUGGUCAAAUUUUUGGUCCAUUAAUUUGCCGUUGGACUCGAAAAUUUUUUCUUUUGAAUAUCAACGGUUUCAAUAGUUAUGUAACCAUAACUUUAGAAUAGUAGCUGUUGAGCUGCCUUCUAAGUUAUAUGGAAAAGUCUGAAGUAACAAUCGUUAUGGUAACGAAACUGUUUUGACAUGAUAUGAUAGAUAAAAACACUUUUAAUAACUAUUUGAUUACCUGUUGAACCAGUUACCUAAUUUUAAUCUUACAAUUAAAAACUUACUAAUAUUAAUAUUAAUUAUUUUAAUACAAUAUUUAAAAAGACGCUAAAAAACUUGAUGUGUCGCUAAAGUUAAUAGAAACCUACAAUAAUAAAUUAUCCUAAUUUCAUACCAUAACUAUAGUCACUAUAGCAUUGUCCUGUAUACAUGUAUGUUGUCAGUUAUUGCUAGAGAAGGAUAAUAGUUGUUGCUGGCUAGUAUGUAAUUAGCUUCCCAUUGUUUUGUAACAUCCAAAUGUCACGUUUGCAAGAAGAUAGAGUCCAAUAUAUUUGACAUUUUGACAGUCAGCCAAUGAAAAUAAAAUACCUCUUUCACAAUAAUAAAAUUAGAGCUCAGUGGUAAACAUAUCGUACCAACAGGGAUUAAAAUUAUUUAUUUCUUUCAAAAUAAUUAAUAGAAAGGAGGGAUUUUGGAGAUUAAACCAACUAAUUAAUUUAAACACAAAAUAAACAUACAAAAAUUAAGUAAAAUUAAAUUAAUAAUAAUGGAGCUCUAGCCAAAGUAUUAACUUCUGAAAUGCUUUUCUUGACUAUCUUGAUAAUUAAAGUACGACCAUUCGCUACUUUCCUAAUUCAAAAGAUAAUCAUAUGUAUGACCAACCAUAGGAUUUAAACUUACAAUUGCAUUAGAAAUAAAAAAGCUCAAUUCUAAUCAACGAACACGCUAUGGAGGUUUAUUUAAUUUUGAUUAUAUAUCUCCCUAACACAAACUCAAUCAAGCCAUUCACCACAAAUAUUGACCUAUAGUUUGUUAAGCUCCUUUGUUUUCCUUCAAUCUUCUGUACAGUAAUCUGCUUCAUUAGGUACAUUAAAUUAAGAAUCUAGUAGGAAAGUAAAAAGAAAGAAAUAGUCAGCCAUUCAUACUUGAAAUUCACAAGCACAAAGUUUCCAGUGGAGAAAGACACAGAAACUGCUAAGAUAGGAUAGGAUAGGUCCUACGUCAAUUAAAAUGUCAGAUGUUCUUUCUUGGAAAACCUGCCAAAAGGAAUCAACUGUGUAUAUGCCCUUCCUGAGCUUUGCGAGGCAAUGGAACAAAAGAAAAGCAAAGCAAUAGAACAAAUAUAAAAUGUUCGAUAUAACCUUAUAUUGGGACUAGGAGGUAUAAUCUGCGCGGUGCGCGGAGGUAUAGAAAGAGAAGAUGCCCAAGACAAGCAUAUGAUAUGGAAGGAAAAUAUCGGAGGAGGAUAUAAAGCAAAAGGCAGAAAAAAGGAUGAAAGGAUAGACACACACAAGAUUCAUAAAGCAUCGAAAAUCAAGGCAUGAUAAGCAAAAUCCAUAAUAAUAAAGCAUCGAAUUUGCCGCUACUCAUAUUAGACUUUGUUAGAGCUACUAAUAACCGACAAAGUUGCAGCAAAUCACUAACAUCUCACGGCAGCCUUUAAUUCAUAAAGAAGGAGCUAUAAAUAUUUGAUACAAGGUAGUCUCUUUACUCCUUUGUAGAUGGGCCUUCAACUCCCUGCAUGAGCUAGAACAGGAGUACAAUUUUUGGCUCUAUGUUUAGUUGGUCUUUGUUGAAGAUGAUCGGCUACUAAGGGAAUGACAGCUCCACUAAAUUUUACAUGGUCCCAGAAAUCACCCCCUUCCUUUCCAAUCCCCUUCCACUGUUUUCCUGUCUUUUAGCAACUUGCACAUUGCAGGCGGAGGAGAUUAUGAACUUCUAUUUUGUGACUGCAAAAACUGCUGGCCCUUCCACCUGGAAAAUAUCACCAAAAAGAUAUUGCAAAAGAGAACAAAUUUCAGCAUCACCAAACCAGAGUGAAUCUAAGCCAUGAUUUUAAGACAAGCCCACAUGAUAAACAAUCAUCUUUGACCAAUAGAUCCCCCUAAUAAGGGACCAAAUGACCUCACUGAGUAUAUGCUCCUGGAUUUCAAAAAAAAAAAUGGUUUGCACAAUUUUUUUUUCUUUUCUGUGUUAUUUGGCUGGUAACAUAGAGAGAAUCUCAUCUGUUUACCAUGAACUUUGCUCCCCAUAUUUCUUCCUCUUUAGCUGGAAUUGCAGUGAUCUUAUUCUUUGGAUUCUCAUAGCUUCUCAGUUCACCCAAAGCUGUGGAGAAGAAGGAACCUGAACAAACAGACAUCAACGCACAUUACAAGAUUGGAAUUGUUCAACAUAGCAAAGAAAUUUGAAAGAAAAGAUGUACUAACAAAAAGAAAGGAACUUUAGUGUUCCUUAACACAAGCAGUUAAUGUAUUCAUUAAUUUAAGAAUCAAUUCUUUGAUGGCUGAAUUGAGCGCCUAAGAAUCAAAUUUACCUUGAGGGAAAGAUGCAAGGGACUUGCCACAAGCACCUUUAAGCAAGUCAGCAUCAUCUGCAAAUGCUACCCAUCCAUCAGCAGUGAUUCCACAAUAUAGAGGAACCUUAGCCUUUUCAUCCCGUCACAACAUCACCAACCAGACUGUUAAAACAUUUCAAUUAAGUCAAAUCGGUAGGUAAGGAAAUGCGAAGAUCACUCACAGUAGCCACAAACAAGGUGGAGGUGGCCUUGCCGAAGACAAUAAAUGCAAAAUUCCCUUCUGGGUGGCCAACAACAUGGUUUGGAGGAUAACGUGCCCUGUCACGAAGCGCCUUGUAUGCUUCAAUCAUCAAAACCACCUCAUUUGAAGACUUUGGAAGCCUGUAUUGUUGCUUCAGACUCCCUAGAUUAUCAAGUGCUCCCUCAAACAAGCAAAAUAUGUCAUCCUUAACUGCGAAUGACCUACAAAUUUGUAUUGCCAAGUUAGUUUCACAUGUCACUUUUUAAAAAAAAAUUGAUUCACAUAAGGCCUAAUUACUGCUAACCAACCAAAAAUAGGUUUGCAAGUUAACAGCUUUAAAAGUUAAAAGAUAUAUGUAUAUUUCAUCAGAUCAUCGCACGGUACUGACUACAAAGGUCCCAAUUUUUUGCUUCUUCCCCGCCAACUCUCUCCCCAUUUUUUUUUUUUUUUAAAUAGACUCUGGCCGGGAGGGGGUUGGGGAGUUGGACUUAUUGGGGAGGUUGACUGACUGAAUGGAAAUGAAUGGGAGUGAGUUCAAGUAACUUGAUUCUCAAGAUAAAAUGAAGCUGCUAAAUUUACCUCUGUGUUUUCUUUUCUGCCAAUUGAUUUUGUUCCGUAUUAAUCACUAAAAAUAAUAAUAACAAUAAUAAUAAAACAUAUUCUUACUUUAGCCGGUACUUGUAAAAGCAAGAAUGUACUUUCACUUUUAGACCCAAAGGCAUUGCAUGUAAUAAUUAAAAACAACAAUUGAACAAAGGGAAUUAAGGGAAGUGCUGAUCGAUCGGACCAACUCUCUAUUUCUUCUCAAAGUACAGUUUGAUUUGUAAGCAAUACUCAUUGAGAUUGGCUGCCGGCAACAUAUGUGAUAUGAUAUGCGCGGUGGGCUGGGGUGGAGGUCUUUCAAAAUGGUGUGAACCAACUAUAUGCGAGUAUUAACGAUGUUGCUUGAACAAGCUUGAACAAGCUUGAACAAGGGACAAUCCACAAAAGCUUGAACAAGGGAAAUAGAAAAAAUGGGAAAGCACAUCAGAACAAAGAAGGUAGUACCUUAGAAAGGGCAAAAAACAGAGCAAGCUGCGGAAGAUGCUUCUGCGCUUCCAACUCUAUCUUAGACAGAGAAUAAGAGUCCAGAAAUUAAAAAUCAUUCUACCUGCAACCUGAAAAAAGUGAAAAAAAUUCAAUGCAAUGAAGGUUUUAACCCAAAACCAAGAGAAAGGGGAAAAAAAGAGAGAGAUCUAGUGCAUGUUGAUGACUGAGGAAGGGGAAGAGGACCGGCCAUGAAGCUCAGUAAAGUCACUAGUCCAGAACACGUCGUCUUCGUUAAGCUCCGGAGGCAGAGUUGUCUCCAGAAAGCAGUGAGAGCGGUGCUUCGUUCAGUCAGAGCGAAAACGCUGAGAAAUCUGUCAGAGGAGGGCAAUUGACGAUGACGGGAAUUAACGGUGCCAUUUUGGUCCAUUUGAGUGUGACAGCUAUGGUCCUACCUACUACUACUACUACUGUUGCCACCAGCAGUAGUGAAACUGCAGGACCGCGCGAGUAAUCUGUUGCCGUUGGGAUGGGUUUAGCUUCUGAGGAUAGAGGUAGGAUGAAGGAGAAGAGGAGAGAAGAAAGAAAGCGGCGGCAGCGGCAGCGGAGGAAAUUUAAGAAAACCCUAGAGAGGAAGUAUAUGCAGGCGUCAGCGCAUCGCGCGGGAAAAAAAGGCUGGUGACUCACAUGUGCGGCACGUGAGAGGACGACGAAAACCAUUCCAGGUCACAAGAGGCCUUCGGCUCUUAUUUUAUACUAGGAGAUGUUCACCGUGCUCGUGCACGGUGGUAAGUUGUAGGUAUGCCCAUGUUGAGAGUACAGUAAAUAUUUAUUUUAGAAGAGAUUUGUUGUACAGAGAACUUAUUAAGCUUGGUUGGAAUUUUUUUUAAUUCUAUAGGUUAUUUUAUAUUUAAAGAGAUAGAACAUUUAAAAUUCCCUGUUUUCCUGGUGUACACUUAAGUAUGCAAAGAAAAUGAAUAUGCUAUACUUUAAAAUGUACACACGAGAAGUUAAUGCUAUUCCAAUGUAAUGCAUUCAGUUUCAGUUGGAUUGAUACAAAUUUUUCUUCUUCCCCAAAAACAAAGACACCAUAGUGAGUCUACAGGGAGGAGAAACUCUAAAGCAUCAUCCACUCAAUAAGCUAAUAGCAAAAGCGGCUACAUAUUGACCCAGAGAAUCCAGUAUAAGCAGCCUGACAUCCUAUACCCAAUUGCAACAGAAGGAAAAAGAACAAGGCAAAGAAUCAUAAAUGCAAGAAACACAACUAAAUAGCAACCUAGGCAAGAAGUAAAUUAUCACAAGGACACCAAAGCUUUCAUAGUACCCUUUAAUUUUCCAGUUUUGUGUGUGCAUGUGAGAGAGAGGCAAUAAUUAAUAAAAACAUUACAAUGCAAGUUCCAAAUCACCGUGGUAAAGAAAAAUGACAUAAUCCAAAUACAUUUUCGUUUUCUUAUUCUAUAACCUAUGAUAUGCACUCUGGCUGCUUUUUAGCAGUGAGUGCAGAGGCAUAGAGGCUAGAAAAACGAAAUGUUUGCAGGCAACUUUUUCGGUGGGAGAGUUUUUCAUAAGAAAAAGGAGUUAUGGAGGAUGGAAUAAUACAUGAGCAAAAAUAGUCCUUAUACUAAACGUUGAAAAAAGAAACAUGGCAUAGGAAAAUUUCUUAUUUUGAUAGAUCUAAAUUCACUCAUUUUUCAUGAUGGAGUACACAUGGAAACUAUGAUACCACGAGAACUGCUUUUCGACACCAUACUCAUAAAAAAUUAGAACAUUGUAGGUGUAAGCUGAUUCAGGAAGGAAAGCUAAAAUUUCGUCCAAUUCCAGUUGAUGCUCAGCAACAAAGACGUCCCAGAGAUUAUCCUUCUUUUCCUGUGGCAUUUUUGCAUAACGCUUGCGAUGCUUGGCAUUUCUAUCCAUUAAGCUGGCACCAAUGAAGUAAAUAAUUCACACACUCCCAAACACAAGUUAGCUAUCAGCCAAAAAAUGCCAGAACAGUAGCAAGACAUGAAGGUGAUAUAUAUGGCUACUCUCAUACCACAUAACAUCUAUAGUAGACAAACUAUCCAAGCAAACUAACAGAAACAAGACCAACAAGAAAGGAAUAGCAAAUGAUAGCCAAAAAAGGAAGGAAAACUUGCAAAAUAAAAACAGAAGAGGCUAAACGAAUUUACCAAAAAAGAAUGAAUGAGCAAGGAGGUUUAACAAUAAAAGUCACAUAGUUCGAAGAGUAGAAAGUGGUUACAACUCCAGGAGAUGCACAUACAAUCUACAUGUAAGAAAGGGAAGCAGCACAUCUAGUGCAGCAACAGUGCGAAACCAAGGAAAAAGGAGCAAACAUCUAGUGCAGAGCAGCUAACAUAAAUUGAAAAGGCAUAAAUACGUUUUCAUUGCUCAACUAACAGCAAAUGGGACAAAUAACAUAAAACACUGACGAUUUAUAUCUAUAAAAGCGAGUCCCAGUGAAAAAAACACACAACAUUUCCUGAAAGAGGCAAGAGAAAUAACAAAGAACAGUUCAAAGAGCAACGACAUAUGCAACGAGCAAAUAGAAUAUCAAGCUAGACACACCGGAGGAACAACAGUCACUCAAAAACAUUAGCAUAUAAAAUAAGAACGUCACGGAGAAACGAGAAAACAAGUCAUGAGUUUACAAACGCAAUGCACACUAUAUAACCAGAUAAGCAGUUGACAACCAGCUAAUGCAAACCAUUUAAAAGCAGUUACCAUGGCAAAUCAAUAUAAUAAUAGCCACUAAUCUAUUAAGGAAAACUGUUAAUUAGUAAACAAGUCAAGCUGAAUGCAGAUUGGUAGAAGAACAACCUCAUUGAGCUUUAGAACCUGGAUAGCCAAGAAACAAGAAAUAUAAUUUGAUUAAAAGAAGUCUAAAGUAGAAACAGGAGGAACACCUCUUCCACCUCAUGGCAACAAGGAGUAUACUGAUGCUGAUGCCAAGAGUCAGAAAAAAGGAGCACACGCCUCCAAAGCAAAAGGAUCACCAAGAGGAACAGGGAUGCCGCAGCCAAUAGCUACAGGAUUAAAAAAAAGAUCAAAACUUCAGCAUGCACAAAAGAACAGAAACAAGGCAGAAAAACACGGGCAAAAAGUAAGAAGAAGGAAAGCAGGUCACAGAAGGCACUAACAAGCAUUACAGCAAACAAAUAAAGCGUAAAAAGAAAGGAUCCGAAAGAAAACUGAGAAAUGAGGAAAAAAAUAAAUAAAAAAGCAAGAGAAAAUGAGAGAAAACCGAAAGAGAAGGAAAAAAACAUCUGGAAGCAAAAGAAGAGUGAACAUGUCACGGCCCCACCUCCCCCUAAGGCAAACCAAAGGGUUUGGCGAGUCGUCUGCCCGACUCUCGCCGGGACUCAGUCGUUCCUUAAUCAAAUCCAGAAUAAAUCACAAGAAUAUAUAGGGCAGUAAUCCAAACUUAAAGCGGAACUUAUAUACAUUGCUAUCUCAAAAGGAAGUACAGCCAUCAAAUGUACAAAGGUUCUCACUUCACCAUACAACCAGCCCGUGCCAAGCACUAGGGCGAGAACCAUUACAAAAGAAACAAAAUACCUAGACUAGGCUAGUCUAUGCUCUCAUCCUGCUCGCCGUCCCCUAUUAAGGAAAACAAAACUAAAGGGGUGAGUUAAAAGCUCAGUGAGGUUCCGAACAGAUAAUCAACAAUCAAUUCAAUACAUUAAACAUGGAGUAUUAAUAAUUCAAGAAACAUUUACAAUGGAAAGCAAUAGUUACAUUCAUUAAAAGGAUACAGGCUGACAUGGAGCUAUUCGUUCUUUCGUUCGUUCCCCUAACAUUUCCCCUUAUUCCUCCAAUUAUUUGAAAAUUUCCUUUUUGAGAAAUAAAACUCUCGUGCCUUUGUUCGUUCAUUCAUCCCUUUCCAGACAUUGACCGGACUCCACCCAUCUGGACGUUGACCGGACUCCACCCAUCCGGACGUAGCCGGACUACAAGGUAAUACUCGAGUAUACCAAAUUCACCCAGGGUCACCAUAUCGCCCGAUCGAGUCCGCUUCUGGCUCGAGUCGAUCGGUAACGAAGGGUAGGGCCCAAUUCAGCCAAAAAGGCUUACAUCAUGCGCAACUAAUGUUUCCAUCAUUAAAUCAUUGAAAAUUUUACGUUUCAUUAAGGUCGAGCGCGAUAAAGUACACGCUCGCCUAGAAAACUCGUUUUAGAAAUCCUUGAAAGCACUUAACACAUUAUCAAACAACAACAACAAGUCAUGAAGUCAGGGAGAAUAUAACAAACAAGGAACACUCACCUAGUUAUGCAAAAUAACGUGCAAAAUAUCCUUCCGGAUAUUACCCUUAGUCACCAAUGAAACCUAAGGUUGAACAAGAGAACAUAUUACAGUUUAUCGAGCAAAACAUUUAAGGGAAACAAAGAAACCCGACUAAUUAGGAGUAAAUCGUGUAAAGAUGACUUUCAAGUAAGAAGAGGGUUGUUUGAACCCAAGGAUGAAAAAUCAUGUUUUAAAAUGGAAAGCCGGUCAUGGUAUUGGCCAAACAAAAGUAUUCAAGUUCAAAUAGGAACCUAACCCUCGAGCGAAAAUUUGGGCAGCACGCCCUUUGUGUUUACCUAAUUUUCCAGCCAUUUAGGCUUCAUUAUUUUUCCUCAGCCAAUCCCAAAGUCAUAUAUAUCAUAAAUGCAAGUCAAUAGCCAUUCCAUAGGCUCAUAACAUCAUAAGAAUAAGAAUCAAAGUCGUAACAAGUGUGGAAAUACAAUCUAGCAAAAGACAGAUUUGACGUGUGGUUGUGGAAAUAACACAUCCGAGGCUACGCUUAUCGGAUUGAGGCACAACUUAUACCAUUUCGAAGGUAAGACACAGGGCUACAAUGUUCAUGAAUAUCACUUAGUCCAGUUUCCAAUGCAACCUAGCCAAAUCCUCAAUUUACAGAACCAAAAUCUCACUCGUCGGCUAUUUAACCGAUCUGCACUGGAAUGGUCAUAUCUUAGGUUACCAAGGUCCAUUUAGGGUGUUCUUGUAGGUGUUAGAAAGCUUAAAUAGAUUACUAAAACUUUCAUGUUUUGGAAAAAAGCUAAAUCAGCAUGGAUCCUAGUGAACAAACAUGAUAAACUGGAUGAACUGACGAAAACGGAACACUGGAAAUUUCCUAAAAUAGUGAGGGUAUUUUGGUCUUUUCACAGGCUACGUUGCUCCGAUUGAGCUGAAAUUUUGCAGGCACCUCUAAAAUGUCAUUCCCUACAACUUUCAUGUUUUAAGCUAAGGCCAAUUCGGCCUCUAACAUAGGGCAAUAAAAACAGGCAGAAUAGGAUGAAAAUUUCCAGAAAUCUGAAAUCUUUUGGUUUCAAUGAUAGUUUUCUUAAUUUCUUGCUACACUUGCUACCAAAACCCCCUAUAUAACCUUAUAUACAACAUAUACUAAUUAUACAACAAGUUUAGGCAGAAAUUAAUCAAACUCUAACUUACAUAUUUCAUCCAAAAAUCACCACAACAACUUGCAUCACUUGUAAUCAAACCCAAAACAUGGACUAUUUAACAUCUUAAACAAGAAUAAAAGGAUCAAAGCCAUAGAUCAGAUUUUAUACCUCAAAAAGAAGGCUUGCAAGAGUGAUCCUCCACUAUUUCUUGAAGUUUUUGGUUCCCUUAGCUUCCCAAGCUACCAAACUUACAAUCAAUCGGUUUAGAAUUCGAUUUUAGCACUUGGUUGGUGUAAAUCAAGAAGGAAUUUGUUUUCUCUUGCUCUCCCUUUCUCUCUCUCUUGCUUGGCCAAGACCAGAAAAAAUGAAGAAGAAAGAUGGCUGAAGUGAAGGAUAAAAAGGCAAGAAAAAAAAUUAAUUAAGGAGCCAUGAGGUGGUGACACUUGGCGCCACCAAAGCCAUGCAAAUUUUUCUCUCUCUCCCUUACAUUUUUUGCCACAAAUUUCGGUCAAAGGCAGCUGGAAAUGAAGGGAUAUUUUGCUCAAAUAUCAAUGAGCUCAUGUGGUAAGAAAGUGGUGGUCCAGUGGUGUGUUCAAUCGGUAGUGUGCGGUACACGUCGGUUCACACCGUUUUUCUUUAAAACACCCGUACUAGGGUUUUUACUUCCUAUUCACUAACCUUAUAUCAUUGCUCCUAAUCACGUAUUAUUUCUCACUUAAAAGUCACUUUUAAUCACCAAAUUUGAUCAUUGUUCCGUACCAAAAAAUCAUCCGGCGAAAAUCGCGAAAACCCUAAUUUGCUCCAAUUUUGAAAACGAAGAGUGAAACCCUACUUUCUAGGUUCAUGUGCACUUAUUGGAGAAUGAUUGGGUAGUAGGGCUAUAAUAAAGGAAUAAUUUCUAAAUAAAAAGGCAUUUUUGAAAAAAAUAUAAGAAAUUUGCGAGUCCUCACAGAACAUGCACAGCAUAAGUGCAGGCAACAGGAGACCAUCUCACUACAAAAAAACAGAGCGAAAAAAGAUUAAGAACCCGGACGCGGGUUCACAGAAAAUGGCAAUGCAACAGUAGACUAAAAAGCUAACAAAAGCGGCUAACGAAGAGGUGAAAUGAUCUAAAAAUCAAGAGAAAAGGUAGGAAAAUCUUUGGAAGCAAAAGAAACGGGAACUUGCAGAACAUCAAUGCAUCAUAACAAAGCAGAGGAAGAAAGAUUAAGAACACGCACCUGUGGUUAUGGAAGGCGGCAAUGCAACAGUAGUGAUAGGGUAUACUUUGUUAGUAAUUUUAUUAUUGAUUUCCCCUUCUAUUCCUGACAAAUAUUGUGUUAAUUGCUGAUAUUUACUCAUAUUUGGUAUUUGGAAUCAAUUUCAGGAGUGAAGCAGAAAAUUACCAAAAAGGAGGGAUUUGUAUGGAAAAAUGUAGACUUCUAAGGGUUUCAACCUUUGGGCCCUUGAAUUGGUGGGGACCACAAGCUAGUGCAAGGCAUUUAGUCAUUUGGGCUUUUCAAAGAAAGCAACGUAGAGAAACUUGGAACAACAAGUACUUUGGAGGCUUGUUCACAUGUGUGGGGACCACAGGGAAAUAGCUUUUAGGCAUCUUUCUUUUAGCUUUUUAAGUAGAGACGUACAGAAGCAAAAGGAGAUCCCUUUUUUUUAGACGACUUUUUUAGUUUAGUUUUUAGUCUAGUCUUUAGUUUUUCUUUCUUUCUCCUGACUGGCCUCUGACACACGCCAGGUGUUCGACAAUAUUCCCCAACGGGAAAAACACCUUUUAUUCCUUGCUUCCUAAUAGAAAACGCAAUGCCUUUGCAAUUUAUUAAUUCGUGGGGUGAUUUAAUUAUGUGGCGUGGCUAAGUCUUCCAUCUAGUCAAGGAUCAACUCGACGGCGCAGUCCCGAAAAUCUGUGAGAUCUAAUUAGUUUUCACGUGUUCCUUUAUUUAUUAAUAUUUGCACGUUGUCUGCUUGAAUUUUCAUGGGAUUAUUUUAUUAAUUGGAUGUCAAGGGCCCGAUGUUCAAUGUGAUUUAUUAAUCUCGUGCCAAUUUAGUCAAUUAAAUCCGUAAUUGUUUGAUUGAUUAAUAUUAGUGGCAACUGGUGUGUUCACACACUAGGGGAACGUACGAUCUAAUUUAAAUAACCCUCGUAGCGUGUUAUUGAUUAGGGUUAGAUUUUUCUAGUUAUUAAUGAAAUGGGAAAUUAGUUCCUAUGGUCGUACCUAGGAGUAUUUUCUGGUUAGGGGUGAUCAAUGGUCGUACCUUGGUUAUCAAUAAUUUAAGGAAAAAUUGAUUGUCAGAGUUCAUCGGCAACUAUAACUAGUCUAUUAAUAAAUUAAGUGAACCUCUCUUGCAUCAAUGAUCGGAUAAGUGGACUGUGCCUGAGUAGUUGCAUCCUCGGCUAGAAUUUAUUCAUUCUUGAUUUAACUCCUGCUAUAUUUGUGCUAGUUAAUUAUUUAUUUAUUUCUGUUGAAUUAUUCAAUUGAUUUUAGUUUCAUUCUGGUGAAAUCCCCCCUUACCAAUUGGCAUUUAAAAAGAGACAAAUAUCCCCAGUCCCUGAGGAGACGACCCUACUUGCCAUUGUCUACUAUUCAGUAAUUUUCGUUAACUAAUUAAUUCUGGUAUAUCGGGUUAAGCAAACUCUUCGGGAACAGGGUGAAUCAAGUAACCCAUUGCACACCUAGAGUCCCUGCUCCAGUACCUAGGAUUAACUAUUGACUGCUUUUAGUGGUAGUUGGGAUUUUAUUAUUAUUAUUGCACAGGUUUGACGCCCUGUCAAGUAGCCACCUAUAAAGCUAACAACCAGAAACAAAAAGAAUAUAGGAUAAACAUAGGUAAAAGACACAACAAAAAAAAUGAAAACCAGAAGCAAGCAUGAGGACAGACCACACUAACCAUAAGCACAACAAACAGCAAACAAGCGAUAGCAGAAACCAGCGAGCAGGAGGCAGAAUGAAGAGAAGCAGCCCAAACGGAACCCAAAAAGGAAAAUUGUCCAACAGAAAAUUAACGGAAUUAUCCAACGGUUACGAGAGAUCCUGCCAUAGCCGUACAGAGAUGAGCUGUUGAACUGUAAAAAAACUGAAAGUCUCAGACAGCGGAAAUUUGGCGGCAAAAGUAAUUUUACAUAGAUGGACACACCCCCACAAAAUAUUACCAACGAAUACAAAAAAAAAAAAAAACAAGUCACAAAAAUAAAUCUUGGUGGGGAAAGCGUAAUUUCACCAUUGACCAACAAGUUUGCUAUCCCCAAAAAUGACUAACUGAUGACUGAUGACUGAUGACUAAUGACUAUGACUAAUGACAAACAAAAACAAGGACAGCAUCACAAUUGUCUCUGAGGAAAACAAAAACAAAAGAGGCCCAUGAGAAAAAAAAAAAAAAAACUACCUGGCAGCACCACCGGCCAAUCCCCAGUUGCCACAUGGGCGGACGACCAUCCUAAGUGGCAGGAGGCUUCCCCUCUUUAUCUAUAUGUUUAAUAUGUUGAAAAAUUGCAAAAGUAUUUGGUAAUUACAAAUCUAACGGUAAAUUGGACAAUGUUCACCUAGGUUUCAUCAGCAGCAGAUACAAAGGAAUCCUUUAGAUGCUUCCAUAUGUCUUCAAGUCUAAGCAGCAGAUACAAAGGAAUCCAUCAGAUGCUUCCAUAUGUCUUCAAGUCUAAGUGCGUAAUUCUUUGAAAGAACAGAAAAUACAUAUGUAGACUUCACAAAUGGAGUUCAUCUGUUGAGCAUCUGCAAUGAAUUGAAUCCUCCACUAAGGGCUAAUUUAAACUUAAAAGGACAACCUGAAUGCAUUACUUUCAUCGAUCUGAGCAAUAAAAAUUAAACAUUAGACAUGUACAAACUUUUUGGGAGUGUUAGUUUAGCAGAUGGUGUUGGUUUUUUGGGGUAUAAACUAAGAAACAACAACUUAAUGUUGCAUAAAAAGCUUAAAAGAAACUUGUAUUGAAAGUGGAAAAUGACCUUGUGUUCUACAUUUAUCAACUCAUUAUUUAUAGUGAUUACAUGAAACAAACUAGCAAAAUAUUCAACUAACAAUUAUCCUAAAAAUCUCAACAAGAUAUAAUCUUUUUCUACUGUUAACAUAUUUGUUAACAAACCAACAUGAUCUCUGGUUAACAAAUAUCUUUAUUCUUCUAAUAACUAAAUUAUUUUGAUAUCAAACAUAAUCUAACAAAAUUUGUAGGAAAAGCUGGCAUACAUUAUAGCUCAAAUGAGAAUACUUUUUUUUUUUGUUUGAAAACUUUCAAUGUUUAUUGGGUGAAGAUAAAAUUUUGUGAGUCUAACUUGGGGAGGUGACUCCUAUCCAAUCUCCUCCCCGGAGCCCCUAGGCUGGUCCGCACAUAAUUUGCUAGUCAUUAAGUAGGAAAAAUCAACAUUUAUGAUGACUGGUGCUAUUUUUCUGUUAUGGCUGCUAUCAUAAUUCAUGGCUAGAGACCACCACACUAAUUUCUGCUCCCACCUCCAUGUGUGUGUUAGCGUGUUAUGAAGAUUUCCAUGCUCUUCUUCAAUAUAUAUGAUUUUUUUUUGUUGUUGAUACCAAUCUUUGUGAGCAUGGCAAUGGGCAAAAUUCACUACUACUCCUUAAAUUUUAGCCUAGUUUCGUAUGCUAUAAGGGCUGCCAGCAACAACAAUAUUGCUAUGGAUCAAUCAGCGCUUCUUGACAUUAGUAGAGAAAACAACUUCCCUGGAGAACACCUUAAUUUUGGUAUUAAUAAUUUUGGUGGAGAGCUUCCCUCUUGUUUUCGUUAUUUACAGAAACUCCAGCAACUUUUGACUCAUAAACAAAAGCUUUACGGGCUCUAUCCCGUCUUCUAAGCACUCCAACAGGUGUACAUUACUCAGUAUAUUGCAGCAGGGGAAUGAUUUCAAUGUUCAAGGAUCUUUUGAUGUCAAAGUUAUGAUAAAUUUUGCCUUGUAGUCAUGACAUAUUACAGGAAUUCAGAGUCAUUUAAGGACAUGGGCAAAGCCAAAUUGAAUACAUUUCUUCCACCAGCUAAACAAAUACCUUACUGUCUUUACAAUACGAGUGUUAUAGAGAUUAAAUACUUGCCUAUGUGGUUUCACAGAACUUAAACUGUAACAGUGUAUUUAAUAUCUAGACAAGCCAAUGUUCCACAUAUCAUAUACCAACCAAUGAGUAAAAGGCAAUACUCAAAAGCUUUAUGUGUAAUAGCAUUUUUUCAGCGUAUAUAUAUAUUUGCUACAAGUAAAAGUCUAACUAUAUGAAAGUUUCGUCAACAUGUAUUUACAAGGUUUUUUUUUUUGGGAUAGCAAUUUGAAGUGAUCCCAGUAUAUCUCUAAUUAACUGCAUUGUGGCUAAGGGUGUAAAUUUUUUAGUAGGAACAUACUAGGUAACUUUAAAUGGUUAACUGCUAGCUUAAUACGAAAAUAUUUACCAUAAAAUAAACAAUCAAACGUGCAACGGACGAUAUGGGAGUGCCUUUCACCAAUAGAGAGCCAAUCACAUAUUCAUGUCAAGCAAUUAUGGAAUAACGGAAAAGAAGCGACUUGAGGGACGACUUGAGGCGGGAGACAAGUGCACGUCUCCUUCAUUCCACCGCACAUGACAAAAGAAACAGACCCUAACUUGUCUUGCACGGUGGACACCCGCUAACCUUGAUGCUAUGGUCUCCGAAGACUAUUCUAAUGUCUACCGAAUAGCGACCUGAUAUUGUGCAAAGUUCUAACCCAACAAGAGGUUUAAAGAAGACUCGACUCGACGGUGGCCCUUUCCCCAGUCCGGCCCCUUACGUCCGUCCUUACAUAAUUUGGUAGUAAUUUUAAACUUGGUUAGAAAUAAAUGUAAUGAGUUUUUUUCAAUGUGGUGAAACUUUUAAAGUAAUGACGACUGGAUAUGAAAGUGUUGAAAAUAUGCUUGAAUUUUCUAAGAAGCAAUGACGAAACCAAAUUAAUGAGAAAAACUUGUAUUUAGAAUGGGUAUGUAAAAAACAACCACUUAUGUUUAAUUUGCAUUUUGGCAGAGAGUAUAUAUAUAUAAAGAAAAACUACUAUUCUGAUACUUUAUUGGAACAAGUAUUUGUCCGAUAAAAAAGGUGAUAGGGGUUAAAAGAAUAGUUCAUAAAAUAUUUUUCAAAUAGUAGCAGAUCAAACAAAUAUAGCUUGCAAAAAAUUGUUUUUUCAUGAUAUACUAAACUAGUUCAUCUACUUUUUUAAUAAAAAUUUGUGCAAUCAUAUCAUCUGUGCGUCUUCUAGGGGUUUCAAAUUAUUUUCGUUGAAGUGAUAUCAUUCUUCCAUAAUGCUCGGAUAAUGAAUUGAUUGCCCAAAAAAUUUUUUUGAUUUCUUCCACAGGAUUACAUAGUUUCCCAGCUUGCAAUGACUUGAAAUUCAAAAGGAGUUAACAAGCAACGUCAUGAAUCCAAAUCGAAGGAUAUAAUAAAUUGGGCAAAUUACAUUUUACCCCCUUGUGGUUUACCCUUUUUUUAUAUAACCCUCCUAUGGUUUCAAAAGCUAUACAUAACCCCCUCAUGGUUUGGAUUAAAGUGUCAAAGUGACGGAAAUAGUCACUCGUAACGGAACUUCUAAAAAUGUCAAAAUUACCCUUAUAAAUACAUGACACAUUAGCCCCGUAUGCUUUUUAUAUUUUACCAUAUAACUCCAUUAUGGUUUAAUACUUUACCAUAUAACUCCCUUAUGAUUUUCAAAAUAUACACAUAAUCCCCCUUGGUUAAUAAAUAAUUUUUAACUUUACAUAAGGGUAAUUUUGACAUUUUAAGUGACACCGUUACGAAUAAUAAUUUCCGUUACUUUGACACUUUAAUCCAAACCAUAAGGGGGUUAUGUAUAACUUUUGAAACUACUGGGGGGUUAUGUGAAAAAACGCUAAACCACAAGGGGGUAAAGUGGAAUUUACCCUAAUAAAUUGGAAGAGAAGAAGUCUAGAGCUCACUUUCAGGGGAGACUUCAGAGACGACUAGAGGUAAGAUAAUUGAGCUGCAUCUUCCCCGAUAUUGACAUUAUAUUCUCCGAAGACUAUUCUGCUAAAUUGAGCCAAUCCUGACCUGGUAAUGCAAAAAGUGAUCAAGAGACUACUUAAUAAUUUGAAGCACUAAUGUUCUACCCACCUUGGGUACACAAAUAAUUUGAAAGCCGUUUAAAUUGUAAUUGACAUAUUUUGCGAGAAUGAUAGACAUCUAUGCUAUUUAGUCAUAGCAGCCUCUUUCUCGAUUUGAUGCAUAGACCCGAUGCAGAACACAUUAUUUUGGGAGGGAAAAUUUGAUUUCAUAUGAACUAGAUGGAAUAAUAAAAAGAUCUUGCAAAGUUUUGUAGAGGAGCAAAUAUUUUAACUCAAAAAAAAAAUACUUUGAAAACUUUAAGACAUUUAAGGGACGAAAAUGAAAUUUUCUGAAUCUAACUUGGGACGAUGACUCCUAUCUAGUCUUCUCUCCCAAACCCCUCUAGACCGGUCUGCCGUAAUUUGAUAGUUAAUAAGUAGGAAAGAGAGAAACACAACAUUGAUAUUGACUGGUGGGUAUUUUUCUGCCAUAGAUGUUAUCAUAGCUAGAGACCACCACAUUAAUUGCUAUUCCCCACCUCCAUGUGUGUGUUUUUUUGUCAUGAAGACUUCCACUGAUACGCUCCUCGAUCCACACGUUCGAGACACGUAGCACGUUUGCCCAAGGAUCUAGCGAGGAUGUCCAACGCUUGGAAUUCCGGGAUCUAGAACCAAACGGACGACACGAUUUGAUUCAAGACGGUAGGACGACGACUCCAAUGAAGGUGGAUACUCCACGGGAUAGGUCGGUAGAACAAUCUAGGACGAGACGCAAGACUGCUCAAAACCCUUGCCAAAGCAAGUAAAGGGGUCGAAUCUCUCUCUCAAGAAGAAUCGAAAAUAUGCCAAACUUUAUUGAUAAAACGUCUACCCUUAAACCUUACAAAGCAAGCCUAUUUAUAGGCUAAAGUGACUAAAACCCUAAAGGCUAGGAAAAGGAAAAAGUCGGCCCAUGUUUUUGGAACAAGAUGGGCCGGCCCAUGCUCUUACUUAAUCAUUAACUAAUUGCUAACUAAUUGAUGGGGCCUAAGGCCUUAUUCUCUUGGUGGCCCGCUUGACUCUUCGUGGACUUGGAUCAUGGUGUAAAUGACUCGAUUGUCUCACUCCAAGCCCUCAAUAUCUUAGUGAACUCCAUGUUGGUCUUGAACGUUCCUUGAAUUGCUUAGCCCGUGCACAUGUGACUGGGCCCAAUGGUACUUGGACUGGGUCAUUGGUGGGCCAAGGUCCGUGCACACAUCAGUCCCCUCCUCUUAAGAAGGAUUUGUCCUCAAAUCUAGAUGGAGAUGGAAGAUACUAACAAGAGUUAGUAGUAUGACAACGCGAAUCGAUAGUGCGUUUGGAAGUCAGCCACGUUGGGAACAAAUGAAAGUUCACGAGCCAAGUUAAAUGUCGUUUGGUCAGCUUCAUUAGGCUCUCAAACAAGGACAUGCGCCAAGGUAGGAAAGAGCCUGUGUAAGGCUCGCGAAACUUCCAGGUAGCAAUCCAGAGCGCUCUAAUCAUCCUUCGGCCAUGCAUUGGUAUAGUGUCACCAUUCUCAUGCACAAGAUAAGGAUCUUCAGAAUGAUGCUCAUGGGAGCAAGAGAAAUUCCAAAUCGGGUUUUUCAAGGUGGUAUGACUCGUCCCUGGUUGUUGCUGAUUUGGCACAACUUGCCUAUUUGGAGGUGAAACAUUGAACCAAUCAGGUUGCACUUCCCUAGAAGUACGAACCAGUGAUGUAAGACCAACGUUCGGAUCUUUAUUGACACAUUUGUGGGUAUCACCCGACAAAAGUGGCAGCAAUGAAGUGAGACGCACUCCAUACGAAUCAUAUGAAUUUGUGCAAGUUGGAGUUGGUGAAGUAAGCUCGUGGUGACCAGCUUUUGGACAUGUGAAGAAGCCCGAACGUGCUCCACUUUCAGCAGGAAUAAGCACGAAAUCGGGUUGCAAGUUCUUAACCAUAGUUGGAAAAUUUUGGACAGCGUUACAACCUACAAAAACAAAAUAACCUUCAACUUGAAGCAAUUCGGAAAUCGGGUAAAGAACUAAUGGUACAUUAUCAACUAGAUGGUAAGAAGGUGUAGAACAAGAUGGAAAUGAGAAAACUCCCUUUGACACUUCAAUAUUCCUUCUACCAAUUGAUUCAACUUGAGAUGCCAGUGCUAGUCCUUUACACUUCUCUUUAACACCUACAUGAGAGCAACAAGAGUUAGUGCUAGUAUCAUGCUCAAAAUAAGGCAAAGGUGAGGAAUGAACCAUAGGUAGAGAACAAGCAGUAGAAUCUGAAAUUUCCCUUUUAAGACGAGCUCGAAUCAAUCCUCCAAUGGUGUGGACAGGUUUGAGUUGACAUGGUUCCAUGAAUUGAGACCAAAGAGAUUUAGCUCCUAGAAGACAAACUCCAUGGAAACUCGCAAAGUGUCCAAGUGACGUGGGAAUGGAACAUGCCAUGACCAACUCUACUUGACUUUGUUUAAUCUGCACAAAAGAAGAGGUACUAAACAAAACACAUGUUAGCUUGUUAGCAAACAAAACGUCCACACUUUCAACUUUUGCGAACAUGGCCAACUCCUCCUUUUUACUCAUCAAUAAGGCCAAACUAUUCUUGCCCUUUCCUACUCCAUUUGUCUCGGACCAUUGUCCAUUCAUUGCACUUGAGUUCGGAUUAUGUUCAUGGCUUAGCUGCAUCUCAUUCAUAGAGGGCUCUUCAAUCGACGAGGGACUAGGAUGAAUAUUUCCUUUGUUACCACCGGUCGACACAUGAUUAAGUUGCUCAAAGUGGGAAUCCCAUACUUGGCUAAGUCUUUCCAUCAUAGAAUUAACCCAUGCUUUAGUUUGACUUCGGAAUUCAUCCUUUGCUUCACGAAGCUUUGACUCAAUUCGAAAAUUCUCGAGCUCCUCGUCUUGAUUGUCAAGACGCUUCUUAGAUGAACCUUGUUUGCAUGAAGUUGACCUUGAUUUAGAUGCUCUACGCAAACUGCUUUGCUCCUUCUCAUACUCAUCACAAUCUUGUUUAUACCUUUCAUAUACACACAAAACACGGUGGCGUUGCAUCUCCUCCCGGAGUGAAUGAUACCCAUGUUGUGAACUGGAUUGCAUGGAACUAGAGUACUUGUGAGUAGGCCUCUUGAGACCCCUCCUCCUGAGAGGCCCAUUCUCCAAGAAUUCUUGGUUGUAUGGGUAAGACGCAACUUCUCUAGGCAUGAGUGUGUGACCUGCCAAAAUGGUAAGCAAAGAAAAGGAGAUGCCUCACGUCACACAAGCUCACGUGUAUGUGCUCAUCCCUCGUGUAUCUCUCGCAGUGUUCUAAUGGACUUACCAAAUACCUUUACCUGUUGGAUUAGGUAGUUGAGAAAUGCUGCUCAAAUCCAACAACCGUUACCAACCUUUCCACAAGUGUAACCACAAGAACGUAGGAGAAAAUGUAGGAAAGUGUUCCUAAAAUCUAGGAGAAAAUAUAGGAGCAAAUGUAGGAGAAAAUGUAGGAAAGUUUCCUAAAAUGGGGAAGAGAAUAUAGGAGAGUUUCCUAAAGUGGAUGAGAGAAUAUAGGAAAUGACCUAAAAAUGGAUGAGAAAAUUUUAAGUGAGUUUCCUAGAAAUGGAUGCGAGAGUUUAGGAAAAUUUCCUAAAAAAUGGAUGAGAGAAUUUAGGAAAGUUUCCAAAAAAUGGAUGAGAGAAUUUAGGAAAGUUUCCAAAAAAAAAAAUGGAUGAGAGAGUUUAGGAAAAUUUCCUAAAAAUGGAUGAGAGAAUUUAAGAAAGUUUCCAAAAAAAAAAUGGAUGAGAAAAUUUAGGAAAGUUUCCUAAAAAAUAGAUAAGAGAUUUUAGGAAAGUUUCCAAAAAAAUGGAUGAGAGAGUUUAGGAAAAUUUCCUAAAAAUGGAUGAGAGAAUUUAGGAAAGUUUCCAAAAAAAUAGGUGAGAGACUUUAGGAAAGUUUCCUAAAAAGAUAGGAGGGAGAGUGUCCAAGUGAGUACAAAGAGUUAUCCAAGUACUUUACUUAGUUUCCUAAUUGAUUUUGGAAACAAGUUAGUUUUUGGAAACCUUUUGAAAAUCCUUUUCCUCUUGAACAACUUUUGGUAACCUUCUUGAAACAACUUUUGGUAAUCUUCUUGAAACAACUUUUGGUAACCUUCCUGAAACAACCUUUGGUAAUCUUCUUGAAAUAACUUUUGGUAACGUCCAAAUUCUACUCCAAGAAAGAUUGCACAAAUCAGAUUUGGUUCCCUAUUCAAAACAAUUCGGUUGCCCCUUUCUUUCCUUUCCUUUUUUUUUUCUCUUGCCAACCGAUUCCUCUUUUCUUUCCUUUUUUUUUCGUUUUCGUUUUUGUUUUCUUUUUUUUUUCUUGACUACAACUAUCAACCACGACACAAAACAAGGAAAUCCACAAAUAAUAACUACCAAAAACUCCAAGAUAUUUCAAGAACUUCUCAAAGAAGUUGUCAGGAACUUCAGAAAUUUCAAGAUUAUGGUCAAGAAUUCAAGAAGCUCAAGAUUAUUGUAAGUUCUCUUCAAGAUUCACAAAAUUCCAACAAGUUUUGCCAAAAUCCAGAUUUGAAAACCAAGUAAACAAGUUGGAUAACACAAACAACAAGGCUGGACAGAUUUGUAUUCGGAUGAACAGUACGAUGAACAGUGUCGGUGAACAGUACGAUGAACAGUAACGGUGAACAGUGUCGACUGAACAGUACGAUGAACAGUACCGGUGAACAGUGAUUUUUUUUUUUUUUUUUAACAAGGCAGCGGACAAAACACAAAGACCCUACGACACAACUACGAAAAAAUACGGAUAUAACGAAAGAUACCUCUACCAAAGCUCUGAAGCCAACUGAUACGUUCCUCGAUCAACACGUUUCGAGACACGUAGCACGUUUGCCCAAGGAUCUAGCGAGGAUGUCCAACGCUUGGAAUUGCGGGAUCUAGAACCAAACGGAUGACACGAUUUGAUUCCAGACGGUAGGACGACGACUCCAAUGAAGGUGGAUACUCCACGGGAUAGGUCGGUAGAACAAUCUAGGACGAGACGCAAGACUGCUCAAAACCCUUGCCAAAGCAAGUAAAGGGGGGUCGAAUCUCUCUCUCAAGAAGAAUCGAAAAAUAUGCAAAACUUUAUUGAUAAAACGUCUACCCUUAAACCUUACAAAGCAAGCCUAUUUAUAGGCUAAAGUGACUAAAACCCUAAAGGCUAGGAAAAGGAAAAAGUCGGCCCAUGUUUUUGGAACAAGAUGGGCCGCCCCAUGCUCUUACUUAAUCAUUAACUAAUUGCUAACUAAUUGAUGGGGCCUAAGGCCUUAUUCUCUUGGUGGCCCGCUUGACUCUUCGUGGACUUGGAUCAUGGUGUAAAUGACUCGAUUGUCUCUCUCCAAGCCCUCAAUAUCUUAGUGAACUCCAUGUUGGUCUUGAACGUUCCUUGAAUUGCUUAGCCCAUGCACGUGUGACUGGGCCCAAUGGUACUUGAACUGGGUCAUUGGUGGGCCAAGGUCCGUGCACACAUCAUCCACGCUCGUCUUCAGUAUAUAUGAUUUUGCUGCUGACACCAAUUCAUGUGAGUUACGGUCAAAAAAAUCUCAACUUGAUCAAUAAGCAAGGCCAUGGGCAAAAUUCACUACCUUUUCUUGAUAAAUUUUAGCAUAGUUUCGUUAGCCAUGAUGGCUGCCGGCAACAGUAAUGUUACGUCGGAUCAAUUAGCGCUUCUUGCGCUAAGAGAUCGCAUGAUCAAUUCAGAGCCUCGAGAAAUCUUGGCAAAAAACUGGUCCAUUACCUCCUCUGUUUGUGAUUGGAUAGUGGUCACCUGCGGCUCUCGACACCGCCGAGUGACUGCCUUGAAUAUCUCAAACAUGAACCUUACUGGUACCUUACCUCCUCAACUUGGGAACCUGUUCUUUCUGGGUUCCCUUAACAUUAGCGGGAACAAUUUCCAUGGAGAAUUACCCUGAGUUAGUUCAGUUGCGCAGAUUGAGAUACCUUGAUUUUGGGAUCAACAAUCUCGGUGGAGAGCUUCCCUCCUGGUUUGGUUUAUUACACAAACUCCAAUACCUGUCUCUCAGAAACAAUAGCUUUGCGGGUUCUAUCCCGCCUUCCAUCUCUAACAUGUCAAACUUGGAGACGCUAUGGCUGUCUUUCAAUUUCAUUGAGGGGACCGUUCCAACAGAAUUUCAGAAUCUUCAUAAUUUGAAGAAUUUGAUUAUUGAGUAUAAUCAGCUUUCUCGUCCUUUGCCACCCCAUGCAUUCAAUAUUUCCUCGCUGGAAAGCAUUUCCUUCAUGAAUAACAGCCUAUCUGGCAUUCUUCCGGACAACAUCUGUUAGCGCCUUCAGAAACUUACAUGGCUUAAUCUAGCAUAUAACAAUUUGAUCGGUCCAAUACCUUCAACAGUGUCUCAGUGUUCACUGCUUCGGUAUCUUGCCUUGUCUGAGAACCAUUUAAGUGGAUCGAUACCCAUGGGAAUUGGGAACUUGACAAUGCUGGAGAAACUACACCUGGAGAGCAACAAUUUAACAGGUAAAAUGUGGUAGUGAUCUGCUUUUAUUCCUAUUUUUUAAGCAUAGAUUAAGCUUAUGCUUCUGUUCUUGUAUGUGGUUGUCACGCCCCGAGCCCGCACGUGCCCGUCACAUGACAUCUGCCGUACUCUCAAGUCUCACUCAAGAAUACAAGACUAUAUUAACUAAUUUAACUUGAACAGUACUAAAUAAUUUAACUAAAUAAAGUGCGGUACGAAUUACAUAUAAAAGGAAGUCUACGAAUAUUCAAAGCGUUCGUACAUUUAUUCUCCAAUUGAAACAGCGGAAACAAGAGUAAAUAAGACUAACACUAGAAGUAACUAGCCUGCCAACUUCUAUGCACCUAAACUAAUAAAAGUCAUCCUCAGGGUCUUCUAUAUAAACCAAUUCAUACUCUUCCGAAUCUGCAAAAAUGGUAAGAAGUGGGUUGAGCGACACAUCGCUCAGUAGGUAAUAUUUACCCCUCUGUUGGAUCAUGCACUCUUAAUUUUAUAGGUACACAAAUGUUUGAAAGUAACGUUAUUUAUAAAGCAAUCAGUAGUAAAGAAUGACAAGCAAUUUAAAAGCAUCUCGUUGAUAGUUGUACAUGAGAAAUCGUAAGGUCAUAAAUCAUUUCGUCUCAAGUCACAAACCUCUCCAUAACCAUUCGCAAAUCAACUCAUAUCAGUUCAUAAGUCUCAUUUCAACUCAGUUCAUAAAUCAUUCCAUCAGAUCAGCUCAUAACAAGUACAUGCAAUGACCGGCUACUGAGUACUCAGCCUAGAGAUUAGAUCCCUUCUAGGUGGGCGACCAAUAGAUUUCAUGACUAUCGAUUGAUCUCAUUUCAUUCUUGGGUCAAUCGGUCGGACUUUAUAUCAGGCUACCAUGACCUUGCCAAUCGGCCGGACUUUAUACCAAGCUACCAUGGCUUUGUCAAUCGGCCGGACUCUAUACUACGCUACCAUGACCUUACCAAUCGGCCGGACUUCAUACCAGACUACCAUGGCGAUUAGACAGGACUAUAGCCCCUACCGUCUAUUCCAUGACUGCUCUGAGCCUUACUUGUCAAAAUUCAUUUCGUAUAUCACAUACAUAAUUCUUUGCUUUCAUAAAAGAUUCAACUCAUUUUGUAUAUAAGAACAUAUCAAAAUAUUUCAAAUAGGUCACAUGGUCCAUUUUUAUAUAGUAAAAUAUAGCUUUCAUAAAUAUCCAAGUAAAGCAUUUAAUCAAACACAUUUCGAGUCAACACAACAAAAUAGGGUUGAAAACAAGAAUUUCAUUUGUACAUUUGAAAUCUCAGAAGGAUAAGUACCACCUAUCUCUGUUUGGCGGCUCGAGUGGAACUACUUUAGGUCCUUAUAUCGUACCUAUCAAAAGUAUAGGUUCCCUAAUUAGUUGUUACUUCCUAUAGAUGCAUAAAUAUACACCUCUAAGUAAGUACAGCAUUCAUAUCUAAACCAUUAUAUGGACCCUAAUAGUAUUUCCCCCAAAUUGGACGAUUUUUAUUUUUGGAAAGUUUCCUAAUUUGAAGAGUUUCUAUUUUUAGAAAGUUUCUUAAUUUGGAAAGUGCUCAUUUUGUAAAGUUUCCUAAUUUAACAGAAAAUAAUUAUUCACAAUCCUGGUUAUUAUCCUCACUACUAUCUUACUAUAUUUAUUUAUAAUUUAUGAUUAUCCGUUAUUAUUAUUACCAUCCCCGUCAUCGCUAAUUUAUUUUAUUAUCACUUAUAUAUAUAUAUUAGAUAGUCACUAUUACCUUCCCCUUUAUUUCCACUUUUAGGCGUGUGUAGGUGUUAUUAUUAUUUGUAUAUAUAUCUACCCAUACACUUAUACAUACUGACUUUCUAUAAUUGUUUUAGUUUAUUCCACUCGUAAUUAUAUCUUAUUUUUUGUUUAUAUUCUUCAUUUAUUUCCCCCACGUCCACAUUAUUGUUAUUCUCACUAUCAUUGUUUUAUUAAUUAUUAUUUACUAUUACUACUACCACUAGUAUUAUUAUUAUAUUUAUCCUCAUAUAUAUAUAUAUAUAUAUAUUUUAUUAUAUAUAUUUAUUAUUAUUAUUAUUAUUAUUAUUAUUAUUUUAAGCAUUUCGUUUAGCAAUUUAGCACUUACCUUACCUUGUUUGAUGUGGCUUAAGACGGCUAGAUUAAGAUGUUUUAGAUUUCCAUUUAAGUAUCUUAUACGUAAUUAACUAAUGAUAGUUAAUGAGAAAAUUCAACAUUGAUAUUGGCUGGUGGGUAUUUUUCUAAUAUUGAUGUUAUCAUAGCUAAAGACCACCGCAUUAAUUGCCGGUCCCCACCUCCGUGUGUGUGUUUUUGUGCCAUGAAGACUUCCACGCUCGUCUUCAGUAUAUAUGAUUUUGCUGCUGACACCAAUUCAUGUGAGUUUCGGUCAAAAAAAUCUCAACUUGAUCAAUGAGCAAGGCCAUGGGCAAAAUUCACUACCUUUCCUUGAUAAAUUUUAGCAUAGUUUCGUUAGCCAUGAUGGCUGCCGGCAACAGUAAUGUUACGUCGGAUCAAUUAGCGCUUCUUGCGCUAAGAGAUCGCAUGAUCAAUUCAGAGCCUCGAGAAAUAUUGGCAAAAAACUGGUCCAUUACCUCCCCUGUUUGCGAUUGGAUAGGGGUCACCUGCGGCUCUCGACACCGCGGAGUGACUGCCUUGAAUAUCUCAAACAUGAACCUUACCGGUACCUUACCUCCUCAACUUGGGAAUCUGUCCUUUCUUGUUUCCCUUGAUAUUAGCAAAAACUAUUUCCACGGAGAACUACCUCGCGAGUUAGCUCACUGGCGCCGACUAAGAUACCUUGAUUUCGGGUUCAACAAUGUCGGUGGAGAGCUUCCCUCCUGGUUUGGCUAUUUGCAUAAACUCCGAUACCUGUCCCUCAGAGAAAAUAGCUUUACGGGUUCUAUCCCGCCUUCCAUCUCUAACAUGUCAAACUUGGAGAUGCUAUGGCUGUCUUAUAAUUCCAUUGAGGGGAACGUUCCGAUAGUAUUUCAGGAACUUCAUAAUUUGAAGCAUUUGAUUAUUGAGCAUAAUCAGCUUUCGGGUCCUUUGCCUCUCCACACUUUCAAUAUUUCCUGACAGGAAAGCAUUUCUUUCAAUAAUAACAGCCUAUUUGGCAUACUUCCAGACAACAUCUGUGACGGCCUUCAGAAACUUACUUUUCUUGGUCUAACAGGUAAUAGUUUGACUGGUCAAAUACCUUCAACACUGUCCCGGUGUUCACUGCUUCAGGUGCUAUCCUUGUCAGUGAAUUAUUUCACUGGACCCAUACCCAAGGAAAUAGGAAACUUGACAAAGCUGGAAAAGCUAUACUUGGGGACCAACAACUUAAGAGGUAGAAAGUAGUAGUGAACAAUUUUUCUUUUUAUUUUAUAAACUCAUAUAGGUAUCAAUGUCCAUUUUUUUUCCCUUGUGUUGAGCUCACACUUCAUUUCUUCGGUUCUUCUAUAUGGACGUGUUAGUGAAACAGAAAAACACUACAGCCAUUUACCUUUUUUUUUUUUGGAUAGAAGGUUCUUUGUGAUUCAUGUUUCAAAAGACUUAAAUAUGCAAAUGAAAAGCUUUCAGUUUUAGGGGUACUCGACUUGUUAUAGGCAUCCUGUUCUUGUGUUUCUAAAAUUUUGAAUAAUCUUGACACCAAAAGGUGCAGGAAACACGACCAUUUCCAAUUGAUAAAAUUUGGAAAGUUCAAAAGUCUCAUCAUUGCUGUCGCUAUAUAUUUCCAUUCCAAGUCAAACCAAUCUCAUGAGAGUUGCAAUUUUGCAGGUGCAAUUUCAACUGAAUUAUGGAAUUUAACCAUGUUGAUGAAUUUAGAUUUUGGCGACAACAAAUUGACAGGUAUGCCAAAGUUGCUAAUUACAAGGUCUUAAUUGCGUAGACCAACAUUAAAACUUGGCAUCAGUUUGAUCAGUAGGAUACUUGGGGCCUAUGUUCGGUUAUUUGACAAUUUGACAUCAACUUUUCCUUUUAACGGAUUUUUUCAAACUUUAAAUUCUAGAUAGUGCCAAUGGAAAGUUGCCAAUGAUAUGCUAACACAAAAGUGCUUUACCAUAUUACAGGUGGAAUACCUGAAAGCAUUGGGAAUCUUCACACAUUAGAGACUCUUGCUUUAUUCAACAAUUCAUUAUCAGGUUCCAUACCAGCUGCAAUUUUUAACAUUUCAUCUCUCCAAUAUAUUGGACUCCACCAGAACAAAUUCUCAGGAACGAUUCCUUUGACAGUGAGUAAUAAGUUAAGCAAUUUGGAGUCUCUUUUUCUUUAUCGGAAUGACUUGACUGGUGUUAUACCCAACUCCAUCUCAAAUGCUUCUAAGCUAGUUUUUUUGAUACUUUACAAUAACGAGCUCACAGGUUCAAUCCCCACCUCUUUAGGAAGUUUAAGAAAUCUAAAAAUUCUAAACUUGGUUUUCAACAGGCUAUCAAGUGAAUCCUCAGAAUUGAGCUUUUUCACUUUCUUGACGGCUUGCAGAUCCUUGAGAUAUUUAACAUUGAAUAAUAAUCCUCUAAAUGGUUUUCUACCAGCUUCCAUUUCUAACUAUUCGACUUCACUUGAAGGGAUAAGUGCAGUCACUUGUAAAAUCAAAGGAAACAUCCCAGCUGGAAUCAACAAUUUGAGCAGUUUACUAGUUCUAGAUUUUUCAGAUAAUGAAUUGAUUGGAUCUGUCCCAAGAACUAUGCAUAGUCUGGCAAAUCUUCAAGUGCUGUACUUGAACUCGAAUCAAAUAAGAGAUGUCUUGGACAUUUUCUGUGGAUUACAUAGUUUGGGGUUGUUAAGCUUGAGCCAAAAUCAAUUCUUUGGUAGUAUUCCAGAAUGCUUAGGAAAUAUGACAAAUUUUAGACAGAUUUUUCUAGACUCCAACAGGUUGACUUCCAUGAUACCUGCUAACCUAUUGAGCAUGAAAGAUCUCCAAAUUCUCAACCUUUCAUCAAAUUUCUUAAGUGGAUCGCUACCUUUAGACAUCGGGAACCUCAAAGCAGCAUAUAGUUUAGAUAUCUCGUUCAAUCAAUUAUCAGACAAAAUCCCUACAACCAUUGGAGAGCUACAAGCUUUACAGAACCUUUCAUUGGCGAGAAAUAAUUUGCAGGGUUCUAUACCAGAAUCAUUUAGCUAUAUGGUAUUUUGGAAUUCUUGGACCUUUCACAUAAUAAUCUCUCUGGUGUGAUACCCAAGUCAAUGGAGGCACUCAAAUCUCUUAAGGAAUGCAAUGUUUCUUUUAAUAGAUUAAGUGGAGAAAUUCCUCGAGAUGGUCCCUUCAGAAACUUUACAGGUUAAUUGUUCAUGAACAAUGAAGGACUCUCUGGUGACCUAAGGCUUAGUGUUCCACCAUGUCAGAGUAAUUCAAUUAGAAGAUCGAGCAAAAGAAAGGUGCUUCUACUUGUCAUUAGUCUGUCAGGGAUGGCAGCAAUACUGAUAAUAGCAAUUGGAGCAUUAUUGAAUCUAAAGUGGCUAAAGAAACCAAAGAGUUCUGGUGGAACAGAGUUGAUGUUAGCGGCAAAAUAUGAAAGAUUUUCAUACUAUGACCUUUUGCACUCAACCGAUAACUACAAUGAAAGCAAUUUGCCUGGAGAAGGGAGCUAUUGUUCUGUUUACAAAGGGAUCCUAAGUGAUGGCACUGUUGUGGCUAUCAAGGUAUUCAACUUGCUAGUGGAAGGUUCAUUAAAAAGUUUUGUUAGAGAAUGUGAGGUUCUAAAGAGUUUAUGCCAUCGAAAUCUUACAAAAGUGCUCGGCAGCUGCUGUAACCUUGAUUUUAAAGCCUUGGUACUCAAAUACAUGCCCAAUGGGAAUCUUGAGAAGUGUUCGUACUCUCACAACCAUUUUUUAGAUAUGUUCCAAAGAAUAAACAUAAUGAUUGACGUUGCUUAUGCAUUCGAAUAUCUCCAUUAUGGUUAUGAUACUCCUGUGGUACAUUGUGACUUGAAACCCAGUAAUAUCUUGCUUGAUGAAGAUAUGGCUGCCCAUGUAAGUGACUUUGGUAUAACAAAAAUGUUUGGUGAAGGAGAAAGUAUUUUGCAUACCAACACCCUUGCAACACUGGGAUACAUUGCGCCAGGUUAAGCAUUUAAACUUUUGCUGUCUACAUUUCCUUUACUUCUACGAUGUUGUUCAUCUGUUGUUAAUCUUUUAACUGAUUCUAUUAUUCUGACUAUUGUAAUCUUGUGCCAGAGUAUGGAUCAGAGGGGAUAGUUUCGACAAGAAUUGAUGUAUACAGCUUUGGAAUAGUUUUGAUGGAAGUUUUUUCAAGGAUGAGGCCUAGUGAUGAAAUGUUUUUGGGAGAUUUAAGCCUUAAAAGUUGGAUAGAAGAUUCUCUUCCUGAUGCACUUCAGGUCGUUGAUGCAAACUUAAUAAGGCCAGAGGAUGAGCAUUUCACUCACAAGCUGAAGUGUGUUUUAUUGAUCAUGAAUUUGGCUUUGAACUGCUGUAGAGAAUCUCCAAGAGAACGGAUGAACAUGAAAGAUGUUUUAGCAGAACUACUAAAGAUCAAGAACCAAUUUCAAUUUCUGAUGAUAGUAAGUAUUUAUCCUUUUUGUGCAAAUUUUACUUCUCAAUGUUGAAAGUUAUGUUUCCUUAUUCAAUUGAGCUUAUAACCUGCUAUUUUUUGCAGCAUACCGUUAGGUCUUGAUCGUAUCAGAAACAAUGCUUUGGCCAAUGCAAACGGAUAUUGCUGUAUAAUUUGUAAGCUUGAUUUAUUUUGAAGGCCAGAGAGAGAUGUACAUUAUUCCCUUGGUGUCAUCUACAUCACAUUUGGACUUUCAGUUAUAAGGAACAUUGCAUCUAGGGUUUUACUUUGCUUUUCUUUUUUUUCCUUUAAUUCUGACUAAGUUCUUGGCUACCUUUUACUUUAAAUAAUCUAGUGACAAAAAGUAGAAAAUUCACAAUUCCCUGCCAUAAAAAUAGAAUAGCAAAAGCAUACCAUUCACUUUCAAAGGAGACUUCAGGGACGACUAGUCUAGGUCUGGGUUUGUUUCUUCUCCAUCCACAUAUAUAAUAAUGGAAACUGGAAUUAAAGUCAAUGAAGGAAUAAAGCAAGACUAAUGGUGGCCCCUUCCCAAUCAGCGUCGCAAGCUCCAUGUCGUCCAUGAUUUGAUAGUCCUUGUUUGGAACCUACUUGGAAAAUAAAUCAAUGUUACAACCUUUCUCCAUUGAUUUGGUUUUAUUAUUCCUGGAAUGUGUUAUUAGUGGACUUCCAUGCUCGUUUCUAUCUGUAUAUAUCGUUUUCCAGUUCAUCCCAAUUCUUAAUUAGUGAGUGCCCCGGUGAGUGUGGAAAUCUGAAAUUGAACCAUAAGCAUGGCCAGGGACAAAAUCUACUACUUCUUCAUGCUUAUCAUGCUUACUAUGGAUCAAUCAGUGACAUGAUCACUUCAGAACCUCAAGAAUUCUUGGCAAAAAAUUGGUCAAUUACCUCCUCUAUUUGUGAAUUGCUUCGUCAGUUGGCUCACUUGCGUAGAUUGAGAUACCUUAAUUUGGAAUCAACAAUUUUGGUGGACAACUUCGCUCCUGGUUUGGUUCCUUAUAGAAACUCCAAUACCCGUCUCUCAGAAACAAUUGCUUUACGGGUUCUCUCCCACCUUCCAUCUCUAACAUGUCAAACUUGAAGACGUUAUGGCUGUCCUUCAAUUCCAUUGAGGGAACAAUUCCAACAGAAUUUCAGAAUCUUCAUAGUUUGAAGAAUUUACAUAUUCAGCAUAAUCGGCUGUCUGGUCCUCUGCCACUCCACACUUUCAAUAUCUCCUCACUGGAAAACAUUUCUUUUAUUGAAUUAGGGUAUACCAAAAUUUACUUUAAGAUAUGUAAUAGGGAUGUAAAUAGUUAUAUUUAUAUUGUAUAGUUAUAUUUUUUUCUGCAUGAGCGACAUAUUGGAGCAUCUUUUCAUAACGUGCAACAUGGGUGGUUUGUGAUAUUAUAAUAUAUAUCAAAUAUAUUACAUGAUCUAUUUGCAUAUAACAAAAUAAAACUUGCUUUUAAGGAAAUUUCACAUUUAAUAUUCAAAAAUUCAAAGAGGUGAGUACCAUCGAAAAACUUAAUUUGGUCCUUUAAAGAAGCAAGUUGUUCUAAUUUUGAUCAUUUAUCAUAUUUUGUUAAGGAAAAAUCAUUCAAACGUUCCUCACAUUUUAUAAAAUGAUUUUUUUCGUCCCUCACUUUUAAAAGUAUAAUUUUACGUUCUCAAACAACGUGUACUAUUUAUAGUGGGAAGUAAGAUUUCCGAACAACUCCUAAUAUUCAUCAUAUGUACAAUAGCACAUUUUUUAAAAACAAAAGCUAUAGUAAUAUCUUAAAAAAUGCCAAAAAGAACUUAUUAAGAACUAAAAACACUUGAAAAGAAUACACUAACAUUCCUUUACAUUACCACCUUUUUUCUUCUCACUUUCUCCUUUCCUCUUUCCUUCGCACCAUGCCACUACCUCUCUCCUUUCCCUUCGCCCCUCUCUUCCCCCCCUCCCCACCCAAAUCGCCUCCCUCCACUAUACUUCUCGACUCAUUUCUCUUUUUCCUUCUCAACACCCACUAUUCCUCUAACCUUUAUGCUUUCCCACCUUCACCCACCAGCGCACCAAUUCCCCUCCUCUCUUUUGUUCCCUUUCCCUUUCUUUUCUUCAUCACUCUUGGAAUACCCAAUCCAUCUUGUUUUCUGAAAAUGUAACAUGCAUGAUAUAUAGAUAUUAAACGUGCCUCUAAAAAUAAUUAAUCUAACGAGCUCAUACAUUGAUUUCCUAAGUGCUCUGACAUCUUAAAGAUAGCAAUUAUAUAAAGCUAUUUUCUUUUUUCAUUUACCUAGUAUUAUCGAAAACAAAUUGAUAAACUCGGACUUUGUCCGAAGUAUAAAUGUGUGAGCAGCAAUCGGGCUUCAUAUGUGAGCUUCGAGCGGGGCAAAUGUAACUGAGCAAAGUUCUGCUCUAGUUUAUCGAAUGCAUAAUGCAUAUCAUUAAGUUCUCGAUUUUUAAAUGCAUAAAGCUAUUUAAUAGAAUGCAUAGCUAAAAUUCUUGAAACCUCUCAUCCUCAAAUACAUGCAUAGCUAAGCUCUUUUACUGCAAAAGCUGAUUCAGAGAAAAUCUUUAAUCAACAAAAAUAUGGACAGAAGAAGAAGGGUAAAUAGAGGGCAAAAGUAUAAAAUUAAAACUGCAAUUAAUGCUCAUAGGACAGGUUCACAAAAUUAUGAUGGGAGAUUUGUGACUUCCAUAUAAACAAAAGGGAAAUCAGUAUAAUUUAGCCUAACUAAAAGAGACACCCAAAAAAUUUAAGGAUUUUUCAAAAGACUACAUCAUAGGGAUGACAAUGGGGUGGGUGCCUGCAGGGGCGAGGGAAAAUGCAGGACUAAAGUGUGGGAUGGAUUUAAUAUAGUAUAAUAUGGAUGUAGUUUUUUUUUUUGAAUAAUUUUUUAAAAUAAUAUCAUACACUUUAUUUUAUAUAUAUAACUUUGAAAUAAAUUGUAUGGUAUUAUUAUGCUUAAAUACAUAACUUUGAAUUAAUAACAUGAUUUAUUGUCAAUUUAUUAUGGUAAAAUGAUAAUUUUAUUAUGUUCAUUUACUUAUUUUCUUUUUCAUGUAUUGCAUGUUGUUUAUUAAAAAAAAUGACAAUUGGUUUAGAUUCUAUGUUGUAUCAAAAAUAAAAAAAAUUCCAAAAGUAUAUUUUUGGGUUUGAUACCUUCCGAAAAUUUUAUUAUCACAACUCUCCAAUAAAUUGAUCUUAAUACCAACAAUUUCUCAGGAACUCUUCCUUCGACAAUUGGAAAUAAGCUAAGCAAUCUUGAGAUUCUUGGACUCCACCAAAAUGACUUGUGUGGAGUUAUACCUGACUCCACCUCAAAUGCUUCUAAGCUCGUUCGGCUAAGCCUUCAAUUUAAUAGCUUCACUGGUGUAAUUCCCAACUCCCUAGGAAAUUUGAGAAACAUCAAGAAUCUAUGCUUAGCCAGCCACAAUCUAUCAACUGAUUCCUCUACUGGAUUGAGCUUUCUCACUUCCUUGACAAGGUGUAGAUUCUUGAGAUAUUUAAAUAGUGGGCGAUAAUCCACUCAAUGGUUUUCUUCCAAUAUUUUUGAACUAUUCGACUUCUCUGAAAGUCUUAAUUGCUACUAGUUGUAAAAUCAAGGGAAACAUCCCUAAAAAAAUCGGCAAUUUGAGUAGUUUUACUGGUGUUAGAUUUUUUUUUCCUGGUGUUAGAUUUAUCAUGUAAUGUACUCACUGGAUCUCUUCCAAGAACAAUACAAGGUUUAACAAAACUUCAGCGACGGGACUUUAGUGUCAAUGAAAUAAGAGACUCCUUGGAAGUUUUUAGUGAAUCAUAUACAUUGGGUGAGUUGCAUUUGAGCCAAAAUCAGUUCUCCGGUCCACUUCCAACGUGUUUAGGAAACCUUACAUCUCUAACCAAGAUUCAUGUGGAUUCCAAAAAAUCGACUUCAAAGAUUCCUACAAGUGGACCGUGAAAAAUCUUCAAGAACUCAAUCUUUCCUCAAGCUUUUCAAGUGGAUUCCUACCUCCAGAGAUCGAAAACCUCAAACCAGCAUACCUUUUAGAUUUCUCAGUCAAUCAACUAUGAGAUAUUAUUCCUACUACAAUUGGAGAGCUACAAGAUUUGACUUGCCUUUCUUUGGCAAACAACACUUUUCAAGGGUAUAUUCCAGAAUCAAUUGGAAACAUGAUCAGCUUGGAAUCCUUGAACCUUUCAUAUGAAAUCAGAAGAUUAGUUUUAAUUGUGAACAUUAUAGACCAACCUAUUGCGACCACAUUUGCUGUACAUGCAAAAAAGAAGGAAUAUUCCUGAUGACAUUCAGCUUAACUCUCCAAAAUCUUGUUGAUUGUUAACGCUACGUCAAUUGCGUGCAAUUAAUCAAGUUUUUUUUCCCAUCGUCCCACCUCUUCCACCAGAUAGCCAGUUAGAUACUGGAAUUGAAUUUAAACUUGAUAAUGGGGAAAAAUCUAAUAGCCCCUCUCCUGGCUACUGUGAGUGAAUUGAAUAUUGAUUCUCAAUCCAAUUAAUUGAGUUUAAUAUUUAAACAAAGGCCAAUACAAGUUGACUCAAUUGGCAAGGAUGAUUACUUUUUCGCAAAAGGUCGUGUGUUCGAAUUCCUAUCUCGAUAUAAGAAUUGUGUUGAUAUAUGGUCUCGAUAUAUGGUCUUGGAGGCAUGCACCACCCAUGAUAGUGAUUGGAAUUGAAUCCAUCCAAAUUUUCACUUACCAAAAAAAAAAAAACUUAAAUGAAGGCAAAAUCUCAAUUACAGCUAUUUGAGUGGCUGAAUUUUUUUCCUUCAUGUUAAUGUUUGCAAAAUAAACUCUCACUUACCAAAAAAAAAAUUUAAAUGAAGGCAAAAUCCCAAUUACAGCUGCUUGAAUGGCUGAAUUUUUUUUUCUUUAUGAUAAUGUUUACAAAAUUUCGCUCGUUCAUUCUAUUUUUAAACAUCUCUGAUUGCCUCGUUCACUGCCUCCUGGACCAAUUUAGCUUAGGACCAAGAGUGUAUUUGUUAGAUCCAAACGUGGAACAAACAACUAUUAAGAUAUCAAAUAUACAACAAUUUAAUGAUAAAUAAGCCACAAGCAUGAAAGAUAAACACACAUAAUAUUUAACGUGGUUCGAUUCCACCAUUGAGCCUACGUCCAUGGAGAGACACCUGCUCUUUAUUAUGAGAGGAAAACCCUAUACAAGAAUACAAUUUGAACCCAAACCCAACCCUUGUAUACCAUCUCUCAUCUUCCAAAAACCCUCUCUCACACUCCAUGUAUAAGGUUACAUGACACCCUUGUGUGUCCUUGUGUAUUGUAUGUCAACCCACCUAUUUAUAGAAAAUAUUAUUUGACCAAAAUCCAAAUAACAAUAGCAAAUCAAUGCUAAUUUCUAAGCUAGUUCAGAAUAAGAAAUAAUUUCUGAGCUAAUUUCCUGCAACAAAGUCAGUUCUCUGUUGAUUGGCCACCACGUGUGGGAGAUCACAUACAAGACAUUCUAAGUUGGGAAAAUUUUGGGCAAUGCCCUUAGCAAAUUCACCAGUGCCACCUCGAACAUCAACGAAAGAUGUCAGGUCCUGAAACACAGACUUGCAUUGGGUCAUCACCACCUCAACGAUUAAACUAGAGUCACCAGCCAUGGCUUCAUUAAAGAUUUUCGCAAACUGAGGUUCCGCAGCAGCAUAAGACCAGAAGUUUUGAAGGGUGUAUUACAGAUUUAUACAAACAGAUAAAAGCCUGCUGAAUACAGAUUUAUAAGGGUGUAUUCUUCUCUCUGGAAUUGAGAAUCAUAUGAUUCUCAAAUGACUAGUCAAAGUCUAAGAAAUUAAAUCCCAGAUUUUUAGAUGUUAUUGUUGUCGUUAAAAUAAAUUUUUGUUCGGUGAUUUCCAAAUAUAAGAGGUAAAUGGCUGAAAACUUAAUGUCAAUGAUCCUUAGAAGACGCCAUAUUUUGGUGGAUUCUAAAGUGAAAGUAUCAAAGAGAGUUAAAUCUCGCGGAUUUUCGAACACCACAGCUUAGGUCAAACUUGAGCAGCUCAAAUAGUGAUAGAACCUAGCGCUUGAGCAAAAGCAUAUGUCUGUGAGGCUCGAAACACUGUCAAAUUUAAUUGAGCAUGAAAAAAAAAAUAAUCUUAAUCGAGCGUUACACAUAUGUAUAAAUUUUUUUUAUUAGUUUGAAAUGUUUACUGUAUGUCUGAUCACAAUUAAAUGGAUAAAGUUUUACAAAAAUAUGCACACUCUAACUCGGUGUAAGUUAAGUUUCAACAACAACAAUGACAUUUAAAAAUUUGGGAUUUAAUUUUCUUGGAUUUUGAAAAAUUCUUGUCACUUUCAAAAUCAUGUGAUUCUCAAUUCUUGAGAGAAGAAUAGAUCCUUAUUGAUACGAACUCGACCCAACAAGAACCUGUCUUGAAGAACCGAAUCGAUCAGGCAGCGGAAGGAUCUAUCUUGACCAGGUUAUGGAUACAAAGAUGGAAAGACCUUACGACCCCUCUAAUCCCCGUGACUACGAACUUGUUGAUAUUAUCUCAACCCGUAACCAAACGAAUUAGUAAACCUCAGGCAAGUGUAGAAGGCGCCACAAUUCAACAUGGUCUUGAAUUGAUAAGCCGAAACUUGAACAAAGGAGAUACAACUCACUUUGUAUCAAGGAACGCUCCCAAAGGAACAAGAAAGAGAAAACUCUCAAUUUUUUUAUUCAUCUCAUAAUUGUGUUUUUCAAUAGUUAAAUAAAGUUGGCUAUUUAUAGCCUUGCAAGACUCAAAACCCUAAUCUAAAUUGGAAACAAUACAAGUUUCCUUAUUUGACUUGACUUCUAAACUUGACACAACUUCCUAAACAAAUUUGGAAGCAAUUAACUGCUUUCCUAAAACUCUAAUUCAACUAGAAUAGGAAACUAACUAAUUCAAAUUGGCUUAAUUAUGGUCAACAUGACCUUAGCCUUUAUUCCCUAAUUCAAACAACUUACUUAACUCUCAAUUUGGAAAUCAAUCAAGAUACCAAUCAAGAUUUGGAAGCCAAUUAAAAUUUGAAAAAUUUGGAUCUUCAAUGAUUCUCGAGCCCGAUUGCACCAUCAACCAUCAUUAGAAUGUGCAGACUUGUAAAAUGAAAGGAAUCCAUGCAAAUCUUCAUGUUCUCAUCAUUCCCCUCCUCUUGAAAGACGAUUUGUCCUCAAAUCGAGUGCUUGUUUACAAAGGAGUAACUCGGAGAAUGUUAUAUGUAAUCCAAGAACUUCAAGAAAUUAUCAAGCCAACUACAAGAAGCAAGAACAACAAGAAACAACCACAAGGUAUGGGGAAAAAAGAGAAAAAAAAAUAAUUUUCGGAUGAAUAGUACUGCUACAGUACUACUACAAUGCGGCGAUGAACAGUACUGCUACAGUGUGAACAGUUCUGAUGAACAGUACCGCUGUGAACAGUACUUUUUUUUUUUUUUGCUUUUGACGACUCGAUGCAAGGUUAGGACUUCACUUGGAAGAAAUUUAAUAGGAGUUAAACCCUUGAAAAACCUGUUUUCAAGAACGUAAUCACACCAAGAAAUUCCAACCUCGUUCAAUCAAGGGGGUAGGUUAGACUCAAGUGAUAAAAUAAUAAAAACCAAAAAAAUUUUUUUUCUUUUAAAAUUGAAAGGCGGCUAGGGUUUCGAUAGAAAAAAAAAAUAGACAAAUAAGAAAAGAAAAAGGAUAUUAACCUGAAUCAAGAGCCGAAGCUCUGAUACCAGAUGAUACGAACUCGACCCAACAAGAACUUGUCUUGAAGAAUCGAAUCGAUCAGGCAGCGGAAGGAUCUAUCUUGACCAGGUUAUGGAUACAAAGAUGGAAAGACCUUACGACCCCUCUAAUCCCCGUGACUACGAACUUGUUGAUAUUAUCUCAACCCGUAACCAAACGAAUUAGUGAACCUCAGGCAAGUGUAGAAGGCGCCACAAUUCAACAUGGUCUUGAAUUGAUAAGCCGAAACUUGAACAAAGGAGAUACAACUCACUUUGUAUCAAGGAACGCUCCCAAAGGAACAAGAAAGAGAAAACUCUCAAUUUUUUAUUCAUCUCAUAAUUGUGUUUUUCAAUAGUUAAAUAAAGUUGGCUAUUUAUAGCCUUGCAAAACUCAAAACCCUAAUCUAAAUUGGAAACAAUACAAGUUUCCUUAUUUGACUUGACUUCUAAACUUGACACAACUUCCUAAACAAAUUUGGAAGCAAUUAACUGCUUUCCUAAAACUCUAAUUCAACUAGAAUAGGAAACUAACUAAUUCAAAUUGGCUUAACUAUGGUCAACAUGACCUUAGCCUUUAUUCCCUAAUUCAAACAACUUACUUAACUCUCAAUUUGGAAAUCAAUCAAGAUAUCAAUCAAGAUACCAAUCAAGAUUUGGAAGCCAAUUAAAAUUUGGAAAAUUUGGAUCUUCAAUGAUUCUCGAGCCCGAUUGCACCAUCAACCAUCAUUAGAAUGUGCAGACUUGUAAAAUGAAAGGAAUCCAUGCAAAUCUUCAUGUUCUCAUCACUUAUAAAUCUGUAUUCAGCUGGCUUUUAUCUGUUUUUUUAAUGGGGUUUUUAUAGCCGACCAAUUUUUGGUGUAUUUUCAAGAUAAAAUACCCCUUUGUCUUAUAUAUUGAUACAUUACCUCUUUGUCUUACAUGUGAAUCUCCAUUACCGGCCGCUUGUUGAUUUAUGAUGCCGCCUUAUACAUCAAUUCAUUUCCAACCUGCAUUAGAUAUUGUAUUUUCGAAAUACAGUCUAAUGCAUCCAUCUGAUACUUUCUUUUGAGGUUUUCUCUGUGGUCUCGAAAGCCAAUCCAUCUUCUCGGGUGCCUCAAUCCUGAAUUGGAUACUCUUGCUUUGACUUUCACUAUGGUACUGUAUUUUUGUGGAGUAAAUGACACAAAUAGUUUUAAAUUGUUCAAAAUUUAUUAUUGUGAUCUUCAAAAUUAUGUACUCUUGUGACAAUUAUGUUUUAAAAUUUAUUAUGAAAGGCUUGUUUAGACCAGCCUUGCUUUGGUUGUUUUAUUUGAUAACUUUUGUAUAUAGAAUUAGGUUAUAGUAGUAAAUAGUUGUAUUUUGUAUAGCAGGUUGAAUUUCGGGUUCAUCUUGGUUGUUGCCAAUUGCUACAUACGUACAUGGUAGGAAGACUUAAAAGUUAGUAUGUACAAAAUUUUAGUUAUUUUUGGUUUGAUUCUAGAGAGGGUGAUGUUAUGUCCUAGUUUUGGGACGUGAAAACACAUAUAAUGGCUUCUUUUCUUCUCAAUUCUCUUUUUCAUUACACGAUUGAGGAGAGAGUUGUGAUGGCUGAAAGUUUUUGAAGGCUUUUUUUUGAAUUGAAAAGGGAAAAGUGAAUUAAAAAAGGAUCAAGUGAUGAUAUUCCAUCCAAAUUUGUUAGGAAGCCAUCAAUUGUUUUCAAUUAAUCAAAAUUAUGAGGAUGAAAUGGGUUUUGGUUGGAACUUGAAGAACAAAAUUAGUCCAGAUCCGAAACAUUGGGAAUUAAAAGUGCAAUUUUCUCCUCAUGAUAGAAAUGAUACACCAUGAAGGCCUAAACUGGUUUCUAUCAAAUAUGGUUCACCUUUGUCGUAGGUUGUAAAUUAUUUUCGUUUAAGUGGUAAUAUAAAAAUCUUCUAUGAUCCUUGAAUAACAAAUUAAUUGUCGAAAAAUGUUUUUGGUUUCUUCCACAAAAUUCUGUAGUUUCCCAGCUUGCAACAAGUUGAAGUUCAAAAAGAGUUUGGAGCAAUGUCACCAAUCAAAUAUGAAUAAGUCAAUUAAUUGGAAGAUCAUAAUUCCGCAGCUCACUUUCAGAGGAGACUUCAGAGACGACUGGAAGUAAGAUGUUGAGCUGCAUCUAUUUUCCGUCCACAUAUUGAAGUUUUAGUCUUCAAAGACUAUUCUGCUUAAUUACAAUCAAUCCUAAUUGACCUGUUUUUCUAGAAAAUGACCCUGUGGAAUAACAAAUAUCUAUGCUAGUUGGUCAUAGCAGCCUCUAUCUCGAUUUCAUCCUUAGACCCGAGGCAGAACAUAUUGCUUUGAUUUCGAAUGAACCAGAUGGUAUAAUAACAAGAAUUUCUAAAAUUUAGUACGGGGGAAAACAUUAUAGCUCAAAUGAGAAUACUUGUUUUUUUUUUUUUUUUUUAAAACUUUCAAAUGUUUAAUGGGUGAAGAUAAAAUUUUCUGAGUCUAACUUGGGGUGGUGAUUCCUAUCGGAUCUCCUCUCCGGAACCCCUAGGCCGGUCCGCCCAUAAUUUGCUAGUCAUUAAGUGGGAAAAUCAACAUUUAUGAUGACUGGUGCUGUUUUCUGUUAUGGCUCCUAUCAUAAUUCACGGCUGGAGACCACCACACUAAUUUCUGCUCCCAGUUCCAUGUGUGUGUUAGCGUGUUAUGAAGACUUCCAUGCUCUUCUUCAAUAUUUAUCAUCUAUCUUUUUUGUUGAUACCAAUCUAUGUGAGCAUGGCAAUGGGCAAAAUUCACUACUUUUUUUUUUUUUUUCCUGAAACAAUAGAAGCUUUUAUUUCUACUAAUAGAGAAAUUACACUGUAUGAGCAAGGGCUCAAGUUUUCCUUCACAAAAGUGUACUAAGACACUGAGGAUCAAAGACUUCCUCAUCAAAAUGUAAAUGCAUUGCUUGCUUACUCAGUUUAUGACUGAGGCUAUUCAUCCUAUUAUUACCAGACUGAAUAUCAAAUGAGCAUGUCCUAAACAUUAAGCUAAGAUCUUUUAUGUAUUGUACGUGGCCUGCUAGUCGCAUGUUGCCUGGGACUUGACAGUUGAUAAGCUUGGAAACCUGAUUGCUUGGUGUCUGAAGUUUGAUGUUGCGGCAGCCUCGUUCCUUUAGCUUGCAAAGUGCCAACUGUAUAGCCACAAGAUUGUCCAGUACAGGUGAUCCCAUGCUUCUUUCUUUCAUCAUCCACACUGCACAUAUGUGGUGCAUGCUGUUUUCUGCCAUAAUGCCAAUUCCCAUGUUCUGACCUUCGAAGUGCUGUCCCACAUGUACACAAAUGAUCAAUGUGUUUGCAUCUUCGCCCACUAUUUCCUCUUGUGCAUUUGCUGUAUCUGUUUCUGAGAUGCUCACUUGUUGUUCAGCCUGUUGGGAUUUUAGAUAUUCCUCCCACUCCAUGACUGCCUUUGUAAUCACUUUCAUUGGAUGUCUCUCUUUGUCUUCAAACUCUACUGCAUUCCUGGCUUUCCAAAUCUGCCAGAGAAUGUCAACUAUCAAUGUUAUAUGUUCCCUUCCUUCUUUCCUAGCUUUAACUUCCAUUAGUAUACUCCACCAUUUUCUGAAGUCGUUUGUGAACUCAUGAAGACCAUCCCAUUGUAAUGGAGCCAUCUUCCAUAUCAUCCUUGCUUUCCUGCACAGGAAGAAAAUGUGCUCCACUGUCUCACGGUUUUCACCACAUUGCUUACAAAUUAAUUCCCCUUUCCCUGUUCUCCGAAAGAUUGCCUCUCGUCCUGGUAACACUUGAUGCAGGCACUUCCAUAAAAACAACUUGUGCUUGUGCUUUACUUUAAGUUCCCAUAGCUGUUUCUAGAUUUUGCUAUUUCCCCCUGUCCAACUUGUUUCCCCCUUGUUGUUCAUUUGUACAAUAGACUGCCUGGCAGGACAUGUGAGUGCUGCAUAUGCAGACCUGAUAGUGUAGGUUUCGUUUUUGCUAUGAGUCCAAAAGUAACAAUCUGGUCUCCCUGUCAAGCUUAUAGGUGUUUUGAGUAUGUGGCCUGCUUCUUGUGAACUAAAAAGCCUAAAAAUGAGAGCUGAUUUCCACCUAAAGCUAGAUAUCAGCUCACUAACUUUUGUGACCUUGCAACCAGGGGGUUUUGUGGAUUCAAUCUUACCUCCCUUACCUUCCAACAUCCAAGCAUCUUCCCAAAUUCUGGUACUUUUCCCAUUUCCAAUUUGUUUCCUAGCUCCUCGCUGGACCUCCUCUCUUGCGCUCAUCAAACUCUUCCAUAUCCAUGAUGCAUUACCUUUUACUUCACAGCUCAAGAGUGUUGUCUUGGGAUAGUACCUAGCUCUCAACACUUUGCUAAGCAAAAGAUUGGGGCAUGUGAGGAGCCUCCAAAUCUGUUUGCCUAGCAAAGCUUUAUUAAAACUUUGAAGAUCUUUGAAGCCAAGUCCACCAGCUUUUUUCUCAGUUGUCAUUUUCUUCCAUGAAACCCAAUGCAUUUUCGUUUUGCCUUUCUCCUCCCCCCACCAAAAUCUUGCCAUGAGAGAGUUGAUGUCUUUGCAUAACCUCACGGGUAGUUUAAAACACGACAUGGCAUAAGUUGGCAUUGCCAUAGUUACUGCUUUAAGCAAAACCUCUUUCCCUGCUUGACUUAGCUGUGUAUUCCUCCAGUUGAGGAUUGUUUUUUGGCAUUUAUCUCUGAUGAAGCCAAAGAUUUGCUCUUUGGUUUUUGUGAUUACCAUUGGCAACUCCAAGUAUUUCCCUUGCUUCACCACCUUUCCCUGGCUACUAAAAAGCUCCUUAAAUUUUAGCCUAGUUUCCUUAAUAAUAAUAUUACUAUGGAUCAAUCAGCCCUUCUUGACAUUAGUAGAGAAACAAUUUCCCUGGAGAACACCUUAAUUUUGGUAUUAAUAAUUUUGGUGGAGAGCUUCCCUCUUGUUUUCGUUAUUUACAGACACUCCAGCAACUUUUGACUCAUAAACAAUACCUUUACGGGUUCUAUCCCACCUUCUAAGCACUCGAACAGAUGUAGAUUACUUAAACAUAUUGCAGGGAAUGAUUUCAAUGUUCAAGGAUAUUUUGAUUUCAAAGUUAUGAUGAAUUUCACCUCGUAGUCAUGACAUAUUACAAAAAUUUAGAAUCAUUUAAGGACAUGGGCAAAGCCAAAUUGAAUAAAUUUCUUCCACUAGCUAAACAAAUACCUUACUGUCAUUACAAUACAAGUAUUAUGGAGAUUAAAUACUUGGCCUAUGUGGUUUCACAGAACUUGAACGGUAACAGUGUAUUUAAUAUCUAGACAAGCCAAUGUUCCACAUAAGGAUGGCAAUGGGGCACCCACACCGCGGGGGUAGAAAUGGGGCGGGGGAUGGGGCGGGGCGGGGGCGGGGGCAAAAUAUUUCCUCCCGCAUUACAACGGGGCGGGAGAGGGGAAACAUACACCUGCCCCAUCCCCCGCAUACAAUAAUAUAUAUAUAUAUAUUACAAUUCUAAAUUUUCUAAAGUUGCAACCUUACUUACAAGUACAACGUUAGUCAGUGUCAACGGCCGUCGCAACAACUGAAAAAAUUUCUUGGACUAUUGUUGAUUUGUUUCUUGCGGCCCCCCAAAGACUAAGCUAUCCAAUUCCAACCUGUUUUGGUCCUAACUUUUUUUUAUUUCGAUCGGUUCCCUUCCUCCGCACUGAAUGUAACUUAACUUGUUAUGCUUUAUUUCCAUCUUGACAGCUUUUUAAUCGUAUUUAACAUUGUUUACAAUUGUAUUAUUGUAAAUAAACAUUUACGAUAGAUUGAUUUCUUACCACAGGGGAAACGGGGCAAGGGCGGGGGACGGGACGGGGGGAGUUAUUUGACAACGGGGCGGGGGCGGGGGCGGGGGAUCCAUUGCCACCCCUAGUUCCAGAUAUCAUAUACCAACCAAUGAAUAUUAAGCGCAAAUAAGUAAAAUCGAUGUAUAUAAAAGGCAAUACUCAAAAGCUUUACGCGUAAUAGCAUUUUUUGAGCGUAUAUAUUUGCUACAAGUAAAAUGUCUAACUAUAUGAAAGUUUCAUCAACAACUAUUUCAUGAAGUGAUCUCAGUAUAUCUCAAAUUAACUGCAUUGUGGCUAAGGGUGUAAAUUUUUUUGUAAGAACAUACCGGGUAACUUGAAAUGGUUACCUGCUGGCUUAAUACGAAAAUAUUUACCAUAAAAUAAACAAUCAAACGUGCAACGGACGAUAUGAGAGUACCUUUCACUAAUUGAGAGCCAAUAACAUAUUCCUGUCAAGCAAUGGAUAACAGAUAAUUUCAGAAACCUCCUCUGAGGUUUCUAAUAAUUCUGCUUGGCUCCCCUAACUCCCUUUCCAUUUAAAACGACAACACUAAACUUAAUAUUUUUAAUAAAACUCUCUUGUUACCAUGUUUAUGCAAAGGAUGGAUUUUAUAAUUUUUUUACGUUUUUCCUUCUUAUUCAUUUCUCUUAUAUUUCAUUAGAAGUACAGAAAAGCUAUCAAUGCUGUCCUUAAUAUCUAUCCAAAUUAAACAUUAAACUAGUAAUAUUUUUUUGAUAACUUUUAAUAUCAUUCAAUUUUUUUUGUAGCCCUUUUUUUUGGUAUCAAAUUCAAGGAUAAAUCAACAAUAAUUAAAAAUAAAUGACCCAAAAUCACCACUAAAUUAUGAUAGUUCCAUCACCAAUCUAGUCCAUAAACUUUUAUUAAAAAAAUAGUUUGUAAACUUUAAAAGAAACAAAAUAGCACCUUUUUCUCUAUUUUAAAAAAAAUUUAUAUUCCCAAUAAAGUAUUAUAAAAAAAUACCCUAUUAUAGCAAAAGAUUUAUUGUUGUAGUUGAUUCUCAAAGAACAAAUAUUGGCAUGAAAAAAUUGACGCUCUUUUUGUUUAAAGGAACAAAUUAAACUUUGUAAGAUAAAAGCAUUUAGGGUAUACAUUAAAUUUUUUACUCUAUUUUAAACUUUGGUUACCAAAAUGUUAAAUCAAGAAAGGUAAGUGUAAUUUUUAAAACGUCAAGAACUAAGUGAAAUAGUAAGAAACCUCAAGGCAGGUUUCUGAAAUUAUCCCUAACAGAAGUACAUACAAAAUUCAACUUUGAAAAGAGAAUAGACUUGAGGGGCGACUUGAGAUGGGUGUGAAGUCCUUGUUUCCUUCAUUCCACGGCACAUGGCAAAAGAAACUAGGAUCGUGACAGUGAUAGGCAAAAUAUAUCAAGUGACAGUGCCUGAUAGGCAAAAUAUUCCAACCUUGAAGCUAUAAUCUCCGAAGACUAUUCUAACGUCUACCGAAUAGCGAGUAGCGACCUGAUAUUCUGCAAAGCUCUAACCCAACAAGAGGUUUAAAGAAGACUUGACGGUGGCCCCUUCCCCGCCCCGGUCCCUUAGGUCCGUCCUUGCAUAAUUUGGUAGCAAUUUUGAGCUUGGUUAGAAAUAAAUGUACUGAGGUUUUUUUUUUUUUUUUUUUUUUUUUCCUAGUGGGGCGAAACUUUGAAGUAAUGACGACAAGACAUGGAAGUGUUGGAAAUAUGCUUGAAUUUUUUGGGAAGCAAUGACAAAAACCAAAUUAAUGAGAAAAAACAUGUAUUUAGGAUGGGUAUGGAAUCGUCAUCCUUAUGUUUGAUUUGCAUUUUUGCAGAGAUUAUAUAAAAAAGAAAAUAGAAAACUACUAUUCUGAUACGUUAUUGGAACAAGUAUUUGUCCAGUAAAAGGGUGAUAUGGUUAAAAGAAUAGUUCAUAAAAUAUUUUUCAAAUAGUAGCAGAUCAAACAAAUAUAGCUUGCAAAAAAUUGUUUGGAUAGGGUAUUAUUUGAAAUAUUAUUUGUUUGUAAUGUGAUAUAUGUGAGAUAAAAAGGUGGUUGGGAAUAUAAAAAGGUGAGUUGAAAAAUAUGUUUAUGAUGCAAGCGAAAUAUUAUUUGGGAUAAGUUCACUAUCCAAACAAACAAAUAUUGUUUUUUCAUGAUAUACUAAACUAGUUGAUCUACUUUUUUAAUAAAAAUUUGAGCAAUCAUAUCAUCUGUGCGUCUUCUAAGGGUUUCAAAUUAUUUUCGUUGAAGGGUCUGUUUGAUUGGAAGUAAAAUGUUUUCCUUGGGAAAAUAUUUUCCGUGGAAGUAAUUUUCCAUGAAAAUCAUUUCCCUUUCAUCAUUUUCAGGUGUUUGGUUAGCUUAUCGAAAAUAUUUUCUUACUUCAUUUUUCUGGUGUUUGUUUAAUUUUUGAAAUAUUUUCACUUUUAUCUCUAUCUUUACUUUCUACACAUUAUAACAACAUACUUCUUCCCAUACAACAUAAGAAAAUUUAUCUCAUUGUUUAACUUUAAAAAAUCUUGGAGAAAUGUAUAUAUGAAUAAAAAAUAUUUCCUUAAGCAAUAAACAAAUUGCUGGCCAUUUAGUGUGAAAUAUCAAUCACAUGCAAUGCUUAUUGUGACAUAUAUCUUGCACUCUCACUCUGAAAGUUUCUCUAGAAAAGAAUGUCCCUAUUAUACAUAAUUAAUUACUAGCAUAAGAUGAGCAGGAUGAGGUUUUUUUUUUUUUUUUAAUAUACUAGAGGGAGGGUUGGGUUGGGUGGUACGGGGGAGGGAGUGUAAGGAAGAGGUCUUGGGUUCGAAUCCUCCUGUUUACACUAAAAAAAAAAAAAAAAGAACAUACUACAAGAUGUUUUCAGUAAGUUUGGAACAUACUACAGGCGGGAUGCAUGCAUUUCGGAAAACAACUUCAGUAAGUUUGGAAGGGAAGUUGUUUUCCAUAAGAUGAGAGAAAAUAUUUUACAUAGGAAAAUGUUUUCAGUAACUUUUGUGCAACCAAACACGGGAAAUUAGGAAAAUAUUUUCCUGAAAAACAUUUUCACCCGAAACAAACGGACUCGGAGUGAUAUCAGUCUUCCAUAGUGCUUGGAUAAUGAAUUGAUUGCCCAAAAAAAAAUUUUCAUUUCUUCCACAGGAUUACAUAGUUUCCCAGCUUGCAAUGACUUGAAAUUCAAAAGGAGUUAACAAGCAACGUCAUGAAUCCAAAUCGAAGGAUAUAAUAAAUUGGAAGAGAAGAAGUCUAGAGCUCACUUUCAGGGGAGACUUCAGAGACGACGUGAGGUAAGAUAAUGAGCUGCAUCUUCCCCGACAUUGACAUUAUAAUCUCCGAAGACUAUUCUGCUAAAUUGAGUCAAUCCUGACCUGGUAAUGCAAAAAGUGAUCAAGAGACUACUUAAUAAUUUGAAGCACUAAUGUUCUACCCACCUUGGGUACACAAAUAAUUUGAAAGCCGUUUAAAUUUGUAAUUGACAUAGUUUGCGAGAAUGAUAGACAUCUAUGCUAUUUAGUCAUAGCAGCCUCUUUCUCGAUUUGAUGCAUAGACCCGAUGCAGAACACAUUAUUUUGGGAGGGAAAAUUUGAUUUCAUAUGAACUAGAUGGAAUAAUAAAAAGAUCUUGCAAAGUUUUGUAGAGGAGCAAAUAUUUUAACUCAAAAAAAAAAUACUUUGAAAACUUUAAGACAUUUAAGGGACGAAAAUGAAAUUUUCUGAAUCUAACUUGGGACGAUGACUCCUAUCUAGUCUUCUCUCCCGAACCCCUCUAGACCGGUCUGCCGUAAUUUGAUAGUUAACUAUGUUUUCAGUACAACUAUGUUUUCAGUGAUCAAAUGCUGUCGAAAAAUAUAUAGACCAAUUUUGUGAUCUUAGACGUAGUUUUUCUCAGUCGCCAUCUUCAUUGCAAACGGUGCCGUCGUCAAGAAUUUGAGGUAGUUUUUUCCUCCUCUCUUUCAAAUAUUAGUCCUAUAAGAAGCAAAUUGAAGGUGCGAGUAAAAAAUCUCUGCUUGCUAUCUUUUAACUUCAUUUGAUGACAUGCAAAAGUAUGUUGAAGGGAAAAUGUCUUGGAGUUUACACAAAAUUAACAAGGAAAGAAAAAAAAUUUUUUGUCAUCACAACGUGAGUUAACAUAAAGCAAGAGGUACGUACGGGCACUUGUAUAAACUACAAAUGAAUUGGUCUAUACUCUUAUCAUUUUGGAAAAUAACUCGAUCUCAGAUCUUAAACAGGAAGUAGAAAUUAAAUGAUCUUCUUAUAUAUGUUCUACAUUUUCAUGAAAAGAAUUUCCAGCCAAUUGCAUAUCCAAUUAUUUGAGAUAUUUUUUUUUAAAAAAAAUUGCUAUUAUGAAAAUAGUUCUUUUUUCAAAAAAUUUUUUUGAUGAUCGUCAAAGGAGAAGAAGCAAACCUCAAAGUCUUCAACAUUUGAAGUCCAAGUCUUUCUUGCAGGAUGAAUUGUGGACUUCUUGGAUGCUAAACUUUUGUAAUUGAUGACAAGUGGGAUGUCUAUCACUUUACUUAUUUACGAAGCAUCCUUUCAUCACGGCUUGACUAGUGAACAAAUUUUUCUACAAAUUAAGCAUCAAGAUUUCAUAUAUAUUUUGAUGUCAAAGUUAUGAUAAAUUUCAUCUUAUAGCCGUGACAUAUUACUGGAAUUCGGAAUCAUUUAAGGACAUGGGUAAAGCCAAAUUGAAUAAAUUUCUUCCACCAGCUAAACAAAUACCUUACCAUCUUUACAAUAGGAGUAUUGUAGAGAUUAAAUACUUGGCCUAUGUGAUUUCACAGAACUUGAACUGUAACAGAGUAUAUUUAAUAUCUAGACAAGCCAAUGUUCCACAUAUCAUAUACCAACCAAUGAAUAUUAAGCGCAGAUAAAAAUCGAUGUAUGUAAAAGGCAAUACUCAAAAGCUUUAUGCGUAAUAGCAUUUUUUGAGCGUACGUAUAUAUUUGCUACAAGUAAAAAGUCUAACUAUAUGAAAGUUUUAUCAACAACUAUUUACAAGUUUUUUUUGUAAGAACAUACUGGGUAACUUGAAAUAGUUAUCUGCUGGCUUACUAUGAAUCGUCCCGUCCCUGUGCCAUGUGUCGUGGGUGGGGCCCACCAGGCCGGGGACACGUGUCAGAUGAGAAUCUUCUCGAACCUCGAGGUUCGAAUGCUUUAGAAGUGAUAGAAUUGGCUCACAUACACACAAUCGUGGUUGGUCAGAGGUUUGGUCGAUACGGUGUGUUUCGAAGAGCAGAAAUAAAAUGGCCAACACGAGGGACAUGGCAGGAUUCUUCAGGGUCGUGAGGGACUGCGGCAUGGAGCACGUCGUGCUCCUCGGCAUGUACUUCGCACUAUGCAUGGGGAGACAUCGCUUCAUCAGCGAACUGGACCUGCUGUUCAGGGCAGUGGAGGAGCUCAAGAGAACCCUGUCGGAUUCAGACGAGGCCGCGGAUGAUGGCAGCUCGACCGGGAGCAGCCGACCUUCUUCGGUAGAAGAAGCGGACUGAAACCCAGAUCCGGUGAAACCCUUCCAUCGGAUGAUGAGGUGGGACCCACAUGCACAGGGAAUGCGUAUUAACGCGACGUAGAUUUCUGGAUAGCAUACUCGUAUACGUACGUAUGUAAUACAUAGGGAUUCAAUGCAGCAGUGACACGUGUAACAGAUGCGCAGGAAGGAAAUAAAAUGCCUCAAUUCAUUUCAUCCUUAAACAAUAUGCAUACAAACUAGACAUGCCUUGACCCUAAUAUUAAUGGUGACAUAUUGAGAUAUUACAUUUUGUGCCAUACAUUGAGAAAUUAUUUAUUGGGCCUGAUGCUCGGCCCAAUGCCAGUGUUAACGGCCCACUGGAUCAAGAAAUUGAGAACAUUUUCGAUUAAAUUGACCUGGGCCUGGGGAGAGGCCCACUAGAAAUUAACUGGCCCAGUUAACAUUUGAACGACCCAUCUGAUCAAGAAAUGCUGAAUGUGCAGGGCAACGGGAACUCAGUUGCUGCUGUCCAAUUCUUCAACUUCUUGGACAAUUGGUGCCUGCUCUUGGUUUGUGAGUGCAAAGAGAGGUUGUUGCAGGAAGAAGAAAGCCGCAUUCUGCUUAGUCCAGUUGAAAAGAUCCUGGCGGUCUGGUGCACUUAAGUAGACGUCAUAUGAAGAAUUGAGACCAGGAUUGCAGAGUACAAUUGAUGGAAUUCCCCCUUUGAUUUUCCUGGGUUUGGCAUAUUUGCAAUUGGAUGACCAAUCUCGUUGUGCACCUAGGAAUUCUUUCCAGUGUUUGAGAAAUUGAGGGUUUACGUCAUCUAUGACGUUGUACCAUGCAUCAUCACAGUGAUGGGCCAGAUCAAUAUGGCCUGCGUAGUAAUUGUGGGCCUGAGAAUUGAGACUUCUUGCCCAGCAUGUUUUACCAGUUCGACUUGGGCCUUCUAUUAUUAUGGACAUGGGCCUGUGUGGUCUAUUACCAGACCCAGUAACAUUUGUAUCGGCCCAAUGGGUCAAGAACGAAGGAACGCGUUGGAAACGAGUCACGUAUGGUUCUGGUGGCUUCUGGAAUAUUCUAUCCAAAUUGCUGGACAGUUUGUCGUAAUGAAUAAUGAACGAUCGAGGAUCGCCCCUCUUGAAAAUAUUGAGAGCCAUGCCCUUAUCUUGCCCGGCAAGCGCAGCGGCAUAUACCUCAUCUGUUUUGUCAGAUGAGAAUCUGCUCCAGCCAUCUGGCUGGAACUCUCCCCAUUCAACGAAAUCACCAUAUUUGGAUAUGUAAUCCUUAACUGCUGAUGAAUUCCUGGCACCUUGGACAUUCGGGUGGAACAUCGAAUUUGAAAUGGGAGAUUUGAUAUCGAAGAAUCUCGCAGAUGCAGUGCGAAAUUUACCUUGGAAUUGGAUCAGACAAUGUAGAUGAGGAGAACCAUCUUCGUGUGUUUUUUGAGCAACCCGUAUGUAAAUGGAGGAAAUAGAGAACUGGAGGUUCCUAAUUGCAUCUAAUGCUUGUUGUUUGGGAAGAACACACCUGGGAUAGGUGAGGAAUAUGUUCUUCGCGUUUAUGAAGAAGGAAGGACGUGCUCUCGGCAUCCUGAAACUCAACCCAACCUGAUGACGUCACUCACCUCAAUACAAAGUAUCCCUAGUAUUGGCUAUACUGGGUCGGCUUAUAUAGGGGUCUUCCGAGCGUCUUAUAAUAUUACAAAGACGCUCGGGGCGGACACGUGGACGGCGGAUGGAGGGGCCACGUCACCCCCCAAGAGUAAACUGGACGGUUGAGAUCAGCUCAACUCAAUGGCAUUGUGGUAAAUAGUUCGCUCAACCCAAUGGCAUUUUUGCCAUUUGGCCCAAGGGCCCCCCACGUGUCCCCCCACGGUCCGACAGGAACGUGGGCCGCCGUACUCUCUUGCCACGUGGCCGAAGGCCACUGGCCGCCCGGGGCCCUCGGGCCCCGCACUGGUGCACAGUGCUAGCAAGUGGAGCAGCACAGUGCCCGGAUGCACUGUUGCAAUUCGAAUUUGAAAUUAAAAUUCGAAAUUCCCACCUCAUCAUCCGAUGGAGGGGUUUCACCGGAUCUGGGUUUCAGUCCGCUUCUUCGGAGGACCCAUCUGAUCAAGAAAUGUCGAUUAUGUUGGGCCACUUACACGGAUGGCCCACGAUGAGAUAGCCCUAACUCUAUUCAUUUAUCUUCCCCUGCAACCGCCCCUAGUUUCGACUAAGCUAAUUCUGCUAUUAACAAUUAUCACUUGAUAGCUAGUUUGGGAGUUUGGGACAGAAAAAGAAAAGAAGAGAGAGCUUAAGUUAGAAAAGAAAAGAAAAUACAAGAUGGGUUGGUUCUAUUAAAUAUACGCCUCGUUGACCUUUUUCGGGGGCACAUGGGUCGGAGUUGAACUAAUCCAACUCUAUUGAUUGUCCUAAACAAAAAGGAAGAUGCUACUGUAGGGUCUAGGAACGGUGGUCAUUGGACCAUGGGACAAUACUGUGUCAGGUUUUUAAGUCUUUAGAGAUCAAUUUAGUAAUUUUAGAAUAAAAAGAAAAAGAAUUGAGAACAAAAUUAAGUAGACUAAGAGAAAGAGAGGAAGGAAGCACAAAGGAGAUGAUUGAUCCAGGAUAGAGAAAGAGAUGAGGACUAAUUCUAUUAUGAUUACAAUUGAUAUCCCAUUACUCUAACGGAUAUGGGCCCUUACAAAUCAAGUUCAAACCAGCUGUGUAAACCCAUUUCAAACCAUCUAUGUAAUAUAUUUGGCGUAGAUUGGUACAAUUUUGGUGUGAUCAUGAUUUUUGCACAAAUUUAGUUGCAUAAAUCCCAAGCUCAAAAUUUAUACCAAAGUUGCACCAAUUUACAAAUGUUACAAGAAUUAGACUUGAAUUGAACAAUAAUUCAACUCGUGAGACUCCAAAUCCUAAUGGAUUCGAACUCCUCUAUACAAGCAGCUGAUCACUAAUGGCCAAUUGGCAAACUACACUUACUAAUUGAAACUACAACUUAAUGAUACAAAAUGCAAGUGAAACAAUAAGAAACAACAAUUGCCUUGUGUUCUUGUCAUACAGUUUAGGUUUUCCUAUACUUGUCCGUCUUUCAUAUUUUUUACAUAAUAUAGUGUACAUUUAUAGAAUUUAUUGUACUUAUAAAUUUUAUUGGCAAUCUCACCUAUAAAUGUACACUAAAUUGUGGAAAAAAUACAAUAACCAUACCUACCCCGUGGUCACUGAUUUGUUAAAUUUAUGGGUUUUUUUCUUUUUAUAAACAAAUUAGAUAAGCUAUUAUUUCCUGAAUAGUUUUUUGUUUGAUGUUUUCUUCUUCUUCUUUUUUUGUGUAAAUCCUUGUUGAAUUUUAGUAAUGUCUCACUAGUUUUGGAUAAAAUAGAAAUUGGUUCCUUUUCCUUGAUUUAAUGGAACACUCAUUUUUAGAAAUUCAAUAGGAAAAGAGCUCUUAUCUAAUUUUCUUUGUUAAUUUAGUGAUUUAUGCUUAAAAAAGGAAUUUAGUGCGUUAAAUAGGAAGGGAAAAUCAGUUUUGUAUUCAUUGGAUACUUUUCCAUAUUCAGUAGGCAGUAGCUCUGUUAGUUGAGUUUAAACACUGUGAUAGACAAGCAUGACCGUAAAAUUGCCAAACCUAAUCUAUAAUUUGGUCAAAUCUCCCCCCUGUUAUGUUGUAGACAUGCUAUAAUCAUUUUCAAUUAAUGCAUUUGGAGAAUUCAAUAAUCUCAUUAACGUUGUUAUUAAAUACUUCCAUUACAAGUCAAAAACUCAUAAAAGUUGCAAUUUUGCAGGUGCAAUUCCAAAUGAAAUAGGGAAUCUAACUAUAUUGACGAUUUUAAAUUUUCGCGACAACAAAUUGACUGGUAUGCCAAAGUUCCUAAUUACAAGGUCUGAAUUGCUUAAACCAUAGGCAAAAUUGACUGGUAUGCCAAAGUUCCUAAUUACAAGGUCUGAAUUGCUUAAACCAUAGGCAAAAACUCGGCAUGCGAUUGGAUCUAUAGGAUAGAAGGAUCACGACUAUGUCCAAUCCCCAACUCUUUACAAUGACGAGCUCAUAGGUUCAAUCCCCAACUCUUUAGGAAGUUUAAGAAAUCUAAAAUUUCUAAACUUGGCUUUCAACAGGCUAUCAAGUGAAUCCUCAGAAUUGAGCUUUUUCACUUUCUUGACGGCUUGCAGAUCCUUGAGAUAUUAAGCGUUGAAUAAUAAUCCUCUAAAUGGUUUUCUACCAGCUUCCAUUUCUAACUAUUCGACUUCACUUGAAGGCAUAAGUGCAGUCAGUUGUAAAAUCAAAGGACACUUCCCAGCUGAUUGGAUCAGCAAUUUGAGCAGUUUACUAGUUCUAGAUUUUUUAGGUAAUGAAUUGAUUGGAUCUGUCCCAAGAACUAUGCAUAGUCUGGCAAAUCUUCAGGUGCUGUACUUGAACUCCAAUCAAAUAAGACAUGUCUUGGACAUUUUCUGUGGAUUACAUAGUUUGGGAUUGUUAAGCUUAAGCCAAAAUCAAUUCUUUGGUAGUAUUCCAGAAUGCUUAGGAAAUAUGACAAAUUUGAGACAGAUUUUUCUAGACUCCAAUAGGUUGACUUCCAUGAUGCCUGCUAACCUAUUGAGCAUGAAAGAUCUCCAAAUUCUCAACCUUUCAUCAAAUUUCUUAAGUGGAUCGCUACCUUUAGAGAUCGGGAACCUCAAAGCAGCAUAUAGUUUAGAUAUCUCGUUCAAUCAAUUAUCAGACAAAAUCCCUACAACCAUUGGAGAGCUACAAGCUUUACAGAACCUUUCAUUGGCGAGAAAUAAUUUGCAGGGUUCUAUACCAGAAUCAUUUAGCUAUAUGGUAUUUUGGAAUUCUUGGACCUUUCACAUAAUAAUCUCUCUGGUGUGAUACCCAAGUCAAUGGAGGCACUCAAAUCUCUUAAGGAAUGCAAUGUUUCUUUUAAUAGAUUAAGUGGAGAAAUUCCUCGAGAUGGUCCCUUCAGAAACUUUACAGGUUAAUUGUUCAUGAACAAUGAAGGACUCUCUGGUGACCUAAGGCUUAGUGUUCCACCAUGUCAGAGUAAUUCAAUUAGAAGAUCGAGCAAAAGAAAGGUGCUUCUACUUGUCAUUAGUCUGUCAGGGAUGGCAGCAAUACUGAUAAUAGCAAUUGGAGCAUUAUUGAAUCUAAAGUGGCUAAAGAAACCAAAGAGUUCUGGUGGAACAGAGUUGAUGUUAGCGGCAAAAUAUGAAAGAUUUUCAUACUAUGACCUUUUGCACUCAACCGAUAACUACAAUGAAAGCAAUUUGCCUGGAGAAGGGAGCUAUUGUUCUGUUUACAAAGGGAUCCUAAGUGAUGGCACUGUUGUGGCUAUCAAGGUAUUCAACUUGCUAGUGGAAGGUUCAUUAAAAAGUUUUGUUAGAGAAUGUGAGGUUCUAAAGAGUUUAUGCCAUCGAAAUCUUACAAAAGUGCUCGGCAGCUGCUAUAACCCUGAUUUUAAAGCCUUGGUACUCAAAUACAUGUCUAAUGGGAAUGUUGAGAAGUGGUUGUACUCUCACAACCAUUUUUUAGAUAUGUUCCAAAGAAUAAACAUAAUAAUUGAUGUUGCUUGUGCAUUGGAAUAUCUCCAUCAUAGUUCUGAUACUCCUGCGGUACAUUGUGACUUGAAACCCAGUAAUAUCUUGCUUGAUGAAGAUAUGGCUGCCCAUGUAAGUGACUUUGGUAUAGCAAAAAUGUUUGGUGAAGGAGAAAGUAUUUUGCAUACCAACACCCUUGCAACACUGGGAUACAUUGCACCAGGUUAAGCAUUUAAACUUUUGCUGUCUACAUUUCCUCUACUUCUAUGAUGCUGUUCAUCUGUUGUUAAUCUUUUAACUAAUUCUAUUAUUCUGACUAUUAUAAUCUUGUGACAGAGUAUGGAUCAGAGGGGAUAGUUUCGACAAGAAUUGAUGUAUACAGCUUUGGAAUAGUUUUGAUGGAAGUUUUUGCAAGGAUGACGCCUAAUGAUGAAAUGUUUUCAGGAGAUUUAAGCCUUAACAGCUGGGUAGAAGAUUCUCUUCCUGAUGCACUCCAAGUCGUUGAUGCAAACUUAAUUAGGCCAGAGGAUGAGCAUUUCACUGACAAGCUGAAGUGUGUUACAUUGAUUAUGAAAUUGGCUUUGAACUGCUAUAGAGAAUGUCCAAGAGAAAGGAUCAGUAUGAAAGAUGUUUUAGCAAAACUAAUAAAGAUCAAGCACCAAUUUCAAUUUCUGAUGGCACUAAGUAUUUAUCCUUUUUGUACAAAUUUUACUUCUGAAUGCUGAAAGUUAUGUUUCCUUAUUCAAUUGGGCUUAUAACCUGCUAUAUUUUUGCAGCAUACCGUCAGGUCUUGAUCAUAUCAGAAACAAUGCUUUUGACUAGCGUUGCAAGCUCCAUUUCGUCCAUGAUUUGAUAGUCCUUGUUUGGAACCUACUUGGAAAAUAAAUCAAUGUUACGACCUUUUCCAUUGAUUUGGUUUUAUUAUUCCUAGAAUGUGUUAUUAGUGGACUUCCAUGCUCGUUUCUAUCUGUAUAUAUCGUUUCGCAGUUCAUCCCAAUUCUUAAUUAGUGAGUGCCCUGGUGAGUGUGGAAAUCUGAAAUUGAACCGUAAGCAUGGCCAAGGACAAAAUCUACUACUUCUUCUUGCUUAUCUUUAGGUUAGCCGGCAUGGCAGCUAGCAACAGUAAUAUUACUAUGGAUCAAUCAGUGACAUGGUUAAUUACCUCUACCAUUUGUGAUUGGAUAGGGGUCACUAGCAAUUCUCGACACGUUGAGUGACUCCCUUGCAUAUUUCAAACAUGAACUUUUCUAGGGGUACCAUACCUCCUCAACUUGGGAAUAUAUCCUUUCUCGUUUCCCUUGACGUUAGCAGGAACAAUUUCCUUGAAGAACUGCUUCGCGAGUUGGCUCACUUGCGUAGAUUGAGAUACCUUAAUCUUGGAAUCAACAAUUUUGGUGGACAACUUCCCUCCUGGAUUGGUUCCUUAUAGAAACUCCAAUACCUGUCUCUCAGAAACAAUAGCUUUAUGGGUUCUCUCCCACCUUCCAUCUCUAAUAUGUCAAACUUGGAGACGCUAUGGCUGUCCUUCAAUUCCAUUGAGGGAACAAUUCCAACAGAAUUUCGGAGUCAGGUCCUCUGCCACUCCACACUUUCAAUAUUUCCUCACUGGAAACAUUUCUUUCAAUAACAAUAGGCAUUCUUCCAGGCAACAUCUGUCGCAGCCUUCAGAAACUUACACAGCUUGGUCUAGCGCAUAAUAAUUUCAGUGGUCAAAUACCUCCAACAUUGUCUCAGUGUUCAUUGCUUCAGGUGCUAUCCUUGGCUGCGAACAUUUAACCGGAAUCAUAUCCAAACAAAUUGGGAAUUUGACGAUGCUGGAGUUUCUGGAUGCGUGGAGCAACUAUUUAGAAGGUAGAAUCCGGGACAGAACAAUUAAAGUAUAGGACUGACCUGCUUUUCAUUCCAUUAUUUAGGUAUAUUUAAGGGUUGAUUGCACUCUACACCUCAUGACAUUUGUGUUUAACACUUUGCCCUUAAACUAUCAAUUACAAGUUUACAACACCAUGAUAUCUUUGUCUUCUUGUGCAACCUGUACCAUCUAUAGUGGGAAGUAAGAUUUCCGAACAAAUCCGAACAAUUUUCAGGUACAAUUUCAGAGGAAAUUUGGAAUUUAAAUAUGUUGAGACUCGUAAGCUUUCAUGGCAACUUCUUGACAAGUAGGCCAAACUUCCUUAAUUACAAGAUUGAUCUUAAUUGAUUUAGACUGCAAUUAUAACUUGGCAUGAGUUUGACCUAGAGGAUACCUAGCGAAUAUUUUCAAUUCAGUGAGAUUUGCAGUUGCCAGUUAAUUUUGAUCUAAAGAUCUUUGGAGAAGCUUACAUCCAAUUUUCACUUUUACUAGUUUUUAAGAAUUUUAUGUCCAAAGAGGUCUACGCCAAAGAAGCAACUUUGAAGCUUGAACAAGGAUACACAAUAGUCAAAUACUUGAAAGAUUUGUUUGUUUCAGAGAGUUGCUAAUUAGUGCGAUUAAAAAAUCAACAAUUGUGUGCUACUAAACUUAAGAAAAUUCUAUGAUAUUUCCUUAACUUAUAUCUCUUAUUAAAGAUAGUAAUUUAAAUUUUAAAUAUUUAAGAAUAUUUAAUCUAAGAAACAAUAAUACUUCUUCCACCAUCCGACAGUAAACUUUAUUUAUGGAUAUGAUAUCCAAAAGGAACGGUAAAAUCUGCUCUAAACUUAUUAAGAUUAUCAAAGGUGUGGGCUAACCUGUGCUUGGCCCAUUAAAAAUUCAAAGCGAGUUCACUUGCAUUAGCGCUAAGUCAAUGUUGGACCUAUAUUUGGAAACCAAUUAAAAUAUCGGCUAGGUUGUGGGCAAGUUAGGCUCAUCUUGAAUAAGGCUUGACCCAUUUAAUUAUAUAAUUUUUGUUUUCUUUGUUUGGAGUAGAUGAUAUCGAUACGCCACUUUUUGACAUGUAUCUACUUUCCCUGUUUUAGAUUGGUUUUAGGAGGCAGCAAAUAUUAAAGGGUAAGGCUAUAAGGGUGUGUGGAUAUCAAGUGGAAAGAGCUUAAUAUUUAUUUGUUUAGAGUAGAUGAUAUCGAUACGCCACUUUUUAACAUGUAUCUUGAGAUUCUUGGACUCCACCAAAAUGACUUGAAUGGAGUUAUACCCGGCUCCAUCUCAAAUGCUUCUAAUCUCAUUUGGCUAAGCCUUCAAUUUAAUAGCUUCACUGGCGUAAUUCCCAACUCCCUAAGAAAUUUGAGAAACAUCAAGAAUCUAGACUUAGCCAGCAACAAUCUAGCAACUGAUUCCUCUGCCAGAUCGAGCUUUCUCAUUUCCUUGACAAGUUGUAGGUUCUUGAGAUAUUCAAUAGUGGGCGAUAAUCCACUCAAUGGUUUUCUUCUAGUAGCAUUUUCGAACUAUUCAACUUCUCUGGAAGUCUUAAUUGCUACUAGGUGUAAAGUCAAGGGAAACAUCCCUAAAACAAUUGGCAAUUUGAGCAGUUUUACUGGUGUUAGAUUUAUCAUAUAAUGUACUCAUUGGAUCUGUUCCAAGAACAAUACAAGGUUUAACAAAACUUUAGCGAUUGGACUUUAGUGUCAAUGAAAUAAGAGAAUCCUUGGAACUUUUCUGUGGAUCAUAUACAUUGGGUGAGUUGCAAUUGAGCCAAAAUCAGUUCUCCGGUCCACUUGCAAUGUGUUUAGGAAAUCUUACAUCUCUGACCAAGAUUCCAAUAAAUUGACUUCAAAGAUUCAUACCAGACUGUGGAACGUGAAAAAUCUUCAAGAACUCAAUCUUUCCUCAAACCUUUUAAGUGGAUCCCUACCUCCAAAGAUCGACAACCUCAAACCAACAUACCUUUUAGAUUUCUCAGUCAAUCAACUAUAAGACAUUAUUUCUACUACAAUUGGAGAGCUACAAGAUUUGACUUACCUUUCUAUGGCAAACUGAUAGGGCGUUAAUUGUCAGUAAUUUUAUUGUUAAUUUUCCCCUUUAUCCUUGCUAAAUAUUGUUUUAAAUUGUUAAUAUAUACUUAUAUUUGGUACUUGGACAUAUCUAUAGGAAGGGGACGGAAAAGUGCUAAAAAGGGGGACCUGUUGAAGAAAAUUGCUCCACACGUGGGAGACUUCAAAAAGCUUCACAAACUUGGCCCACGGGUACUUAGCAACGGACUUCCCUUUUUCUUUUGCUGAUGAAGAGUCUUACUAGCAAGAGAAAACUAAAAAAAGUGGAAGUCGGCAGAGCUUCCUUUUUGUACUUUGACUCUCAAUUCGGCGGGGACCACGGAGGGGAGCAUUAGUCAUUGUUUUAGAAACAAACAUAGAGAGCCGUGGGUGAUUGUUUUUUUUAGCAAUAGUUUAGUUCUCUUUCUUUUUUCUCCUUUGCAUGCAUUCCUGGUGUUCGACGAUAUUCCCCUUUGAAAAACAGCUUUGACUUCUUGCUUUCUAGUGAAAAGAGUGAUGCCUUUGCAAUCAAUUAAUUUGCGUGAAGAUUUACUUAUGCGGCGUGAUUAAGCUUUUCAUCUAAUUAAGGAUCAACGCGACGAUGCAAUCCCGAAUAUCUGUGAGAUCGAAUUAGUUUUCAUGUGUUCCUUAAUUUGUUAAUAUUUGCACGUUGUCUACUUGAAUUUCCUUGCGAUUAGUUUGAUAAUUGGAUGUCAAGGGCCUGAUGUUCAAUGUGACUGAUUAAUCUCUUGCCAAAUUAGUCAAUUAAAUCCGUAAUUGUUUAAUCGAUUAAUAUCAGUGGCAACUAGCAUUUUUACACACUAGGGAAACAUGCAAUCUGAUUUAAAUAACCCUCGUAGUGUGUUAUUGAUUGGGGUUAGGUUUUUCUAGUUUUUAAUGCAAUUGGGGAAUGAAUUCCUACGGUCGUACCUAAGAGUAUUUUCUAAUUAGGGGUAAUCAAUGGUCGUACCUUGGUUAUCAAUAAAUUAAGGAAAAAUUGAUCAUCAGAGCUCGUUGGCGACUAUAACUGACCUAUUAAUAAAUUAAAUGAACCUCCAUUGCAUCAAUGAUCGGAUGAAUGGACUGUAUCUGUGUCUGUGUAGUUGUAUCCUUGGUUAGAAUUUAUCUAUUCUUGAUUUAAUUCCUGUCUAUAUUCGUGGUAGUUAAUUAUUAGUUUUAAUUGAGUUGCUUAAUUAUUUUUAGCUUUAUUCUGAUAAAACCCCUCUUUUUCCAAUUGGAACCUCAAAGAGACAAAUAUUCCCAAUUCCUGAGGAGACGACUCUGCUUGCCACUAUCUAUUAGUUAAUAAAUUUUAUCAACUUAUUAAUUCUGAUAUAUCGGAUUAAGCGAAUUCUUCGGGAACAGAGUGAAUCAAGUAACCCAUUGCAUACCUAAAGUCCCUGUUCCAGUACCUAGAUUUGAUUAUUGACUGCUUUUAGUGGUAAUUAAAUUUUAUUAUUAUAAUUGCACAGACUCGACACCUGUCAAUUUUUUACGCCGCUGCCGGAGACUGGCAUUAAUUAUUUGUUUCUUUUAAAUUCAUCUUUGUUCUAAUUAUCUGAUGCUUCUCUAGUGUAUGCCCCAUUCUUCUUGUACAGGCGAAUUAAUUUUCGACCCUGAAGUAGGGAAGAUCACAUGUAGAACGAGGAAAGAAACCAGACAAUUUAGGGAAGAGCAAUCCAGUGUUGCACCUCAAGGACUUGAUCCAAAGGUUGAGUCAACGAAUUUACGUGGUGAUACUUCGAGUGAUUCAGACCAAGAGAAAGUCACCAUGGCGAAUGCACACACACUAAGAGAGUUGGCUGCUUCUGAUUUAAAUCAGCAGCCCUUAUGCAUUACUUUUUCGCAUUUAAAUGAUAGCACAUUUUUUGAGUUGAAAUCUGGCCUAAUUCAUCUUUUACCAUCUUUUCAUGGCUUACCAAGUGAGGAGUCUCACAAACACUUGCAGGAGUUUGAUGUCGUCUGCAACAAUAUGAAACCCUCGAGAAUUACAGAGGAACAAAUAAAAAUAAUGCCAUUCCCCUUUUCUUUGAAGGAUUUCGCAAAAGACUGGCUAUACUACCUACCACCAGAUAGCAUCACUACGUAAGACCAGCUGAAGAAAAAAUUUCUGGAAAAAUAUUUUCCUGCAUCUCGGGCCGUUAGUUUAAGGAAAGAGAUUUGCAGCAUCAAACAACACUUAGGUGAGUCUCUCUACGAAUACUGGGAAAGAUUCAAAAAGUUGUGUAUCAAAUGCCCUCAACACCAGAUAAGUGAGCAACUGCUCAUUCAAUAUUUCUACAAGGGCCUACUCUUCAAAGAUAGAAGCAUAAUCGAUACUGCAAAUGGAGGAGCAUUGGUAAACAAGACUCCUCGAGAGGCUUGGGAGCUAAUUGAGGGGAUGGCUAAGAAUUCACAGCAGUUCAGUUCAAGAGAGGGUGUCCCGACGCGUAGGGUGAAUGAGGUAGAAACAUCCUCCAUCCAACAACAACUCUCUGAAUUGAUGUCUUUCGUGCGACAACUAGCUAUGGGAAGUGCCUCACAAGCCAAAGUAUGUGGGGUGUGCACUGUCUUAGGUCAUUUUACGGAGAUGUGUCCGUUAGUUCAAGAAAAAAAUGCAGAACACGUAAAUAUGGCUAGCCACGUGCCUGUGCCAAGAAAGCAAUACGAUCCAUAUUCAAAUACAUACAAUCUUGAUUAGAGAGAUCAUCCCAACCUCAGUUAUAGAGGAAAUAGACAGUCUAACUUUGUGCCAAAUAGACAACAAGGGUACCAGCAGCAGUACCAACCUCGACCACCACCCCAACCACCGAGGUCUAGUCCAUCUUUGGAGAAGAUGAUGAAACAACUGAUGGCUACUACCGCACAACAUUAACAAAAGAUGGACUCGAAAUUGCAGAGCAUAAGAAAUCAAAUGAACCAGAUGCAAUCCAUGCAAAGUCAAAUGAAUCAGAUGGCAAUAGCGAUCAACCACAUGGAAUCCCAAGUUCAAGGGAAGCUGCCAUCUCAACCUGAGUUAAAUUCCAAAAAAUGUUAGUGUAAUGACCUUGAGGAGUGGCAAGGAAAUCCAAGGACCCGAACUGGUGAUUCCUAAGGACAAGAACGAGGAACGAAUUGAGAAAGAGUUGGAAGAAGAGAGCAAAAACAACAAAGAUUCAAAGGUAACCCCAAACCCAGUCACUUUAGUUUGCAAUAAUCCAUCUCCCUUCCCCAGCAGGCUAGAGAAACCAAAGAAGCCGAACAAGGAGAAAGAGGUUCUAGAGAUCUUCUGCAAGGUGGAGAUGAACAUUCCCUGUUGGACGCGAUUAAACAAGUACCCAAAUAAGCAAAAUUUUUGAAAAACUUGUGUGUCAACCGAAAGUGGUUGAAAGGAGAUGAGCGAGUGGUAGUGGGGGAGAAUGUGUCAGUAAUUCUACAACGGAAGUUUCCACCAAAAUGCAAGGACCCAAGUAUAUAAACUAUUCCUUGUAGGAUAAGUAAUACCUUAAUUGGGAAAACAAUGUUAGACCUAGGAGCUUCGAUAAAUGUCAUGCCAAAGUUCAUAUAUGCUUCUUUGAAUUUAGACCCUUUAAAAUAGAUUGGGAUAAUAAUCCAAUUAGUUGACCAAACCAAUACAUACCCUGACGGGUUGAUUGGAGAUGUUUUGAUAAAAAAUAAUGAAUUGAUUUUUCCAGCUGACUUCUAUGUGCUUGACAUAGAUGAUGAACACUCCCAUGAACUAUCACCCUUUCUGUUAGGUAGAGCCUUUUUUAGUACAGUCAGAACAAAAAUUGAUGUUAAUAAGGGUACCUUGUCCAUGAAAUUUGAUGGUGCGAUUGUUCACUUUAACAUCUUUGAGACCAUGAAAUAUCCUUCUGAUUCAAAUAUUGGCUCUAUUUUCUCUGUAAAUGUUAUUGACCUUACUGUACAGGAAGUUUUUGAAAUUAAAAGUAGUGAUGAGUUAGAAGUCGCCUUGACCAGGCACUUCGGGUCAGAGACGACCUCUGAGGUAGAGUUGAACGAAGAACUCAAAUAUGUGAUUGGAUCGUUGCAAUCGUUGCCAACCACGAGAACAAAGGUUUGUUUGGAUAGAUUAUUAUUUAAAAUAUUAUUUGAAAUAAAUACUGCAACAAUUUUGUGAUAUGAUAUAUGCGAGAUAAAAAGGUGGUUGGAAAUAUAAAAAAAUGUGUUGAAAAAUGUGUUUAUGAUGCAAGCGAAAUAUUCUUUGGGAUAACUUCACUAUCCAAACAAACCCAAGGUAUGGUUUUGCACCCAUUUUCACACCUGAAUCUCAUCAAAGGUUACUUCCAUCUGUGGUGCAGGCGCCUGUUUUGAAAUUAAAACCUCUGCCAAAACACCUGAAGCAUGCAUACUUGGGUAAAGGGGAGACACUUCCAGUGAUCAUAUCUGCUAGUUUGUCAGAAGUUCAAGAAAACAAACUGAUUCGAGUCUUGAGGGAACAUAAGCAGGCGAUAGGAUGGACCAUCGCCUAUAUCAAGGGAAUUAGCCCCACAGUGUGUAUACAUAGGAUCCGACUCGAGGAGGGUGCUAAACCCGUACGGCAGGUUCAAAGGAGAUUAAAUCCUUUUAUGAUGGAGGUUGUGAAGAAAGAGAUUUUAAAGUUGCUGGAUGUCCGAAUUAUAUUUACAAUAUCGGAUAGCUCAUGGGUGAGUCCAGUGCAUGUGGUUUCGAGGAAGACAGGGGUGACGGUGGAAUUAAACCAAAAGGGUGAGGUCGUACUAGUUCGGAAACCCACAGGGUGCCUGCAGUAUAUAAACUACCAGGAGUUAAACAUCGUCAUAAAAAAGGAUUAUUUCCCUCUCUCUUUCAUUGAUCAGAUGGUAGAGCGAUUAGCAUGUUGAGCUUACUAUUAUUUUUUGGAUGGAUUUUCAGGUUAUUUCCAAAUUACCAUCGCACCCAAGGAUCAGGAGAAGACUACCUUCACGUGUCCGUUUAGAACGUUUGCAUACCGAAAGAUGCCCUUGGGAUUGUGCAUUGCAUCUGCUACCUUCCAAAGAUGCAUGGUAAGUAUCUUUUCAGAGUAUGUUGAAAGAUUAUUGAGGUUUUCAUGGACGAUUUCAGUAUGUAUGGUGAAAGUUUUGAUAACUGUCUAGAUAACCUGAAAUUGAUCUUAGUAAGGUGUAUAUAAACUAAUAUCGUGCUUAAUUGGGAAAAAUGCCACUUUAUGAUCGAACGCGGGAUAAUUUUGGGUCAUGUAGUGUCAUUUAGGGGUAUUGAAGUCGAUAAGGCAAAAAUAGAUGUUAUAUCUAUUUUACCUUACCCCGCGAGCGUGAGGGAAGUGCAUUCUUUUUUGGAUCAUGCAGGUUUCUAUCGAAAGUUCAUUAAAGACUUCUCGAAGAUUGGAGCACCAUUAUUCCAACUUCUGCAAAAAGAGGUGUCAUUCGAGUUCGAUGAAGCAUGUAAGAGGGCGUUCGACAGGUUGAAAGGGCUAUUGACCUCCUCACCUAUUAUCCAAUCGCCUGAUUUGAACAUACCAUUCGAGAUCAUGUGCGAUGCUGGUGCUGGGUCAAAGAGUGGGAAAGACAGCCCAUGCUAUCUACUACGCAUUUCGAGCCUUAAACGGAGCUCAAUUGAACUAUUCAACCACCAAAAAGGAGUUUUUGACAGUUGUUUUUGCUUUAGAGAAAUUUUGGUCUUAUUUAUUAGAUGCUAAGGUUAUUAUUUUUUCUGAUCAUGCAGCUUUGCGGUAUCUGUUGACCAAGAAAGAGGCAAAAUCACGACUGAUACGGUGGAUAUUAUUGCUACAAGAGUUCGACCUGGAGAUCCGAGAUAAGAAAGGGGUGGAGAACCUGGUAGCAGAUCACUUGAAUCGAGUACAUGUCGUCAAGAACAACCUCCCACUGAGAGACGCAUUCCCUGAUAAGUAUUUAUUUUCUAUUAAUUUAUCUUUGUCUUGAUAUGCAGAUAUUGUUAACUUUCUAAUCACUGACAAGUUCCCUUCAGGAUGGCCCAAGGCGAAGAGGGACAAGUUGAGGAGUGAUGCAAAAUCCUACAUUUGGGAUGAUCCUUACCUCUGGAAGCAAAGUUCCGACCAAGUCAUCCGCAGAUGUGUAAGUGAGAAUUAAUUCCAAUUUAUUUUAACUUAUUAUCACUCUUUUGUGUGUGGAGGCCACUUUGGACCAAAGAGAACGGCUCGUAAGGCUCUAGAAAGCGGGUUCUAUUGGCCGACCCUCUUCAAGGACGCCUACUCAUUUUGUAAAUCCUGUGAUAAGUGUCAACGAGUAGGUAGUCUCUCUCGUAGGGAUCAAAUGACUCAGACCCUCAUGAUUUUUGUUGAAAUUUUUGACGUUUGGGGCAUCGAUUUUAUGGAUUCUUUUUCUUCAUCUUUUGGUUUUUUGUAUAUAUUGUUUGCUGUAGAUUAUGUUUCAAAGUGGAUGGAAGCAAAGGCCACCCGCACUAAUGAUUCCAGAGUAGUUGCAUAUUUUAUCAAAUCUAACAUUUUUGUCCGCUUUGGGAUGCCGCGAGCAAUUGUAAGCGAUUGGGGCACUCAUUUCUGUAACAAGACGAUUGCUGCAGUUUUUAGGAGCUAUGAUGUCUUGCACAAAGUCUCCACAUCCUACUAUCCUCAGACAAACGGUCAGGCGGAAGCGUCAAACCGAGAGAUCAAGUCGAUUUUAGAGAAUAUGGUUCGACCCGAUAGGAAAGAUUGGAGUGUGAAACUGGAGGAUGCACUAAGGCAUAUAGGACGGUGUACAAGACACCAUUGGCAUGUCCCCAUACCAUUUGGUAUUUGAGAAGCCAUGUCACUUCCCGAUUGAGUUCGAGCAUAGAGCGUUUUAGGCGGUCAAAUAAUACAAUAUGGAUAUCGAGGAAGGCAAAAUUCAUAGAAAGUUGCAAUUACAAGAAUUGAAACAAAUUCAAAAUGAAGCAUAUGAGAAUGCGGUGAUCUAUAAGGAGAAAAAUAGGAUCUUUCAUGACCAACAGAUAUCCAGGAAGACAUUCGUCUACGGGCAAAAAGUUCUACUGUACCACUCGAAAUUGAAGCUAUUUUCAGAUAAAUUACGUUCUUGUUGGAUUGGUCCUUUUGUUGUGACUAAUGUUUUUCAUUAUGGUGCAGUGGAGAUCCAGAAUUUGAAAACGGAGAAAAAAUUUGUAGUGAAUGGUCACCGUCUCAAGCCAUAUUAUGAAGGGCUUCCAGUUGAGUAGGUGGAGAUGAUGCAACUAGAAGAUCCGAUUUGCUUAGUUUAAGCAAAUUCUGGGCUAUGUGUAGUCAAAAAUAUUAAAGAAAGGCGCUUUUUGAGAGGCAACCAAAAUAUUGAUUUUAUUGUUUUUCGUGGUUCAAUUCUUUCGUUUUGUUAUUUCUCAUUUGGGUAGUAGUCGGUCUUAAUAUUUUUCUCCAUUAUGACCAGGAAGGGGAAUCUUGGCGUGUCCACGCCGUGUCAGUGCCUCCCGAGAUCAGUGGACGUUUACCAAUCUUGGCAUGCCCACACCAUGUUGGUAAAAUCUCAACAUCUCACGAUAUUGGCAUGAAGGAAAAUUUUGGCAUGCUCACACUGUGUUAGUGCCUCCCGAGGUCAGUGGACGUUUUGUAAUCUUGGCAUGCUCACGCUAUAUUUGACGACCCAAAAACAAAGGAAAUAUUUUUAAUUUAAAAAUAAAAAAAUGAUUAGAAAAAAAUAAAAAUAAAUUUAUUUUCCUUUUAAACCUUCAAUUUUGUUAAAAAAAAUAUUUUCAAAUUUUGAAAUUUAAAUUCGAAAAAAUUUGUACUUAAAAAAAACUAUUUUAUUUUUUUCUUUUCCUUCUUCUUUUCUUUCCUUCUUCUUUUCUUUCUAUCUUCUCCCCAAUUCCUUUCUCCUUCACUUUGGCCGACACCACCUCGCGUCCGCCGCUCUUUCGUCUCCCUCCUCGCGCGACCAACCUUCUCUCCUGUCACGCCCGCAAGGGGCGCCGCCACUCUCCACCGUCCAUCCUCGCGAUCUCUCUCUCUCGAUCUCACCUAGUGCGUCGCCUCCACCCCACGCCGCUGCUGGUGCCGGGCGUCGCCAUCAGACGCCCACUCAAGGCGAGCGCCGCGAACCUCCAUCGCGCGCCACCAGCACGCCCGUCGCUCACUCGUCAACCACCGUUGUCUCCGAGCUCCACCGCCAGUCCAACCCGCGACGUCUCCCUCCUCCUCUCCUCUCUCGUUCAACCACAGUCCGCUGCACUCUAACCCGCGACAGCAGCCCCUUGUCACACGCCGUACCUAAAAAAAAAAACCCCAAGCCGCCGUAGCCGCUGCUCGCCGCUCCUUCUAUCGUGCACCGCCGCUACCGUGAGCACCCACGGACGCCGCGGUCUCCAUCAGCAAUCAGGCCUCCAUCUCCCUAGUGCACAACUGUCCAGCUUCGCGACCACUCGCUUCUGCCUCCAACCUCACGCGACUGCCGACACUCGAAGCCACCGGCGGUACUCUCUCUCUCCCCGGUGGAGGUGCCAUUCCAUUCUCCCCUAUUGCCUACUUGUUGGGAUUAUUCAUUGCUGGAUUUUCGUUGUUGGCCUCUAUAGAGGGCAUCUCUACUGGAAUUGAGUUGCUUCAGUUCGCAUUGCUAAACAUUGUCUGAGUAUGGCUUACCUUGUUGUUGAAAUAGGCAAUUGUUCAGUUUGUUGAUUUGUGGGUGUAUGUGACGGCUCAACUAAGUGCUUCUGCCUUUUCAAUUGGUGACAUUUGUUGAGUUUCACUUGCUUUUUUUGUGUUUAUUUGUUGCAUUGGAAGGUGCUUGUGGCACUUGCGUUUGCUUAUUAAAGUAGGUUGCCUCUAAUUGCCUUGAUUGGGAAUAUGUUGUCUUUUUGUUUCAUUUACUAAGUUCAUUGGAACACUUGCUGCAAUUUAGGGGAUGCAUUGUUUCUGCAUUUGGCUAAACUUGGGACCACCAGUGCUUAUUGUUCAACAUUGUUGUAUUGUUGGGGUAUUUUUAUACCUUUUGGGUGUUUGAAUUAUGCAUUUUAUUGUUUGGGUGGCACCAGUGGUUCUUACAUUGUUAUUGCCUCAAAUUUUGCUGGUUAUUCUGCCUUUUGCCGUUUGGGUUGCCUGCUAGUUACCAUGGUGAGGCCACGGUCAGCCUCUAGGUCUAGGACACCUAGAACUUCUCAGCCUCCCCCGCCCCAACCCACCAUUCCUGCCUCUGACCCCUUGCAAGACCCUUCCUCCUCUGGAAGGAGGGCUCGCUUUGGGAGGUAGAGAGGCGUCCAUAUUUUUGACCCUUCACAUUUUGAGGGUAACUUGGACUUCACCUGGGUUGCCAACAAGCAGCGAUAUGCUGUUUGUUGUGAAUGGCGGAUUACUCCCUAUCGAAAUCAGGACGCUGACAUCUUGGGUCUUCUGAAUAUUCAAGUUGAUUUUGACCGAUUAAUUGCAACCAUUGGGUGGCGUCCCUAUUCUUAUAUUGUUGACCGUCUAGCUUUUGUAAAGUUGGUUAGGGAGUUCUAUGCCACAUUUAAGUUCGACCUUCCUACUGAUUACACAGUUUAUACUCCCAAUGUCAUCCGUUUUCGGUUAAUGGGUCAAGAAUUCCACUACUCCAUUACUGAUUUCAAUCUAACCUUAUGUUUGAUCGAUCAGACUUAUGUCGAAUCUCGUGAGUAUGCCGAGAGUGCAUGUGACUACGUACAGUCUUUUUUCUCCCGCUAUCGACAUAUUUGGGAUGAUAUGUCCGUACACCGUGCUAAUUAUGACUCUCGUCUGUCUAAGGGUUCUUAUCUGAAGGAUCCGGCGUUUCGCUAUAUCCACCGUUUCUUGGCCUAUAGUUUCUCGGGUAGGCGAGAUAGCUCGGGCGUUUUGUAUAAAUCCAAAAUUUUCUUUAUUUGGUGCAUGCAUAACAAUAUUAAGGUUAAUCUGGGGUGCUAGCUCGCUUCUCAAUUCAAAUCUGUUUUGCCAAAAAAGAAGCGCCCCCUGAUUUUUGGGUCAUACAUUACUCAUUUGACUGUUAAUUUGCAUGUGCUUGAUCUCUCUAAUCAUGAUUUGCAUGUUGCCUGUCAAAUGGAGCCCUUGGACUUUUCUUGUCUAGAAAAAUGGAUUUGGUUUGGGAGGGUGACAGUGGUUAGGAGGUUGUUCCCCCGGGACCGACUUGAGUUCCCCCUCGAUUCUCUUUUGCCCGAUCGUCCACUACUAGUGAUGACCCCGGCCCGUCUACCUCCUCUCAAUUCCCUCCACCCCCAGCAACUGAGGAUUGGCACCAACUCCAUAUGGAAGUUCAGAGACUGGAGGCUCAGGUGACUAACAUCGAUAACAACAUACAUUUCAUGGCGCAGAAUUUGACAGCAUUUAUGCACCAUACGGGUCUUGCUGCUCAAUUUCCACUUAACCCGCCGCUAUGACCCUGAUUUCAGGGAAGUACCGUUGCUCUUUUGCUUACUUUUGCUAUUAGAUUAUCAUAUUGAGGGCAAUGUGUGAUUAGGUGUGGAGGGGGAUCGUUGUGGUGCUAGUAUUUUUAGUUUUUAGGUUCUAGAGGUUUUUUCUUUAUUUUUAGUUUGCUUUUGUCUAUCUUUCAUUUAUUUUCUUUUUUUUUUAGUGAUCAGCUCUUUUAUGAAUACCAAGUUUCGAUAUUGGAUUGUUGACUCUAAUCCUACUAUUGUCAAGUUUUAAUAAUAAAAGUGUAUCUAACUAAUAUGGUUGAGUCUAAGAACAUCUCUUUAGUGAAUAUCGAUGAUUGUUUGACUCUUAUAAUUUUUGGGUUAACUUUUCUAAACAUUUGGAAUGAUUGUUGGCAUUUUCAUAUGAAUUGGUCCGAUUAUUAACUUUAGUUCUCCAUAUUUGAAGAAAUGAGGCUAGUUGCUACUGUUUUUGUUUUUAAGAUGUAUUACUUUGAGUAUUGAGUUAUUUGGCUGUGAAUAAAAGUAGACUGCGCUCCGCUAGUGGUUACUACUGAAUAACCGAGGAUUUUCACCUCAAGUGUCGAUUCUCGCGUCAAAAGGUAGUAAUUUCUGAGUACGUGAUCGUAUAGCGAUAGGAGCUGAGUAACCGGAAUUUUUCAUCUGACAAAUGUUGGGAUUCGCUUCAAAAGACUCCAAUGGCUAGAGCUAAGUCUUUUGCUACUACUGAAAAAGAAAGAAAAAAAAGAAAAAUACAAAAUGUGAAAAAAAAAAAGUGAAGGUUGUGUUAGUAUGUGAUAAAAAUCAGCUUGCCGAUUUGUGAAUUUAAUGUUGAGAUUUUAGUUAAUAGUUGGACCAUUUGCUGUUAAUGUUGAGCGACCAUUCCUUUUUCUUAAACUAGUUAACCUGAAAUUGGAGAAGUUGGUGGCUUAGGAGCUAACCGAGGUGAUGUUUCUUGGAUCUUGAUCACUGAUGCUUGAUCUAUAUUUUUCUUAGUAUCUUGGCAAUAUGGUAAAUAGAGCAAUAAUCACUAUCAAAUCUCGGUGUUUAUUUGAUGUUCUCAUGCUUGAGGGCAAGCAUGAUUCAGAUGUGGGGGGAAUUGAUAGGGUGUUAAUUGUCAGUAAUUUUAUUAUUAAUUUUCUCAUUUAUCCUUGUCAAAUAUUGUUUUAAAUUGUUAAUAUAUACUUAUGUUUGGUACUUGGACAUAUCUACAGGAAGGGGACGGAAAAGUGCUAAAAAGGGGGAUCUGUUGAAGAAAAUUGCUCCACACGUGGGAGACUUCAAAAAGGUUCACAAACCUGGCCCACAGGGUACUUAGCAACGGACUUCCCUUUUUUUUGUUGAUGAAGAGUCUUACUAGCAAGAGAAAACUAAAAAAAGUGGAAGUCGGCAGAGCUUCCUUUUUGUACUUUGACUCUCAAUUCAACGGGGACCACGGAGGGAAGCAUUAGUCAUUGUUUUAGAAACAAACGUAGGGAGCCGUGGGUGAUUGUUUUUUUUAGCAAUAGUUUAGUUCUCUUUUUUUUUCUCCUUUGCAUGCAUUCUUGGUGUUCGACGAUAUUCCCAUUUGAAAAACAGCUUUGACUUCUUGCUUUCUAGUGAAAAAUGUGAUGCCUUUGCAAUCAAUUAAUUUGCGUGGGGAUUUACUUAUGCGGGCGUGGUUAAGCUUUUCAUCUAGUCAAGGAUCAACGCGAUGACGCAGUCUCGAAUAUCUGUGAAUCGAAUUAGUUUUCAUGUGUUCCUUAAUUUGUUAAUAUUUGCACGUUGUCUACUUAAAUUUCCUUGGGAUUAGUUUGAUAAUUGGAUGUCAAGAGCCCGAUGUUCAAUGUGACUGAUUAAUCUCUUGUCAAAUUAGUCAAUUAAAUCCAUAAUUAUUUAAUCGAUUAAUAUCCGUGGCAACUAACGUUUUUACACACUAGGGGAACAUGCAAUCUGAUUUAAAUAACCCUCGUAGUGUGUUAUUGAUUGGGGUUAGGUUUUUCUAGUUUUUAAUGCAAUUGGGAAACUAAUUCCUAUGAUCGUACCUAGGAGUAUUUUCUAGUUAGGGGUAAUCAAUGGUCGUACCUUGGUUAUCAAUAAAUUAAGAAAAAGUUGGUCAUCGGAGCUCGUCGGCAACUAUAACUGACAUAUUAACAAAUUAAGUGAACCUCCCUUGCAUCAAUGAUCAGAUGAAUGGACUGUGUCUGAGUAGUUGUAUACUUGGUUAGAAUUUAUCUAUUCUUGAUUUAAUUCCUGUCUACAUUCGUGCUAGUUAAUUAUUCAUUUUAGUUGAGUUGCUUAAUUAUUUUUAACUUUAUUCUGAUAAAACCCUCCUUUUUCCGAUUGGAAUCUCAAAGAGACAAAUAUAUCCAGUCCCUGAGGAGACAACCCUGCUUGUCACUGUCCACUAGUCAAUAAAUUUUGUCAACUAAUUAAUUCUGGUAUAUCGGAUUAAGCAAACUCUUCGGGAACAGAGUGAAUCAAGUUACCCAUUACACACCUAGAGUCCCUGCUCCAAUACCUAGAUUUGAUUAUUGACUGCUUUUAGUGAUAGUUAGGUUUAUUAUUAUAAUUGCAUAGGCUCGACAACUGUCACAAACAACACUUUUCAAGGGUCUAUGCUAGAUUCAAUUGGAAAUAUGAUAAGCUUGGAAUCCUUGAACCUUUUCAUAUGAAACCAAAAGAUUAAUUUUAAUUGUCAACACUAUAGACCAACCUAUUGCGACAACAUUUGCUGCACAUGCAGAAAAGAAGGAAUAUUCCUGUUGACAUUCAGCCUAACUCUUUAAAAUCCUGUUAGCAUAUUAUCUUUCAUGCUUAUGUUGGCUCUUAAUGUGGUGAUUUCUGAUUUUCUGAAAUGAAGUUAGAACUUCUCCAAUUGCUAUCCUCUCCUCGAGUAGCUCUGCUAAGCACUUGAAAGCUACUUCCAUUGUCAAUGAUGUGCACUGAACUGAUAGGGCGAUAAUUGAGCGUUUAUUACGUUGGUAUUUGGUCCUAAUUUUGGCCAAUUGUUGUGCAGAGUAAUGGGUUUUUGCUCAUAUUUGGUAAUUGUGUUAUUUGUAAGCGACUGAUGUCAAAAGUGGCAGAGAGAGGCAAUUUUCCAGAAGACUAGUCAUUCCAGAACAUGCCCACGCUAGAGAUCCUAGGGUGACGUCCAAAAGACGAACUGCGGGACUUAUCCCUGGGAGCUUGCCGCUAUUCUUGGAAGGUGUAUUUUGAAGUCACGUGGGAUUAGGAGACAUCUUGAGAGACCUUUGGCAACAAAGCAAGGAGAAAAAAAAUAAGGAAAGAGAUUCCUUAUAGAAACAAGCACUUUGUUAGCUAAAGAGACGGCGGUGGCAAAACUUUAAAUAAGGCAGCAAUAGACUAGGAGUUGGUAUCUUUGACCUUGGAUCUUUAGUUUUUCUCUUCUUCUUCUUAACGUGACUUAGAGAUUCGUGGUUUUUACUUUAUCAACUAAAUUCUAUAAAACGCUUUCAAUUGCAUCAACGUUAUGCGACAAGGCUAGAUCCUUUGUCUAGUUGAGGAAUAAUCAAGGCCCAGUGCACGGAAAAUUGUGAGAUCUUUUUAAUUGUUCUGCGCUAAUUCAAAUUUUGCGUUAGUGGGUAUUUAAUUAUUCUUUGUUUUAAUAGCCUAUUCUUGUUUGGAUCAAUGUGGCCAGUUAUUCAAUUGUUUGAAUAAUAUACUGCCAAUUAGGACGAGGGUGCGUAUCACUUGAUUGUCUUAAAAUUAGUGGCAAACGGCACAAUUUCAUUGCCUUGCAAGCAGUCUAAUCUGUGUCGUAGGAAUAGUGAAUCUAGUUUAAAUGAACCUGCAUGUGUGUUUGUUAACUAGAAUUUGAUCUCUCUAAUUCCUAAACUGGGAAUAAAUUAAAUCUUUCGAGCGUCUCUGGGGUUAUCUAUUUUACAAGAGGGUGGUUUAAGAGCAUCUCUAGAUCACCAUAUAAUUAAGAAGAAAUUGGUAGUUUGGCGAGAUUAUUUUCUUGAUUAGGUUGUGUCAAUUAAUUAAUUAUUAUAUUCUUUAACUACUGCACUUUCUUGCGAGUAGAAAUUCAGUACUCUUACCUCUUUAAGUUUUUCUUUUUGUCUUCCUUUCUAAACCCCUCCACAUUCUCUGUGUGUGAUAAAUCUACCAGCUCCCUGAGGAGACGACCCUACUCAUCACUAUAUUCGUUUAGUUUUGAGAGUAGGUCUUGAUAUAAAUUUUAUUUUUGGUAGUUUGACAGUCACUAAAUUUUGGUGCCGUUGCUGCGGACCUGGUGUUUGAAGUGAUUUAUUACACAGGUUGUGUUUAGCCUUUGUUUUAAGCCUCGAUCUUCCCGUACAGGAAGACUCGAAUUUGACCCAGAGAUCAAGAAAAUAGCAAGGAGGUUGACGAAGGAGACUAAGUUGCAAAAACAACAAGUUUCAACGGCAAUACUCCCUGAACUUGAACAAAAUUCAAAUUUAAGUGAUUCAUCAGUUGAAUUGGAAACAGACUUGACUGGACCAAACGAAAAAAUGGCUGGCCAAAGGACUUUGGGGGAGUUUGCAACCCCGAAUGUUAACCAACAGCCUCUGUGCAUUACGUAUCCCGACAUUGAGGAGGCUUUUGAAUAAAAAUCUAGUUUGAUUCAUCUAUUGCUUACUUUUCGUGGUAUUGCAGGUAAGGACCCAUACAAGCACUUAAAGAAAUUUCAUGUAGUAUGUUCAACCAUGAGACCUCAAGAUGUUACGGAAGAAUAAAUCAAGUUGCGCACUUUUCCUUUCUCCUUAGCAAACAAGGCUAAGCACUGGUUAUUUUAUUUGCCAUCGGGGUCUAUCACUACGUGGGAAGGAUUGAAACGACAGUUCCUUGAGAAAUUCAUUCCAGCCUUUAGGGCCGCCAACAUCAGAAAGGAGAUAUGUGGAGUUAGGCAAACUAAUGGAGAAAUUCUCUACAAAUAUUGGGAGCGAUUCAAACAGCUGUGUGCUAGUUGCCCGCACCAUCAGAUCCCAGACCAGUUGUUGAUCCAAUAUUUUUACGAGGGACUGUUACCCAUGGAUAGAAAUAUGGUAGAUGCAGCGAGUGGCGGUGCUUUAGUAAAUAGGACAACAGAUGAAGCCAAACGGCUUAUCUCAAGCAUGGUUGAGAACUCUCAAUAGUUUGGAGUCGGAUCUGAGGGAGUGACUAGAAGGAUCAAUGAGGUAAAUCAUUCUGAUCUCGCAAAUAGAUUAACGGAACUUACCACCUUGGUUGGUCAAAUGACUAUAGGGCAAGUACAGACAAUUAAAGCAUGUGGGAUAUGUGCUGCUCCCGAACAUGCGACCGAUAUGUGCCUAAGCCUUCAAGAUGACCUAUACGAGCAAGCCAACGCCAUGGGAGAUGUGCAUGGACCACCAUAAGGGAGAAAUAACCCAUAUGCGCCCACAUACAAUCCAGGGUAGCUGGACCACCCCAAUUUCAGCUAUGCUCUGAAACUCUCAGAUUUUCAACAAUCGUUCUAGCAGAGACCACCAGUACAACAACCAUUCACGUCCAAUUCCGAUAUGUCCCUUGAAGACAUGGUUAAAUCACUAGCUGAUAGCACUUGUCAAAUGCGGCAGGACUUGCAGAGAUUUCAACAAAAGACUCGCACCAGCAUUAGGAAUUUGGAGGCGCAAAUGUCACAACUGGCGUCUUCAAUGAGCAACCUUGAGAGUGGUAAAAAGAAGCUAUCAUCUCAGGUAAUUCCCAAUCCAAAAGAGAAUGCAAAUGCAAUGAUUCUACGAAAUGGCAAGGAGGUACAGUCCUCAAAAUCGGAAGCAGCAGGAGAGGAAGACGAACGAGUGUAUGGGGAGUUUGAGAAGGAAAAAAUAAGCACCCCGCCAAAUUUUCUAAGAACUUUGAUAUUAACCCGUCUUUUCCUGGCAAGUUGGCUAAAGCCAAGAAAGAGGAGUCAGAGAAGAAAAUUUUGGACACCUUUCGGAGAAUGGAAAUCAACAUCCCUUUGCUUGAUGCGAUUUGACAUUUAUCAAAAUAUGCAAAGUUUUUGAAGGGGCUGUGCACUAACCGAAGCAAGUUGAAUGUUCAAGACAAAAUAAAGAUCGGUGAGAAUGUGCCCACGGCCCUUCAAAGGAAGUUACCGCAAAAAUACAAGGAUCCAAGUAUGUUCACGAUACCAUGCAUCAUAGGACAAAAGAGAAUACAAAGAGGUAUGCUUAAUCUAGGGGCAUCUAUUAAUAUUAUGCCUUUGUCAAUAUUUAGGGCCUUAAACCUAGGCCUUCUAAAAGAUACAAGGGUAGUAAUUCAACUAGCCGAUAAGUCAAAUGUUUACCCUGAGCGUGUAGUUGAAGACGUCCUAGUGAAAGUUAAUGAGUUUAUCUUUCCUGCUGAUUUCUAUAUUGUUGACAUGAACGACGAUAACUCAGUUAACUCAGCUGUACUCCUUCUGGGUAGGCCAUUCAUGAGUACAGCUAGAACCAAGAUAGAUGUACAUGAAGGUACCCUGUCUGUAAAGUUUUACGAGCAGACAAUUACUUUUAACAUUUUUUAUGCGAUGAAAUAUCUGGAUGAUACUGAGUCUAUUAAUUAUGUUGGUGUCACUAAUUCCAUUAUGCAAGAUCACCUUGAGCAGAAUCUUAUGGAGGACAAGCUGGAAUUCGUAUUACAAUAGAGCAAGAUGAAUGCAGACGUGGAAAGUGAGGAUGAAGAGGAUACUAUAGAAGCAAUUAUGUCGCUACAUUCACUCCCGAAAUUACUUGACAAGUCAGUCAACUCAUUUUUACCAUUGCCUACUUCUAAAGAGAGAAUUUUGCCCUCUGUCGAACAGGCACCGGAGUUGGAAUUGAAAGAAUUGCCAAGGCAUUUGAAAUAUGCUUACCUGGGAAACAAUAGCACUCUGCCGGUUAUCAUCGCAAGUGAUCUGACAAUAGAACAAGAAGAAAGACUUUUACGAGUCUUGCGGGAGUUUAAACCUGCAAUUGGAUGGACGUUGGCAGAUAUCAAAGAUAUAAAUCCAUCCAUUUGCAUGCACCACAUUUUACUUGAACCAGAUGCGAAACCGGUAAGGGAACGUUCGAGGAAGCUUAACCCACCAAUGAAAGAGAUAGUCAUGAAGAAGAUUCUCAUGUAAUUGGAAUUAGGAAUUAUUUUUCCUAUCUCCAAUAGUGAGUGGGUAAGUCCAGUACAUGUUAUCCCUAAAAAGACCGGCAUUACACUUGUGUGGAAUGAGAGGAAUGAGUUGGUGCCAGUGAGACUCUAAAAUAGGCGGAGAAUGUGUAUAGACUUCAGGAAGUUGAACGCGACCACAAGGAAGGAUCAUUUCUCAGUACCAUUCAUCGAUGAGAUGCUUGAUCGAUUGGCAGGUAAGUGUUUCUUUUGCUUGAUGGCUACUCUGGGUAUUAUCAAAUUACUGUUGCCCAAGAGGACCAGCACAAAACCACUUUCACUUGCCCAUUUGGAACUUUUGCUUAUCGCCGUAUGUCUUUUAGGUUGUGUAAUGCUCCAAGGACGUUUCAAAGAUGCAUGAUGAAUAUAUUUUUCUGACAUGAUUGAAAACUGCAUUGAAAUAUUCAUGGAUAAUUUCACAGUACAGUGAUUUGUUUGAUCAAUACUUGCAUCAUUUAACAAAAUUUUUACAGCGGUGCAUUGAAACAAAUUUGGUCCUUAAUUAUGAAAAAUGUCAUUUUAUGGUUAAGGAAAGUAUAGUUUUGGGCCAUGUUGUUUCGUCUAAGGGUAUCGAUGUUGAUAAAACAAAGGUUGAUUUGAUUACUAGUUUACCUUACCCCACUAAUGUCAAGGAGAUUUGUAGUUUUCUUGGGCAUGCAGGUUUCUACAGACGAUUCAUCAAACAUUUCUCAUGAAUUGCACAGCCAUUGUCUCGACUACUUCAAAAGGAGGCGCCAUUUGAUUUUGGAGAUGCUUACAAAGUGUCCUUUGACACACUAAAAAGCAUGUUGACCACGACACCAAUCAUUCAACCUUUGGAUUAGAGCCUGCCAUUUGAGCUUAUGUGUGACACCAGUUAGUAUGCAGUGGGAGCUGUACUUGGUCAGAGAAGUGGGAAGUGUAGCCAUGUCAUUUACUAUACGUCAAAAAUGUUGUCGCCGCCUCAAUACAACUAAACCACCACCGAGAAGGAGCUUUUAGCAAUUAUUUUUGCUUUUGAGAAAUUUCGAUCAUAUUUAUUAGGAUCGAAAGUAACAGUUUUCUCUGAUCAUGCGGCCUUGAAAUACCUAUUGGCAAAGAAACAGUCUAAGCCAAGAUUUAUUCGUUGGAUACUCUUGUUGCAAGAGUAUGACUGGGAGAUCAAAGAUCGAAAAGGGGUAGACAAUUCAGUGGUAAAUCAUUUGAGCCGAUUGGUUCGAAAAGAAGAGAGAGUGCCCAUGUCUGAGAUAUUUCCAAACGAACACUUAUUUCAGCUUAGAGGUGAGGAACCCUGGUAUGCUGAUAUUGUUAAUUUUCUGGUCAGUCACAAAUUUUCAAGUGGUAUGGGUAAGAAUAAACAGGAUAAAAUAAUAUAGGACUAUCGAUAUUACAUUUGGAAUGAGCCCUACUUGUGGAAAGUAAGUUCUGACCAGAUCAUUCGUCGAUGUGUUUCAAAUGAAAAUAUUUCCUCUAUACUUAUUCAUUGUCAUAGUUAUGCUUGUGGCAGUCACUUUGAUCCUAAGAGAAUUGCUCGAAAAAUACUUGAUUGUAGCUUUAUUAGCAAACCCUGUUUCGUGAUGCUUAUUUGUUCUGUAAGAGAUGUGAAAAAUGUCAAAAGUUUGGGAAUUUAUAUCACCGGGAUGAAAUGCCUCAAGUUCCUAUAUUAUUUUAUGAAAUCUUUGAUGUCUGGGGUACGGAUUUUAUGGGACCGUUUUUUAGUUCUUUUGGUUGUCUUUAUAUUCUUUUGGCCAUAAAUUAUGUGUCGAAAUAGGUAGAAACAAAGGCUACCCAAACUAAUGAUUCACGAGUUGUUCAAACUAAUGAUUCACGAGUUGUUGCAGGAUUUCUUAAGUCCAACAUUUUUAGUAGGUUUGGUGCGCCAAGAGUAAUCAUCAGUGACCAAGGUACUCAUUUCUGCAAUCACACCAUUGAGGCACUGAUGCGUAAGUAUGGAGUUCACCAUCAAGUUGGUACUACUUACCACCCACAGACCAACGGGCAAGCUGAGGUCUCUAAUCGCGAGAUUAAAAGUAUUUUGGAGAAAAUGAUCAACCCAAAUCGCAAGGAUUGGAGUACCCGAUUGGAUGAUACAUUGUGGACAUAUCGCACGGCGUAUAAAACACCAAUUGGAAUGUCACCUUACAGGUUGGUUUAUGGUAAGAUGUGUAAUUUACCUGUUGCAAUUGAAUAUCGUGCGUUUUGGGUAGUUAAGCAGUGCAAUUUGAACGCGGAUAGAGACGGGAAGAAAUGGAAACUCUAGCUUCAAGAGUUGGAAGAAAUCUGCUUGGAGGCUUACGACAAUGCACGACUUUACAAAGAGCGCACAAAGUCCAUCCAUGACAGACUCUUGCGUAAUAAGCAAUUUUCUAUAGGUCAAAAGGUACUUCUGGUCAACUCACGGUUGAAGUUCAUGCCAGGUAAGUUGCGGUCCCGAUAGAUUUGACCAUACAUUGUUGUUAACGUUUUUUCCAAUGGUGCAUUUGAAAUUAGAAGUUUUGAGACUAACAAAAGUUUUAAGAUCAAUGGUCAUCGUCUCAAACCGUUUAUAAAUGUUUUAGAACUUGGCACUAUGGAGGAGGUCCACUUGCUCGACCCCGGUUCCACUUAAGAUGUUAAAUUACCUUUGGUCUGGUCACAAACGUUAAAUAGAGGUGCUGCUUGGAAGGCAAUCCAAGAUUUCAAUUUUUAGUAAUUUUUAUGUUUUUAUUUCAUAAUUGCGUAUUUAAGAUCAAGGUGUUUGGAUUCCGAUUGAUAGAAUUCUUUAUUGCAGGUCAUGGAUGUGUUUUGUGCAAUUUUAUUUUGGGAUUCGAGACAUAAUUCUUGGGCAGAAGAUUUUCCCUUCUAAGGCAUGCCCACGCCUUGUGUUAGAUGCAAAGGGGCGUUUUUAAAGAUUGAUAAACAGAAGACUUACGCUUCCAAGGCGUGCCCGCGCUCUACAGGGAUGCGCCAGAUGAACUGUUCUAAGAAAUUGGUGAUCGGCGGGCUUUCGGUUCCACGGCGUGCCCACGCCGCACAACAAAUUGCAUCGAUGCUGUUAUAACGAGGGAGGCAUACGAUUUCCAUUUCCAAGGCGUGCCCGCACUUUCCAGAACAUCUCGCGCACGCUGUUACGAAGGGCUGGGCAAACGACUCCGGCCUCCAAGACGUGCCCGUGCCUUCCAACCAUCACGACAUAUAAAAACAAAAAGUCAACAAUGAUUAGACCCACUCUAAACCCUACCUUUAUUUAUUUAUUUUUCUUAUCUUUUCUUUCCUUUUCUCUUAGCGUCCUCCCCGGUCUUCUCCCUUCGCCGCUGCCAUCUCUGACGGCGUUGCAGCGGCACACUUCCCUCCUCGAUACCAACGCCGCACGCCAUCGUUCCUUUCCCCUUUUCGUCCUCGUCUCUCUCCUCGAUACACGCCGCCAUUUCGGUCACCAUCACCGUGACCCCAAUCGCGGCCCUGGUCACACUGCCGCACCACCGCCGUCAUCUCCACCCACAACACCCGCGAUGCUCACCCACGGACACCGCGCACCGCAGCCACUGUCCUUCGUCCCCGUGCAUCUCUCUCUCACGCGUGACCCACGGCCACCCGCCAUUAACCGCCAUCAUGAUUUCUGCUCCAUGGCCACUUAUCUCCUGCCAAGUUGCCCGGUGGUACCUCUCAUUUCUAUCUUUUUGCCAUUCGUGACUCGAAUUUGGAGUUUUGUUGAUAUAUUUGACUCCAAUUUGGGCGUAAAAUAUUUGUGAUUUUUUUGGUUGGGUACUUCGGUUAUGGUGGGUCUGUGAUUUGAUACACAUGGCUUGGUGAUUCAUUAGUUUGUUGGGUAUAGUUGACAGUUGAUUACAUUUUCUGCACCGUCAAUUGGUUGUUGACUGUUGACUGUGGGUAGUGUUAUUUGUGGUCCCUUGUCUCCAUUUUGAGUUUUCUUGUCGACCCCGUGCCUUUGGAAUUGACAUAUUUGCCCCUUUAUAGCUUUGAAAAAGGCCACUCCGUCUGAGGCAUCGGGUUCCAACUCUCAUAAGGGGAGGGCCCCGAUUCAACCGCCCACUAGGUCCCGGUUGGGGUUUUCUAGGAGCACUCUGUCUCCUGGGGUGUGGGGGGAACCUUUGAAGGAUCUCACGCCUAAGCAGAAGGAGCGGUUGAGCUCCUUGGUGGUGCGUCCGUUCGCCCCAUGCAAGUGUUUCCACUCUUCCACUCUCGACCAGUUGAACAUUGCUAGGGAAGUGGAGCAGUUGUUUUCUGCCAUUGGGUGGGGUCGAUAUCUAGUUAUUGACUAUUUUUCGCACGAGGAGUUCUGCUAUGAAUUCUACGCUACCUUCCAAUUGGAGAAAUUUGAUUCUCUAGCCUUAGACUCAUCGGGGGUGAUCCAAUAUAGGUUGCGAGGUACCCCACAGGCACAUUCUAUUAAUGAGUUCAACUUGAUCUUGGGGUUUAUGAGUGAGGACACCCUCACCUCCGGCACUUAUAUCAAUAGUGCUUGCGACUUCACCCAAUCCUUUGCAAGCAAUUAUAUCGAGAUCUAGAGGGAGUGGUGCACGGACACUCAACUUUACGACCCGAGUCAGUCUAGGGCCUCGUUUCUUAAGGAUCCAGUGCUGAAAGUUAUUCACUGAUUUCUGGCGUAUAAUUUCUCAGGUCGGAAGGAUUCCUCCGGCACCCUCACCAAGGCUGAAUUCUAUUUCCUCUGGUGUAUGAGUAAUAAGGUGCAGGUCAAUUUUGGUUAUUGGGUAGCUCACUCAUCACACGCUUGGCUAUCCGCUUGGGAGUGCUUGAUCUUAAUAAGGAGCAUAAGCUCACCAUGGCUCGCGAGCUUGAGCCUUUGGAUCUGCGCAGUCUAGAACGGAUAGGUGUCAUUCACAAGAUGGGGGAUGCCUAUCAGUUUACACCUCCUGGAGAGGGUGUGCCCGAAUCCCGGGUCCCCCCUACUGCAGCUACCUCGACGGCUGGUCAGGCAGGACCCUCCUUCUCCGCUGCUCCAUCCUCUUGGGACACUCAGUUCCACACUCCGCAGGACUCGAUUCUUGACUUGGGCGGCUGGGUUGAGUGCCUGGAUGACCGCCUCACAGUCUUGCAGGUCCAUGCUACCAUUCAGACCGAAAAUCUGGCAGCCUUCUUUGCUCACGUUGGCUUUCAACCACCUCAUCCUCCUCCUCCAUAGUGCUCCCAUUGGCCUUCAGUGAAGCUUCUAUUCCUUUCUUUUCACUUACUAUUUUUCUUUGCUCCAUUAAGAACAAUGUAGAUUUAUGGUGUGGGGGGAGUAGUUUAGCUCUUUAGGUCUACCAAUAAAAAAAAAAGAAAACAACAAAAAAGAAAAAAAAUCAAAAUAAUUAGAAAAGGGAACAAAAAAAUAUAUGUGAUGAGUUCAUUUGGCGUCAGUUGAAAAUGUCUAAAACUUGAUACUAUGAUGAUGAUUGCAAUUACUCUACAAGCAUGAGCAGUGAUAUUAUGUGGUUGAAUGUUUUAUCUUCUUAAUAAUGGAAUUGAAUGAUGAAGUUUGCAAGACUUGGUUAUUAAUAUCCCGUUGUGAGCUGUCGAGCCAAUAAGCAUUGCAUUGAUAACUGCUCUAUUUUCUUUCAUUGAGUGAUUUCACACAUGAUUUGAUUGUUCUUGAAUUUGCUUUGUUGUAAAUGUCAAGACCACAUUCAUGAGUUUGAUGCAUUAAAAUGACAAGGGCACUUAGGUUAACCAUUUUAACUUUCUAAAGACCAACCUUAAUCAGACCUCCCCUAGUUGACCAAGGUUGAGCGAAAACCUUUUCUUUGUUUAAUAACUCAUUUUGUCACCUCUAAACCCCUUGUGUUUGAACCCUCUUUGUUUCCAUUCGGUGUUAAAGGAAUGCCUUGAUUUCAAUGCAUGAUGAUUUUGAAUUGGGUUGAGAGGGGAUGAUUGAAGUUAGCGAGUGUGUUUAUAUUCCUAUGUAGUUGUGCGUAUUUUGAAAAGAAAAGAAAAAAGAGAAACAAAAAAAGGGAAAAAGAGAAGAAAAGGAGCACACCAAGAAAGAAAAAAAUAAAAAGAAAAAAAAAGAAAAGAAGAAUUACAAAGUGCUGUUAUCAAUAUGUGCGAUGUUGAGAUAGUGGGGUGAAACCCUUGGUUGUGCUGGCACUUGUUAAUUCUUUCUGGAAAAUUUUUGGGUAUGCUUUGGAAAGAUCAUUUGAAUGAAGGAGGAAGUUGGAAGUUAUGCAGUGAGUCAGUGGUAUUUCCUUUGACAUAAUGAGCCUAAAUUAUCUGUUUGAUCCAACCCGUGUCUGAAUCCCAUUACAACCCGCAUCAAGACCCUUUGAUUUUUGCAUUAAAUUUGGUCUUAGUGGUGCCGAUGUGAUUUAUUAGCAAGCAUAUAAUAAUAUUAUUUUAUCGUGUGGUGGGAGUGACCCUUUUUUACCCCAUAUCGAGUGGUAAGUAAUCAUAUUUCAUUCUAUAAGAGAGGGUUAAGUCUUAAAAUUUCUAAAUUUAAUAACAUUGUUAGAAGGAUGGGACACUUGAGCUCGCAUGAUUGAACUACUGUGUGUGUGUACCUGUAAUUGUAUCUCUGAACUUUAAAAUGCUUGAGGGCAAGCAUUGUCUUGGUGUGGGGGGAUUUGAUAGGGCGAUAAUUGAGCGUUUAUUACGUUAGUGUUUGGUCCUAAUUUUGGCCAAUUGUUGUGCAGAAUAAUGGGUUUCUGCUCAUAGUUGGUAAUUGUGUUAUUUGCAGACGACUGAUGUCAAAACUGGUAGAGGGAGGCAAAUUUCCAGAAAACUAGUCAUUCCAGAACGUGCCAACACCAGAGAUCGCAGGGUGACGUCCAAAAGACGGACUACGGGACUUAUCCUUGGGAGCUUGCCGCUAUUCUUGGAAGGUGUAUUUUGAAGUCACGUGGGAUAAGGAGACAUCUUGAGAGACCCUUUUGGCAACAAAGCAAUGAGAAAAAAAAAUAAGAAAAGGGAUUCCUUAUAGAAACAGCACUUUGUUAGCCAAAGAGACGGUGAUGGCAAAGCUUUAAAUAGGACAGCAAUAGACUAGGAGUUGAUAUCUUUGACCUUGGAUGUUUAGUCUUUCUCUUCUUCUUCUUAACGUGAGUUAGAGAUUCGUGGUUUUUACUUUAUCAACUAAAUUCCAUAAAAUGCUUUCAAUUGCAUCAACAUUAUGUGGCAAGGCUAGAUCCUUUGUCUAGUUGAGGAAUAAUCAAGACUCGGUGCACGGACAAUUGUGAGAUUUUUUUAAUUGUUCUGCACUAAUUCAAAUUCUGUGUUAGUGGGUAUUUAAUUAUUCUUUGUUUUAAUAGCCUAUUCUUGUUUGGAUUUAUUGGAUCAAUGUGAUCAAUUGUUCAAUUGUCUGAAUAAUAAACUGCCAAUUAGGACGAGGGUGCGUAUCACUUGAUUGUCUUAAAAUUAGUGGCAAACGGCAUAAUUUCAUUGCCUCGCAAGCAAUCUAAUCUGUGACGUAGGAAUAUUUAAUCUAGUUUAAAUGAAUCCGUAUGUGUGUUUGUUAAGUAGAAUUGGGUCUCUCUAAUUCCUAAACUGUGAAUAGAUUAAAUCCUUCGAGCGUCUUUGGGGUUAUCUAUUUUACAAGGGGGUGGUUUAAGAGUGUCUCUGGACCACCAUAUAAUUAAGGAGAGAUUGAUAGUUUGGCGGUUGUUGAAUUGCUAGAACCAAGUUACUUACGAACGUGUGAAUUAAUUCAGGUAUCUAUAAUCAAUUACAUGGACCAGUGCCGAAAUUAUUUCCUUGACUAGGUUGUGUCAAUUAAUUGUUUAUUAUAUUCUUUAGAUACUGCACUUUCUUGCGAUUGGAAAUUCAGUACUCUUACCUCUUUAAUUUAUUCUUUUUGUCCUCCUUUCUAAACCCCUCCCACAUUCUCUGUGUGAUAAAUCUGCCAGUUCUCUGAGGAGACGACCCUACUCACCACUAUACUCGUUUAGUUUUGGGAGUAGGUUUUGAUAUAAAUUUUAUUUUUGGUAGUUUGACAGCCACCAUGAACCAUCCCUGUUAGAUCCUCUUCCAGCCUCAUCAAAUUAGCAUGUAUAACCUCAGACACAGCAUCUGGCCAUGAUGCGUUUAUCCAGUCCUUCAAGGUCAUAUCUCCUGAUAACAUUUCAUUAGUUGGCUUCCUUCUUGUGAAAGUUUCCAUCAACAUGAUUCCAAAACUGUAGAUAUGACACUUCUUGGAUAUCAAACCUUCUGAUCCAUACUCUGCACCAAGUGAAACAGCUUAUCAGAAAGAUUACAAUUAUGUUGAGGGAUAUGAAACAAAAUUAGAAGCAACUAUCAUCACUUGGUGCCAUGUAUCCCAGUGUUGCUAGUGUCUGAGUUUGGGCCAUGCUCUCUCCCAUCCCUAAUAAUUUUGCAGUGCCAAAAUCACCCACAUGUGCUACGAUAUUUUCGUCAAGUAAAACAUUGUUUGGUUUCAGAUCACAGUGAAGCACAGGGAUUGAAUAACCAUCGUGCAGAUAGUCUAAUACUGAUGCCACAUCAAUCAUUAUGUCUAGUCUUUGCAAAAAAUCCAUGUACAGAUCCUGAUAGUACAACCACUUUUCAAGACUUCCAUUAGACAUAUAUUCAAAAAUUAAAGCUUUGAAGUCAAGGCUGGAACAGCUGCUGAUGACUUUGGUUAGAUUUCUGUGACCAAGGUUACGUAGUACUUCACAUUCUAUGUCAAAACUUCUAAAUGCACCUUUUAUUUGUAAGUUGAACACCUUCACAGCUACAUUUGAUCCAUUGAUUAAUGCCUUGUAAACAGAACCAUAGGCUCCCAUGCCAAUCAAAUUUCUCUCACUAAAUCCUUUAGUAGCUUGUUCAAUUUCAUGAUAUGAUAUUCUGCCAUGUGCUAUAGCAUCUAAGGAAUCUCCUCCAGUUAUUGUGCUGCUUGUUUUUCUAGAUCGCAUUAAGGCAACAGGGAUGAUGAUGGCCACAACUAUGAGAGAAACUGCUAGUGUAAUUAACACAAUUAGUAGCACUCUUUUUGUCCUUCGCUUUCCAGAUAAGCUAGCUCUGCAUGCUGGGACUUGAAGCUGAGGAGUGCCACAAAGUCUUUCAUUUGACAUAAAGGAUUUAGAUGUGAAGUUUGCAAAAGGACCUCCAGAAGGAAUUUCACCACUUAAUCUAUUGAAGGACACGUUAAAUAAUGAAAGAUGUGAAAGUGCUUCCAAUGAAUUGGGGAUGGAACCAGAUAGGUUAUUACUUGAUAAGUCCAGAGAUUCCAAGGCUAACAUGUUGCCAAUUGAUCUAGGAAUAGGUCCUUCAAAUCUAUUAAAUGCAAGGGAAAGAUCAAUCACAUCUUGCAUACCUCCAAUUGCACUAGGGAUGACACCUAAAAUUUGAUUCAUAGAAACAUUUAACAGUGUCGCAGCCUUUAAACUUCCAAUUUCUGAGGGAAGAGAGCCACUCAAAUAGUUUGAAGACAAAUCAAGAUGCAAGAGAUCACCGAGGCUCCCGAAGCUUGAAGGUAUAGCAGAGUUAAAUUUGUUGGAACUUAGAUAAAUGUAUCUUAGAGAUGUAAUGUUCCCUAAGCAUGCUGGCACCGUGCGGCAAAACUCGUUAUAGCUCAAACUUAGAAAUCCCAAGUUGUUCAAGCUGCAGAUGCCAUUUGGGAUAGGUCAUUCCAUUUUGUUGUCAUAAAGAUUAAAUGCUUGCAGUUUUGAUAGUGCUCCAAUUGUUGCUGGAAUGAAUCCAGCCAAGUUGUUGCCUUGCAGAAAUAAGAACGCUAAGCUGCUCAAAUUAGUGAAUUCAUUUGGAAUGUAGCCUCUUAUUCCACAAUAAGCUGCAUACACAUAUUCAAGAGAAGUAGAAAGGUUACCAACAGAAGAUGGAAGAAUUCCAUUCAGGGGAUUGUAACCUAUCCGUAGUCGUCGUAACUGUUGGCAAUGUGUUAAUGCACUGAAGAAGCUCAAUUCUGAUGAUGAAGAUUCUGUCAUCAAAUUAUUUUCAAUGACAUUUAGAUACUGCAAAUAUCUUAAAUCUCCAAAGGAGUGGGGAAAUGAACACUACUAGCUUCGCUAUUGACGUGAAGGCCAUGUCAUGUUUCCUUGGAAGUCAGAUUUUGGCAACGUUUCCUUUCAUAUCUUAUGCCAAUUGCUGCGGGAAUUGGCUUAUAAACAGAGGCCACGGCAAAGGUUUGGACUGCACUACCACUUCACGUGAAAGCUACCAGACACGGAAAGAAUCAAUAUGGAGCUUUAAGCUGCACUCAUGGAAGAGAAUUUCUGCCUUUCAAUUUAAGCUGCACAAGUUUUACCACAUUUUCCAACAGCUUGUGCUCUUGCUAAUGGUGCAUUACAUUGGCUUGUAGAGGAAGAUGAUGGUUUCAACUUUAUCAUUGCCUUCGAUAUUUCCAGUGAAGAAUUCGAGAAGUUGCCCCAUUAAUGGGGAAGGUAUUUUUUUCAGCAAAAUUGAGCAUCUUAAAUUGUUGCCUUUCUUUACUCUAUUGUUAUAUUUCAAGUGAAAGAUAUCGUGUCAAUUUAUGGAUCAUUGAUGAAUUAAUAUGAAGUGGAUAGAACUCGGACUAAGUUAAAAUCUCAUUUGAAAUUCUCGACAUUUGGUGUUGAACACCGAUCAUAUAUAUGCUCAAACCAAAGCAGGCAACUGCUUUUGCAAAUUGAUGGAGCAGAAAAGCUUGUGCUCUAUGAUCUUGGAACCAAAUACUUGAGAGAUGUAGCCACUGCAAAUGGAGCAGCUAGUUUCUUUAGAAGCCUUCUUGCAUGUCUUCAUGUUCCAAUUUCCAACUUGUGUAGCACUAGUUUUACCUCUUCUUGUUGCCAAUUCUCUGUUCUUAACCAAAAGUUCAUUUCUCCAAUUUCUUAUUCAAACUUAAUUUCAAUUGAAGAUGUUCAUUUGUUGUGAGUUCAAUCAUCCUAAUCCAGAUCCCUCUAUCAGUUAGAAGUUCAAGUUGCAAGCCAUUUCACUUUAUCCAUUUGCCAUCUUGCAUAGGGAUUAAAUUCAUGCUGAGUAAGUUCAUACUUUUUUUAUAUAGAAAAGAUCAUUUUAUUCAAAUAAAUCUGCACUAAUGGAAAAAAAAACACAUCAAACAAACAUGACACACAUACGUAUGGAUCUGAAAUAAAUAGAUAUAACUGAUCUAAAAAAAAAUAUAAAUAAAGAUAACAUUGAUACUCCUAUAUAUCUUCCAUUCGGAUAAAUCACUUUAGCCCAAUACAUCAGUGCAUGUUUGAUGAUGGAGCACCAAGGACCAAUGGAGAGAAAGACCAGGCCAUUUGAGUACCAAGUGGUCCGAUCACAAGAGCUCGCGCCAAGAAGAUGAGCGAGUCACUCCAAGCACUCGUGUGCACCAUCCAAGAGAGAAUUGGAGAUGAUUUAAAAAUCAUUGAAGGCUUGGAGAAUGAAGAUUCCACAUUAUACACCUUGCUCCAAGUUGAUGAGCCAAGUGAAGACUAGUCUUAGUCAAGGCCGAGAGUUAUUUGUCAAUCCAUAGUCAAGGCCGAGAAUUAGUUGUCAUUUAAUUGCUGUUUAGUUGUUUAAUUUUAGUUAAUAAAUCCAGCCCAAAAACAGUUUUCAAGAGUGGCCGGAUAUUAUAUAGCCUUUUUGCCAUUUUUCGGCCCAAGAGGCCUUAGCCUAGCCAAGAGCACCUAAUCCAUUUCACUUUAGGUUUAGUCAAGUGAAUCCAAAUCACUUUAGGUUAUCAAUUAUAUGGCUAUAUAUAGCCAAGGCAAGAGACCUUCACGAUCAGUCUUGAUAUUAAUAAAAUUGUGAGUUUUCACUUUCCCUUUCCAAGAGAGUCUCUUUGAAUAUUUGAGAAUCUUUCUCAAAUUGUUCAAUUGAACUUAUCAAUCAAGUAACUCCUUGGUUGUGGCGUUCAUCUACCUUUAAUUUGGUUCACUAGUUCGUUAGAUAACGGGUUGAGAUAGUAUCAAUAGUGUUCGUUCUAGAGGAUUAGAUUUGGAUCAAAUUUUCGCUGCCUAAGCCAUUGGUGAUUGGUUGUCUAGAUCGUGACCAAGUGAGUAUCACAUCAGUUGGUAAUCAGAGCUAGUCGACAACCACCAGGUUAUAUCCUUCUUUUCUUUUGUGUCGAAUCACAUACUCUUGUUUCAAAUUAGUUCGUGUGUCAAUUCAAAAAAAAAAUCGUACUGUUCAUCGUACUGUUCACCAACACUGUUCAUCGUUACUGUUCAUACGAAUUUUUUUUUUUUGGAUACGUCGUCUUGUCUCUUAUUGUUGUGUUUCUUGAAUCUUGAAUUCAUCUAAAGUCAGAAAAAAAUAAAAAGAGUCGCACCAAGUUUUUCUUGAGUCAAGUUGUUGGAAUUUUUUCUCUUGAACUGUCGAACCUAUUUCCAACAUUAAACCUUAAAUAUUUACGUUGUUUCUUGCAAAUCUUGGAUACCAAAACCUGAUUUGGGAAGUUCUUGAGUUUCUUGAUAAAAAAUCUUGAAGUUCUUGGAUCAACCAAAACUGUUUUGGGGAAUUCUUGAUUAAACAUCACGGGUUUCUUGAAACUUGGGAAGAAAGUCUUCAACUUUCUCAGCAAACUUGAACCGUUGAUCCGAAUAUAAGUUGUUGGGACAGAAAAUCUGAGUUCUUGAAAAACAAUUAGAGAGCCGCAAAAGAAAAAAAAAGGGGAGAGAAAGGAAGCAUCGGCUCUAGGUUUCCUACUUGAAAAACAAAUCCCAUUCUUGAAACACUCCUACUCCUAAAGCCUUUGGGAUUGAAGUCAGCCAAGAAAACCAAGAAACCAAGUCCAAACCUUCCUAAAACACCCUCACUCUUCCCACAUCAGAUCCAAACAACUACCACAAACCCGUGUCUUCCCCAAAACAAACCCAACCGCCUCUUAGCACUUGUUCCCCAACCGAAUUAAAGUUACCAUCAAGGGCUAAAACGAUUUGCCUUUUACACAUCCCAAACAGCCCAAAUACUCCAUAAACAACCUGCCCGAGCCCAAGAAGAAAACAACAAGCCAAAUUCCAACAAUACAAGAGUCCAAUAGUCCAAUCCACAUUCGACUUGAUAGAGUCCUUAUCAAAGUCAAAAUCUCACACACACUUGAGUCACUCAUUGCAGACUAAAUCAAUAAAAUUUCAAUGUGUUUCUCGUGUCCUUUGCUGUGUUUUUUUUGAGUCAUUAUUCAGUCUCAACUUUCAACUACUUUUACGCCAUUCCUUGGGGAAAGCUUGAAUAAAGUUUGAUUGAACAACUUGAAGGAAAUUUCUGAUUUCUUCACGGGGGAAAUCAAGGGAUUUGAAAAUGAGUGGUGAGAUCAUUAGAGUGUUCUAAACACUUGAAUGAUACACAAGAGUGAGCGGAACACGUGAGGGAGUGAGUGAGGAAUUUUUACCUUAACAUUUGUUGAAGUUUUGCAGGAUAAACCAUGGCCAAUGAAAACGACAUCACCAUAGCACAAUUGGCAUCAAGAAUGGAUGCUAUGUGGAGAGACAUGCAAAGGAAAUUUGAGCUCCGCUUUGAGUCCAUGCAAGAGCAAAUUGAACAAUUGGAUCCCUCCAGAAACGCACAAUUGGAUCCUUCCAGGAAGUCUUCUAGGAAAACUAGAGGGAAACUCACCGUGAACGAAUUCAAUGACUCUAAAUUAGAGAGAGAGUUCGAAGAUGAUGAGCGAAGGCCGCGGAGAAUGACACAAAGGGCUGACCAUGCCGAGGAUCAACUCAAAGGAAUAAAAUUAAAAAUUCCUACCUUCCAAGGUAAAUCGGAUCCCGAAGCAUACUUGGAGUGGGAAAGAAAGAUUGAAUUGAUCUUCGAUUGUAACCACUACACGGAGUCUCAAAAGGUAACGUUAGCCGCCAUAGAAUUCACAGAGUAUGUCGCAAUUUGGUGGGAUCAACUUCGCCUCAAACAACGAAGGAAUGAGGAACUGGCCAUUCGGACAUGGAACGACUCGAAGCGAAUCAUAAGGAAGCGCUUCAUACUCGAUCACUACCAUAGGGAUUUGCAUCACAAAUUGCAAACCCUCACUCAAGGUAGUAUGAUGGUUGAAUAUUACUUCAAAGAAAUGGAAAUGUCCAUGAUGCGGGCUGAUGUUCGAGAAGAUGAGGAGGCCACCAUGGCACGAUUUUUGGGAGGAUUACAGCCUGAUAUUGCUAACAUAGUGGAGCUUCAACACUACCUUGACAUAGGGUAACUCUUGGACAAAGCUAUCAAGGUAGAACGGACGUUCAAGAGGAGGGGAACGGGUCGUCAAAACUCCAACUUUCAAUCUGAAAAUUGGAAAAAUACGCCCUUAAAGAGGGAGGAUCACCCCUCGAGUGCCCUACACCUUGCAAAAUCGAAUGGAAAUUCAAGAGGGACUUUGAGGCCGAAUACACUACCUUCCAAACCAACUUCAAAGGAGGGACCCCAACAAGAGGUCUUUAAACUAAGGACCCGUGACACCAAGUGCUUUAAGUGUCAAGGGUUUGGGCACAUUGCUUCCCAAUGUCCAAACCAACGGACCUUGAUCAUGUUACCCAAUAGAGAUAUAUUGACCGAUGAAGAAGAAGAGAUACAUGAAGGGAUGCCUCCAUUAGAAAAGAAGGACGAGCUUGAAGAGGUACCAGUCAAUGACACGGUUGGAUGUCUAGUGGCAAGGCGAGCACUAGCCACUCAAACUAGUCAAGAUGAGCUCCAACGAGAAAACAUCUUCUACUUCAGAUGUCAUAUACACAACAAGGUUUGUAGCCAAGUCAUUGACCCAGGGAGUUGCACUAAUGUUGCAAGUGCACUAAUAGUGGAGCGACUCAACUUACCUACAACCGACCACCCACGUUCCUACAAGCUCUAAUGGCUAAACAAUAGUGGCGAGGUACGUAUCUCCAAACAAGUCUUAGUUACUUUUCGCAUUGGUCGAUAUGAAGAUGAUAUUGUAUGCGAUGUAGUGCCUAUGCAAGCUGCACACAUCCUUUUGGGCCGUCCUUUUCGAUUCGAUAAGAGAGUUAUGUUUGAUGAUUUUCUAAAUAAAUACUCCUUUUUGCAUAAUGGUAAGAAAAUUACACUUGCACCUCUCACACCACAACAAGUGCAUGAGGACCAAGUUAACUUGCAAAAGGAGUAUGAUAUACAUACCACUAGUCAAAAACAAUCAUCAAAAGAAAAAGUAAAAGAAAUGGCCGAGAACCCUAAGAAUAAGAGUAAACCUACUCGAACCAUUGAGCUAGGGAAGGAAAGAAAAACUAGCUUGCUACCUCGAGUGAAAGAUGUGAGGAAAGGUUUACAUUCUAACCAAGUCUUGCUUAUAUUGAUUUGUAAAGAAGCUUUACUCACUAAUGAGAUUGAUACUUCUCUGCCUAGUAUUGUCACUAACCUUUUGCAGGAGUAUCAUGAUGUGUUCCCUGAGAAUAUAACUAAUGGAUUGCCACCUUUGAGAGGGAUUGAACAUCAAAUUGAUUUCAUCCCUGGGGCUUCCUUACCAAACAAGGUACCAUAUAGGACUAAUCCCGAGGAAACUAAGGAACAACAAAGACAAGUAGAGGAGCUACUUGGUAAGGGUUGGAUUCAUCAGAGUCUAAACCCUUGUACUGUACCCGUCCUACUUGUGCCUAAAAAGGAUGGAGGAUGGAGGAUGUGCACUGAUUGUCGAGCCAUUAACGCCAUCACGGUAAAGUAUUGCCAACCCAUCCCUCGUCUAGAUGACAUGCUUGAUGAAUUGCGUGGUGCUAUUAUUUUUACAAAAAUUGAUUUGAAAAGUGGAUACCAUCAAAUUCGUAUGAAAGAUGGGGACGAAUGAAAAACUGCCUUUAAGACUAAACAUGGCUUAUAUGAGUGGUUAGUCAUGCCUUUUGGCCUAACUAACGCAUUUAGUACUUUUAUGAGAUUAAUGAAUCAUGUUUUGCGUCCUUUCAUUGGAAAAUUUGUGGUGGUAUAUUUUGAUGAUAUCCUUAUCUAUACUAGAAGUGUAGAGGAGCAUGCAUUACACUUACAAGCUGUCUUGGAUGUACUUCGAAAGGAAAGGCUCUACGCCAACCUUAAGAAGUGCACUUUUUGCACUGAUCAACUUAUUUUUUUAGGAUAUGUUAUCAGUGCACAGGGUGUACAAGUUGAUCAAACAAAGGUGAAGGUUAUAAAUGAAUGGCCAACACCUACCAAUGUAAGUGAGGUGAGGAGUUUCCAUAGCUUGGCAAGCUUUUACAGAUGCUUUGUCAAGGACUUCAGCACCAUAGCUGCACCACUUACAUCCAUUAUCAAGAAGAACGCACCAUUUCAAUGGGGGGGAGGAACAAGCUAAGUCUUUCCAAUUAUUUAAACACAAGCUCACACAUGCACCUAUUCUAAGUUUACCUAAUUUUGACAAAGCUUUUGAAAUAGAAUGUGAUAUUUCUGGUAUAUGUAUUGGAGUUGUUCUACUCCAAGAAGGUCGACUGAUUGCAUAUUUUAGUGAAAAGCUAAAUGGAGCCUUCUUGAACUACUCAACCUAUGACAAGGAGCUCAUGGCCUUAGUUCGAGCACUCCAAACUUGGCAACACUACCUUCGACCUCGAGAGUUCGUCUUACAUACUGAUCACGAAUCACUCAAGCAUAUCAAGUCACAAACCAAGUUGAGUAAACGACAUGCAAUUUGGAUAGCCUUCAUCGACACAUUUGCUUUCCUGAUCAAGUAUAAAACAGGUAAGUCUAAUGUAGUAGCUGAUGCAUUUUCUAGGUGAUAUACACUACUUACUACAUUAGAUGCAAAAUUACUAGGAUUUGAAUAUUUCAAGGAUCUCUAUGCUAUUGACCCAGAUUUUGGUGAGAUUUUCAACUCCUUGCCACGAGACACUCGUGAGCAUUACUUUAUAUCAUAGGGAUUCUUGUACUACAAGGACAAAUUGUGCAAUCCACUAAGUUCCAUGCGACCCCUGUUAAUUCAAGAAGCCCAUGGAGGAGGACUUAUGGGUCACUUUGGAAUUACUAAAACAUUGUCCACCCUCCAAGAACACUUCUUUUGGUCACGCAUGAAAAGGGAUGUUGAACGACAUAUACAGAGGUGUGUAACUUGUCACCAUGCAAAAUCAAAGGUAAAUCUUCAUGGACUCUACACCCCUUUACCUAUCCCACAUGCACAUUGGAUUGACUUGUCUAUGAAUUUUGUACUUGGAUUACCUAGAACUAGACAAGGUCAUGACUCUAUCUAUGUUGUGGUUGACCGCUUCUCUAAAAUGGCACAUUUUAUACCUUGCCAUAAGACCGAUGACGCUAAACACAUAGCUGACUUGUUCUUUAGAAACAUAGUACGUUUGCAUGGCAUGCCUCGUACCAUUGUGUCAGAUAGAGAUGUAAAGUUCCUUAACUACUUUUGAAAAACUUUGUGGUGUAGGCUAGGCACUAAGUUGCUUUUCUCUACUUCUAGUCACUCACAAACUGAUGGACAAACUGAAGUAGUUAAUAGGACUUUGUCUACCUUGUUGCGUAUCAUAAUAAAAAAGAAUAUUAAGACAUGGGAAGAUUGCUUACCACAUGUUGAAUUUGCUUACAAUCACACUGUGCACACUGCUACCCAAUAUUCCUCUUUUGAAAUUGUUUAUGGUUUAAACCCUCUCACCCCUUUGGACUUAUCUCCUUUACCUGAUCAUGGGAGAGUUAACAUAGAUAGUAAGAAAAAGGCAGAUUUCGUGCGAAACCUACAUGCCAAAGUUCGAGCCAACAUCGAAAAGCGUACAUUUCAAAACAUCCAAAAUGCAAACAAAGGGCGUCGCAAGAUGGUCUUCGAACCAGGCGACUAGGUCUGGAUCCACAUGCGCAAGGAGCGCUUUCCACUUCAAAGGAGCAACAAACUCCUCCCAAGGGGUGAUGGCCCUUUUCAAGUCAUGGAGAAAAUCAACAAUAAUGUCUACAAACUUGACCUUCCAGGUGAGUAUGGGGUACAUGCUACAUUUAAUGUUGCUGACUUGAGUCCAUUUUAUGCAGACGAUGAGCUUGAUUUGGGGACAAAUCGCCUUCAAGAGGAGGGGACUAAUGAUGGAGCACCAAGGACCAAUGGAGAGAAAGACCAAGCCAUUCGAGUACCAAGUGGUCCGAUCACAAGAGCUCGCACCAAGAAGAUGCCCGAGUCACUCCAAGCACUCGUGUGCACCAUCCAAGAGAGAAUUGGAGAUGAUUUAAAAAUCAUUGAAAGCUUGGAGAAUGAAAAUUCCACAUUAUACACCUUGCUCCAAGUUGAUGAGCCAAGUGAAGACUAGUCUUAGUCAAGGCCGAGAGUUAUUUGUCAAUCCAUAGUCAAGGCCGAGAAUUAGUUGUCAUUUAAUUGUUGUUUAGUUGUUUAAUUUUAGUUAGUAAAUCCGGCCCAAAAACAGUCUUUAAGAGUGGCCGGACAUUAGAUAGCCUUUUUGCCAUUUUUCGGCCCAAGAGGCCUUAGCCUAGCCAAGAGCACCUAAUCCAUUUCACUUUAGAUUUAGUCAAGUGAAUCCAAAUCACUUUAGGUUAUCAAUUGUAUGGCUAUAUAUAGCCAAGGCAAGAGACCUUCACGAUCAGUCCUGAUAUUAAUAAAAUUGUGAGUUUUCACUCUCUUUCCAAGAGAGCCUCUUUGAAUAUUUGAGAAUCUUUCUCAAAUUGUUCAAUUGAACUUAUCAAUCAAGUAACUCCUUGGUUGUGGCGUUCAUCUACCUUUAAUUUGGUUCGCUAGUUCGUUAGAUAACGAGUUGAGAUAGUAUCAAUAGUGUUCGUUAUCUCGGGGAUUAGAUUUGGAUCAAAUUUCCACUGCCUAAGCCAUUGGUGAUUGGUUGUCUAGAUCGUGGCCAAGUGAGUAUCACAUCAAUGUCUGCUGCCAAUCAAAUCUAAUUAAAAUUGGUUCAAGUCCAAAGUAAGUCCAUACUUUAAAUACAUAACCGAGACUUAAACUCUUUUUUUUUUUUUUUUUGCAAAGAACAUCACAUUCAUUCAUUGUCACCAACUCAUUUUUAGAUAACAAACAAACUGAAAAAAGACAAGGAAAGAGGCUAAAACUACCUUGGAGAAAUAAAGGAAGCAAAAUUGCAUGUUCAAUUAGUGGGAUACAGAAAAAGCAAAUGAUGAAGGAAAGCAAAUGCAUAAAUCACUUGUACACAGCCUAAUUUUACAUAAUAGACAGUCUGUCUAUAAACAUGACAGUUGGGAUAUUGUUACCAGUUUUUCCGUAUAAUGUUUUUGUGUGUGUAUAACACAAGAAUAGCACAUUACGGUGUCAUUGUAAUUAAAUGAAUGGUGUCCAAAUCAAGAAGAUUAGGUGGUCAAAUUUUUUGUCCAUUAAUUUGCCGUUUGACUUGAAAUUUUUUUCUUUUGAAUAUCAACGGUUUUAAUAGUUAAUUACCCAAAACUUUAGAAUAGUAGUUGUUGAGUUGCCUUCUAAGCCCUAUAUAUAUGAAGUCUGUUAUUGCUAGAGAAGUAUAAUAGUUGUUGAUAGCUAGUAUGUAAUUAGCUUCCCAUUGUUUUGUACAUCCACAUGUCACGUUUGCAAGAAGAUAGAGUGCAAUAUAUUUGACAUUUAAGACAGAUUAUCAGUCAAUGAAAAUAAAAUACCUACUCUACAAUAAAUGAAAUUGCAAGACAGUGGUGAACAAGAUCGCAUCCAUGAGGAUUGGAAUGAUAUAUUUCUUGGAAUAAUUUCAUAAACCUAUCCUGAGGUUUUUAACUAUUUUGCUUAGUUCCCUUGACGUUUUAAAAAUUACACUUACCUCCCUCGAUUUGACAUAUUGGUAACCAAAACUUAAAAUAGAGUAAAAAAUUUAAUGAAAAUCCUAAAAUGCCAUUAUCUUAUAAAGUUUAAUUUAUUCUUCUAAACAAUUAUAACGUAAUUUAGUACAAUUAUAAAAAAAAGUGUCAAGUUUUUUAUACCAAUAUUUAUUAUUUAAUAAUCAACUAUAACAAUAAAUCUUUUUUCCAUUAUAAGCUAUUUUUCGUAGUGAUUUAUUGGGGGAUAUAGAUUCUUUUUAAGAUAAAGAAAAAGUGUUAUCUUUAUUUUUUAAAAGUUUAUGGACUAUUUUUUUUAAAUAAAUGUUUAUGGACUAACUUAGUGAUAGAACUACCCUAGUUUGGUAGUGAUUUUGGGCUAUUUAUUUUUAAUUAUUGUUGAUUUAUUCUUGAUUUUGAUACAAAGAAAAAAGUUACAAAAAAAUUGGAUGAUGUUGAAAAUUAUCAAAAAAAAUUAUAAAAUCCAUCCUUUGCAUAAACAUGGCAACAAGAGAGUUUUAUUAAAAUAUUAAAGUUAGUAUUGUCAUUUUAAAUGGACAAGGGAGGUAGGUGUAAAUUUUAAAAUCUUAGGGGAACCAACUAUAAUUAUUAGAAACUUUAGAGGAGGUUUCUAGAGUUAUCCCUUGUUUCUUUCAAAGCAAUGAAUAUAAAGGGGAGAUUUUGGAUAUUAAACCAACUAAUUAAUUUAAACACAAAAUAACAUGCAAAAAUUAAGUAAAUUUUAAUGAAUAAUAAUGGAACUCUUGCCAAAGAAAUAACUUCUGAAAUGAUUCAUAAAACUAAUCAAAAUAAUAAACUGGUUAUAAUUGUCAAUGAAUUCUGACAACCAACUUUUCUUUACUUUUUUGAUAAUUAAAGUACGACUAUUAGCUACUUUUCUAAUUGAAAAGAUAAUCUUAGGUACAACUGACCAUAGGAUUUAAUCUUACAAUUGCAUUAGAAAAAGCUUAAUUCUAACUAGAGGUAUCAAAAUGGGUGACUUGGGCGGGUUUGGAUUGGGUAAAAUGAGUAAUGGGUAUAAGUGAGUUUAACCCAUUUAUAUCCAUUUAAUUAGAUGGGUAUAAAUGGGUUAGUCAAAAAAUGAAUUAGGUAACCCAAUUACCCAUUUAUAACCCAUUUAUUUUAACCUAUUGUAAAUUCAUUUAAAUUUAUUUUUGCAAAAUAAGUUAUCAAUUUGUACCACUCUUUGCACCCAUCAUUAGUUUUAAAUAUUUACUUAUAAUGCUCAAUAAGCCUAAUUACCAAUUUUUUCCCCAUCCAUACUCUAUGUCGCAAAAUUACAUAUUAUUUAAUAAUUAAAUAAUAAGAAUAUAAAAAUUUGAACUAAGUACUAUAAAAGUUAAUAUAAAAACUUAAUCCAAAAAUUUUGAACCCCUAACAUUUUUUUCAUAUAUAAAUUUAAAAUUUCAUUUUGGAAAGAUAAGAAAAGAGGCUAAAACUUAUCAUAAAUUGGUAAUGCUGAAAAAUGAGCAAGUUAAUAAACUAAAAGAAAAUAAAAUGAUAAGAUAAAACUAAUAAAUAAUGAUAAUAAUGAAACAAAAAUAGUUAAUAUCAUGACAAAAUGAAAAUUUUGAAAAAAAAAAGGGUGGAGAAAAGAGGAGACUUGGGGAAAGAAAAUUUUAAAUGGGUUAAUUGGGUUUGCUGGGUUAUCCAAUAAUACCCAUUUAAUAAAUGGAUAUUAUUGGGUAACUCAUUCAUACUCAUAUACAAAAAUUUAAGAUACCCAUACCCAUCUAUUCAUGGACGGGUAUGGGUAAAUUUAGUUAAAUGGAUUUGUUUGCCACCUAUAGAGCUCUCAUUGAAUGGUCAAGGGAUCGAAUCCUAUGAUUUGCAUUCAUCUUUAGAAUUUUAUGAAAGUUUCACCGGUUGAUGCAAAGGCACCCGUUUGGUCCGGUGGUGGUUCAAUUUCUUUCAGAUUCUCCUUUGGCCCAUUUGGGCCCACCCCUCCCCUUAGUAUAAAGCAAGAAUAGGAGUAGAAAAGAAAAGUUAUCGUGUAUAUUUUAAGUAGGACAUUUUGAAUUCAAAAUCUCCUAUUUAUAAUCCUUUCCAACUCCCUCCCCCUCUUUUUCUUCAUAAUACUUCAUUUUUCUUUCUGACAAUUAGAUUAUAGCAAUAAUUUCUUAUUUUUAUCCAUAUUUUAUCCAACAUACUAUGAGAAAAACAUUAGUCUGUUCAUUCUUGCUAUUGUUGCAAAAUUGGAAUUCUUGUCUCAAAAAUUACCAAAUCCACAAACAUAAUUUGUGGUGGAAACUUGUUAAUUUAUAGUUAGAAAUUGAAAUUUACCUAGACAUAAUAUUAUAUUUUAAGCUACAUUACUAUUGUUUUACAAUUCUAGUUUUUGGAAUGUCAUAUUUGUAUUGCUCCUUUUUUUUUUUUAAUAUUGCUCCUAUUAUCCAGAUCAUUUAAUUUAACAUGAUUCUAAAUUUUAUUCUUUACAAAAUAUUUGCAAUGAACUAUAAAUCAAAUUAAAAGGUAAUUUGGAGUCGUUUUUACUCACCAUAGUUUCACAAAGGAGGACCUUGGAUUACUUAAUAGCUGUGAAAACGAAGACAAAGCAUGGAAACAAGACUUUGGUAAUUUAUUUAUCAUCCUCCAAUUUAAUUUUUUCUUAAACUCUGCAUAAAAUGAUGGCAAAUAAAAUAGAAUUAAUGAAAUAUAUGCGGUCAUUUAAUGAAUUUUUCACACCAGAAAAAUAGAAAAUUCAUUUCAAAGCAAAAAUCUUUAUGAAUUGUUUGGACAUUUAGGCCCAAAGUUGAAUUGAUGGACCUUUGUUUGGGAGUCCUAAAACUUAGGUAGCUGACCAUUUACUUUAGAUUGUCUGUAUAUUGAACUGAAUAGAAAAGUUGAAUGUAGGAAGCUUAUAGCCCAACUUGAUUUUUCAGGCCUCCUAGUGGACCAUCUGACCAUGGAUCAAUUCCUAUUUUAUUAUCUCAUCCUUGUAACAGGUUCGUUUAGCCCGACAAAUUUCAGUGCAUAACCAAGCAGCUUUGUCAGGAUUUGGGGCUUCACAAUUUGUGUUUCGUACAAUUUUGUACAAGUUGACCUCUGGUGUUAAUUAAUAAAAUUUUAGUAUAAAUUAGGUCUGAUUUGCUGUAAAUUAGGUGCAGUUCAGUGUAUGUUGAUUUGUUAUUAUUUGGUAUAAAUCAAGUACAGUUUGGUACAAGUUAAUUACUAUCAUUUAGUAUAAGCUGAGAACAAAUUAGUGUAAGUUGAAAGUAAUUCUUAAUUUACACCAACUUGAGCGAAAUGGAACUUGUGAGGCCCCGUUUCCCUUCAAUUAACAAGGGAAAGAAGAAGAAGAAGAAAAAAAAAAAAGCAAUGUAAGCAUAAGAAGACUAGGGAUUAAAAGUUUACAUGCAGAAAAUUUGUAAAAGCACAAAUGGCAAAAGAAAAAAGCCAACGAGCACAUGGUAAGGCUUAGUGCAAUCCCAUCUUAGUCAACAUUCAACUCUAUGAGGGUUUUUUAUUAACAUAGUAACUUUUUAAUUUUUUAAAAUUUUUUUAGCAGGGAAAUGGUCAAAAUUAAGAAGUAGGGAAAGAGAAUGGAGAAUUUCAAUCCAGAACGUCUAAAUCUUGAAACCUCAACUUCAGCACCAGACACCACAGGAGUCUUGGACUAACAUUAGCCACUACAUUCUUGAAUUUUUUUUUUCACCCAAAUUAUCAGCCUGUUUGGAACCUGAGUUUUUUGGGAGUUUGUCUAAAACUUUACUGUAGUGCACUGUAGAAAUUUUUGAAAAAAUUUUGUAGAAGUUUUUAUAAGGUGAAAAUUUUUUUUGUAAGGUGCAAAAUUUUGUAGAAAUUUUUGUAGAGUGAAAAACUUUUUUUUUUCUUUUCAUUUUUUUUCUUCUUUUUUCUUUUUCUUUCUUUUUCUUUUCUUUCUUUCCUUUUUCUUUUCUUUCCUCUCUUCUCCUUCUUCUUCUUCUUCUUUCUUUCUUUGCUCCCCGUUACCUCCUAGCAGCAGUCACACCCGCCACCCCUCUCCUCCCUUUCCCCUUCUCCUCCCACCACCGUGACCUCCUCCCCCCCCGCCACCCCCUGUGCCUCUUCCCCCUCUGCCACCGCGACCCCCCCCGCCCGCCCCACCGCCUCCCUAUGCCCUUCCCCCUCUGCCACCCGCGACUCCUCCCCCCGCCAGCCCCCUGCCCUUUCCCAGCUUCUCCCCGCCACCCUCCCCUCCCCCGCCACUCCUGCCUUUUCCCCAGCUUCUCCCCGCCCCCUCUGCCUUUUUCCCCAGUUCUCCCGCACUCUCCUCCCCCGCAGCUUCUCCCGCCACCUCCCCUGCCCGCCCCCUCCCCUACCACCCCCCCCAGCACCCUCCCUGCCACCCGACCCCCUCCUCCCGCCACCCCGCGGACGAUGCUAAAAUAGUCCCCAGGUUUCUGGCAAAAAGCAUCGAGGAAUUUACGGAACUUGGAACGCUUCGUCGAGGAGGAUUUGCUCUUCUGCAUCCAAUUGAAUAAGGAAACCAUCACGUUGAAUUUGAUGUCAAAUUCCUCCAUUCUGGACUUUUUUGCUUUUUCUAGACUAUGAUUUUGCUUGUUCGGUUCUUGGGGAAUGUUCAUUUUUUGUGUUUGAAAAUGAAGGAUUUAAAAACCGUCUGAAAGGGGAAGGGGGAAGGGGGCAGGGGAGGCAGAGGGGAAGAGGGGAGGGGGAGGGAAAGAAAAAAAAAACUUUGUGUAUGGCCGGAACUGGCCGCCGGAAUAGUAACCGGUGUCGAAAGUGAUGGUGGAGGUGGUGGCCGGCGGCGGAGGAUGUGGUGGGUUGGGUGGGGGAGGAAAAAGAAAAAAAGUUUGAAGGGAAAGUUUUUUUGUGUAUUUUUUGAAGUGUGUAGGUAAAAAGUUUUGAGAAGUUUUUUAGGGUUCCUGUAGCAAAAGUUGUUAAAAAACUAGUAGGUAAAAAACUUGGGCAAAAAACUCACUUUCAAACAGGCCCUAUAUUGUGUGAACGCAAAUUCAUCAAAAAUUGAAAUACCAUGAACAUGAAUGAAUAAGACAACUAAGCUGCCAAAAGAAAUAUCAAGUCAAAGAGAUUGUAGUAAAAGAACAGGAACCAUGAAGAUAAGAAGGGUAAAUUACAUUUUACCCCCCUAUGGUUUACCCUUUUUUUACAUAAUUCCCCUAUGGUUUCAAAAGCUAUACAUAACCCCCUCAUGGUUUGGAUUAAAGUGUCAAAGUAACGGAAAUAGUCACCCGUAACGGAACUUCUAAAAAUGUCGAAAUUACCCUUAUAAAUACAUGACACAUUAAACCCGCAUGAUUUUUAUAUUUUACCAUAUAACCCCCUUAUAGUUUAAUAUUUUACCAUAUAACCCCCUUAUGAUUUUCAAAAUAUACACAUAAUCCCUCUUGGUUAAUACAUAAAUUUCAACUUUACAUAAGGGUAAUUUUGACAUUUUAGGUGAAGCCGCUAUGAAUGAUCAUUCCCGUCACUUUGACACUUUAAUUCAAACUAUAAGGGGGUUAUGUAUAGAUUUUGAAACUAUUGGGAUGUAAAAAAAUGCUAAACUACGGGGGGUAAAGUGAAAUUUGCCCAGAUAAGAAUGACUGCGUUCCCAUUUAAUUUCAUAUCCUAACACAAAGAUCAAAGCGUUUGUACAAACUCAAUAAUCUAAGUCCUUUCAUCUCCACUCCAAUUAUCCUUGGAUUUGGGACCAGUGGGCCCUUCCUCAGCCAACACUUCACUAGGAAGCUCACUAACUGCUUUUUCUAAAGCACUUUUUAAUUUCCCAGGCAAAAAUUUCUCAACCUUCUUGAUCUCAUCGUUGAUAUUAUAGCUGAUUUUUGGACCCCAUUCUCUAGUAUAAUUCAACCAUGGUGGUUCAACAAUUGUUGGCCCUAAGUAAUCAGCAGAAACCACUGAGAAAUUUGCCCCAGCAUCCAUAAAAAACUGCCCUUUUCCAGCAUCAUUUCUUAUUCCAACAUUUGAGUUAGACCCUUGCAAAAAAUCUCCUGUCUUUGGAUAAGCGGCAUGGCCAUGCAAUGAGGAAUACACCACUGGUUUGUUACCAUUUUGGAACUCAAGCCCAGAAGCGCUGAUCCAUGUCCCUCCACUAUGUUCUGAAAAAUAAACACACUUUAAUUCUCCAUUGAAGUUACUAAUCCUCAGUGUCACAUGCUCCCAGUCUCCAACAUGUUCCCCAAUUUUUCCUAGCUUAAUUGUAACAAACUCAACUUUUGCUCUAGCUGCACCAUUAAAAGGGUAAAAAACCCAUACAGCCAAGUCAGUAAAAGUUGCACCUAACAUAGGUUUAACAUGUAUAUAUACACUUGCAUCUUGUAGAUUUCCUUGCUUGACCCUAUCUUUAGCAGCAUUAUCACGAGGUAAAUCUAUCCAAUAUGCACCAUCAUUUGUACCACCUUGGGGCAUAUUUGACCCUGUUGGGGUAAUAGCAACAGGAUUGGAUUCCUGCCCUCUUGUGUACAGUAAUGCACCAUUCUGGAAAAACCAAUUUACUGAAGAAGGAAAGAACUCUUCAUCAGGGUGAAAGUAAAUCACUGGAGAAUAUUCAGCAAGCAAUGCUCGAAUCUGAUUCAGAGUAGGCAUAGCAUGAAAGUUGCCUUGCAGAUUCUUCAAACAAGCCAGUGAUGUUGCAGCCCCACUGUUUUGUGCUAAUAUAAAUGUACCUGUGGAAACCCCUAAAACUUGAAUCCCUCUAACUUUUGGCCUUGAACCAUAUAUGUUAAUGCCAUUAGAACUACCCCAAAUCCAAGAAUCUAGAUCAGUAGCAUCAGUGUAAUCAGAGCGGACGCAUCGAACUUUUUCCACUGAAGGCUUAUCAGGGGAGCUUGUGACUACAUGACCAAUGGCCUUGUAGCCAUCAGGAGGUGAUGGCAGCCAUAUAUAGCCCACGCCAUCUUGCUUGAUAUUCAAAGAUUCACUACUCCAAAUAAGUGUAUAAUCAGUGGGCUUGCUCAGAAUUCCUUGACCUGAUGAGGCAUCUUUUGCAGCAAGAACCCAUCCAAACAGGGGACUAUUGUUUGGUUGGCUAUAGUAACCAACUGUAAAGAAUCCAACUGGGAUUGAAGAUGGUUCAAAAAAGGUUGCACCAAGAUUAUCUGGUCCACCUUCAUGAGUAGCCCAAACUUUAUUGAAAGUUGAUACUUGACAUAUCCGUAAUCCUCCCAAAUCAAUUGUUCCACUAGCAAAUCCCGCACCUAUAAUCCACAAAUGAACAGAAAGUUAGCAGAUUUCCACAACUUUAACCAAAAAAACAGAGGAAAAUUCUGAUGGGUUAGCAUUUUUACCUUGAGGCCAGGCGGGUAAUGGGGAAGGAAGCUUGAACAUGGUUUCAAUAGGAGGUGGCUGGUUGUCUUUCUUGGACAGAUAUACCACAGAAGGAGAAAUUGCAUUUAUGCUAUUUCCCAUGCUUGCAUGGUCCAACUGAUUCUGAGGUCUUGAGCAACAGAGUUGAAUAUGGAGUGCAAGGAACAUGAAGUAGACAAACCCCAUUUUCUGCAAGAGAAAUUGCUUUAGAAAGUGUAAAGACAAAGCAAGAAAUCUAGUCAAGCGACUGUGGCGCGAAAGUUAUUCAUCUAUUGGUUUUCUAUACUUGAAGAAUGAAAGCAUAUUGUUUGAGAUUUGAGGAUUGGAUGUUCUUGUCUUCUACACUAAAGCUUUCUGCUUUGGCUUUGUUACACCAGUCGUUAUUAUACCUCUCCUAUUUUCACGGGACUGAUUCUGUGUAUCAGGAUGUAGAAUGGGUUAAUCCCAAUUUACUGUGCUAGAUAUACAAGGUGUGUAUCGAGCCUUUGCUCGAAUGUAAAUAUUUUUUGCCCAAGUUAUAUAUAUAGUCCUACCGUUUCGAACGAAAAAAAAAAAAAAUUCUGUGAAUCAGUAUCAGUGUAUGAGACAGCUCUAGCUGUCAUCAUAAUAUUUUUAAUGCCAUAGUUAAAAUGAAAACUAAGAAAAAAAAAAAACAUAAUCCACUGUAUGUAACUGUCUUAGAUAAUCCACUGAUGUGAUUGCUGACAACGACAUACUGAGUCUGCAGAUUUCUUGAUUCAAGGAACUAUACAAAGGAAUCUUUUUAUUCUUUAGGGAUAAUAUCAGAAACCUCUACUGAUGUUUCUUUUAAUAUCAUCUGAUACUCCUAAAGUCUUAAAAACGUCACUUACUUCCCUUACUUUUAUUAUUGGCUUAUCAAAACUUUUAAAAAUCUUAAACUACCUUUUCAUUUGUUAAAUAACAAUAUUCCUAAACCGUUUUAUUCACUUCAAAAAACUAUCACCUACAAAACAAUCUCUUAUAUUACUAUCACAUCAUAAUACUAUACCCCAUAAAAAUACAAAUUUGAAAAAUAAAAAAAUAUUUGAAAAAAAUACAUUUGCACCAAUUUAACUCUAUAUACUUGAAAUUGAUUUCUUAUGAACUUUAUAUUUUUUUUCAACAUCUUCUCAAUUCUUGUCCAAACCAUUAAAUUGUAUCUAUCAUUAUAAAAAUCAACUCAAAAUACGCAAAUAAAUCAUACCUCACUUUAUCACAAUUACAAAAAAUAAAAUUCAAUCAUAAUUCACUUUACACAAAAUUCAAUUUAUUAUAAUUUACAGAUAAAAUUUUGCAUAGUCAUCCAAAAAAUGAGUAAGAGAGAAUGACAAAUAAAAGGGAUAGAGAAAAAAGUGACUUUUGUUUCUUUUUUUUUUUAUUUUGAGUUCCAAAUUAAUUUUAAUUUGAUAUAUAAAUUAUGUUUCAAAUAAGAGUUAGUAUAGUCUUUUUACAAUUAUUAGAGGAGGUAACUGAUAUUUCAAAAAUUUUAGGGGACCAAGUGAUAUUAAGAGAAACUUCAAGGGAGGUUCCUGAUGUUAUCCCUAUUCUUUAUGAGCAAAGUAAUAUUCUAUUCGAUACUAGCAAAAAGGCAGCUCUAAUCACCAAGUGUGUGUUAUGCAUAGUAAGAGUACACAAUAAUGAUUCAAGAUUUUCUGAUUAGUUCUUGUACAAAUAUGACAUCAUUUUACUCAGUAGAUUCUGGGUGUGUUUGGACAAACAAGAUUUGAAUUAAAAUAAUUCACUUCACAAAUUUUAGUCACCUUUUUAUCUUUUCAAUCAACUUUUUAUCUCACAUUUAUCAAAUCACAAAAAGUGCUAUCGUAAUUAUCUCAAAUAAAUUAUCCAAAUAAACUCAGAGCCUAUCGCAUUGAGUACAACCGAUUUUGUGAUGUGGCGGACAGGAUAUUUGCAUGGAAACUUUUAAAUUCUUGGCACAACUGUCAUCACUAGCUUAAAAGGUAGACACAAGCAUUAUUGUUAUCUUCUUUGGUGAUUUACGGAGUAGAAUCUUUCUCAAAGUGUAAAGAAAAAGCUCAGCUAAUUCACUUUUUGUUUGGAUUGCAUUUUUUGAGCUAAAAUAAUUUUUUAUUUAUUUUAUUUACUUAUUUUUAGAUGUAUUUUAAAUUAUGCGUGAGAUGUUACUGUAAACUCCACAAACAAAAAUUUUUUUUUUUUGAAAAAAUAGGUAAUCCAUAUGGAACUUAAGGUUACAAUUGUGUAUUUUUCAAGUUGACAUGCAUUCAUGCACUAAAAGCUUGUAUUACUAUCAGUAAGAGAAAUGCAAGAAUUCAGGCUUGGAUUAGUUAAUUAACAAUAAGACUGGGGAUGUGACCGCAGAACUUUAUAUGGGGUAUUAACAAAGAAGGCAUAAGAUGAUAAGACAGCAAUAAGGCUAAUGCAUGUGAGUUUGUGACACUAACGCGUUCUUGAAGCAAGAUAGUCAAGGCUGACCUGUGUGCUAUAAUGUUUUGUAUUGCGUCUUCAAAAACACAAACCCCAAACUUCCCUUGUGGUUAUUACUUGUCAACUAGCUACACUGGCCCUUCGGGUCGGGUCGGUUGGUGCUGGGGUAGCCUCAUUAGGUCCUAGUACCGUAUGAUCGUGGUUCGAUUCCUUCUACUGUCUUGUGUAUCUUGAGAGACGGGUGCAAAAAUACAGCCACCAUAUUGUGCAAAGCAUCAUGUAAUAGAACGGAAAGCUAACAACUAAAAAGUGCAAAAUAUCAAAUGUUUUAUGAAUAUCAAGCUAACGGGAACGUCAAGGAAUUGGGUAGAACUAAUUAGAUCUUACAAUUAUGCAAAUUAGGAUUUGGACAGGUUUGUCUUGUAGGACUGCCUUUUAGUUUAGCCAAACUCUAUUAAGUGUGAUAUGUUGCUUUUGCAUUUAGGGUUUUUCCAUAAUGGACCCUAAACAUCAUUUCAGGGACCAUUUGAUAAAGUUUAUUGACAACGAAUUUCAUCUGCUAUGAACUCACCAUAUACAGUUUGUAAUCUCUUCAAGGAUAAGAACAAGAAGCUUUUGCACAUUUUUGUAAGACAUGCUAGGAGGAGGCUUUAUAUCCAAGAAUCUUCUCAUGAAUGAAGUAUGGAACCAGUGAGGGGAAAGAUGAAAGAAAAGAAUGGAAAAUAAAACUAGAGCUAAAUGAUGAAUGGAGAAAUGAAUGAAGGAGAACUUACUUGCAUUGGAAAAUGAGUGACAGCAUCCAUCUUCCUUCCCAUAUCAAUAACAACAACAACAACAACAACAACAACAAAAUUGCCGUAAAAUAUACAACAAAAGAUUGUUAGUGAUAGUGGAAGGUGAGGGGGUGAAAUUCUGUGCAAUUUUAGCUUUUCAGUUGCUUGAAAAAACUUCGCUCUGUAUAUUCUUGGCAAAUUAAGCAGAUGACUUGCUGUAACAAACUCUUCCGAGUCCUCGGAGAUGGAUGGCAGCAUAUCCCGUCCGAAAUUCCAAAGCAUAUUUCUGCUUAUGCUUUGGAAAUUUGAAUUGAAAUUCGUCUUCAGAUAAAAUUCUAACAUAGUAGCAACAAUAUUGUCACGCAAAAUUUUAAACCCACAAAAGUUAUAAAUCCCUGGAUUCUGUGUUAAAUUGCCACCAGCCUUGUCGGCCUAAAGAAAUGGAUACGAGAUGAGAAUGUGCCUGGCAAAACAUCUUUAACGGGUCCAACCUAGCUCGACUCCAGAUUAGUCGGGCCAAAAUGACUACCACACACUGAAGAUUAUUUGAAAAAAAAGAGAAAAAUAAAACAUUCUUGAUAUUUUUUUUUUCAAAUCUAGCAGGGGAGGGUGGGGCUUAAGAAACAGGAGGAAGUUGGGAGAUUUGAGUUUAAAAUCUCUAAUAUUUAGAAUCUCAAUUUUAACCAUUAGAUCAAUACCUCAUCGAUCUUGAGAAAUGCAAUAAUGGAGAUACUGUACAAUGUUAAAUUGCAAAUAAAAAUAUAAUGGUGCAAGAUUAAGUGCAACUCCAGCUCUCAGGUGACAAAAAAUAUAUAUAAAAAAAGAAUUAAUUUUUCCUAUGCACAGUAAGUGUUAGAUGAAUGAUAAUUAUCAAAAUUUAAAUUUAAACUCCAAUUUUUGCACAUGUGUCAGUGUAAAUAAAAUUACUGUAAAAGUGGUUGCAGCACAUUUCAGAAUGCCUAUUUGCUCAGUAAUUAAUCACUGAUCAGCCCAUGCUUCAUUACGUUAUUGCUUCUGCACAAGCUUUGUAAAAUCAGGAUCCUACGUAGGAUCGAUUUUAGUUUUACAGAAUCGGAUCGUAAGAUCGGAUUGUGGAGUCGUAAUAUCUCACCAAAAGCUCCUAAAUUUACUAAAUUAAUGAAUUUAAAAUUCAUAUACCAUUUUGUACAUACUAAAAGAUAUCAAAUAAAUAGGUUACUCAUAAAUAUUUUAUACCAUGUUGUUCAUUUCUUGUUUUGAGUUUUAACAGUCAGACAAGGAACCUUUACUUAAUCUUAGAGGUGGCAAUUUGUCCCAAGUUCCAAUGGGCUACCCAUGCCCAAAAGGACUUUGGGCGGGAUGGGUACCAUAAUUUGAUAUUGGGUUUAAAAUGGGAUGCAUCCCAAUUGUACCCAUUAUUUGAUGGGAAAUGUUGAGAAAUACUUGGGUACCCAUUGGGCCCAAAUAUCUUCCCAAAAAAUUUCAUUUAUCCAAAAAUGCAUCUUUGAUUUUUUUUUUUGCAAAAAUCUGAUUUUUUUUCACUUCCAUUUUCUUUCUUUUACUUUCUUCACUUUCCUACAAAAGAAAACUAGUUAAGUAAAAAUGAUUUCAUUUAAACAACUUUAAAAAAAUAAAGAUAACAAUAAAAAUAAAAUGAAUUGGUAAAAUUUUGGUGUCUACAAGAAUCAACACUUUACUAACAAUUGUUGGCACCCUUUAUGUUGAUUUUAUGCUAAUUGUUGAACUAUCUACAUAGAUUUCUAUAUGCAACCCUGUUAUCAAUUUUUAAUCAAUUUCUUCGUUUUUGUGCUAGCUUUAUUUAGCAUUUAAUGUGAAUUUCUUUUGUAUCAAAUUUUGAAAAUUUUAAGAAUGCCAUUAAGAAUGAAUUUGGUGUUAAAAAAUCUUGUUUCUAGUCCUUGUGUCAGACAACAUUAUGGGUAAGGUUGGAAUAUGGCUGUAUAUCUAUCUUUUCCUUUAUUUGUUAAUCCAAUUUUUGGUUUAAUCCAGGGAGAAGAUAUGUUCAUUCUUACCAAAAUGUUAUAUCUUUUAAAAGUAAUUGUUGAUCGUUCUAGAGUGUAAAUGAAUUCAGGAAAAUAUAAAUUCACAAUAAGAUCAAAAGAAAUUGAAUAAAUAAAAAUAUUAAAGUUAUAUAAAAAAUAAAAAAGAAUUAAAGGAAAAAAAAUAUAGAAAAUAGAUUUGGGUAUUGGGCGGGAUCAAUCUAAACACAUCCCAAAGUGAUCCCGUCCAAAUUAGUUCCAAAACACAUAUGGGUAAGUUUAACCCCAAACCCAUAUGAUUCGAUUUCAUUUCGAACCCAAGCAAAUCUCACCCAUCCCGCCCAUUUUGCCACCUCUACUUAAUCUACUAAUAUUUUCUUUACAACCUUUCAGCUGAAAAGUUGUGUUUUUGUGCUGGCCUGUAGUAGAAUGUAGAAUAGAUGAUCAUAGCAAAACUAGCUGUUAUAGAUAUAGACGAUGAUCCAUAUGGCUUGCAAUAUUAAACUAACAUUGUAAAAAGGGCAACAAAUGAAGGCUAAUAUAUAGUUGAGUAUCAUUGACCACUAUACAUCACUUGUAUGCAUCUCAAGUCAAGUUUGAAACAAGCAGACAAUUCUAGUUCAUAUUGGUUUGCCGGCCAUUUAAUUUUCAGACUUACAUUUUAUUAAUUCUCCAUAAUUUAAUUCUAAUAUACUAAAAUUAAGGAAGCAACCAAUCAACACAACAGGGGGCUUGAAAUACGUGUGCAUGGGGGCCUCAUAAUCAUUCAUUCAUUCAUUCAUGGGUUCAAAAGAAAAGAUGAAAGAAAACUGCCGACGAUCAUCAAUUUGCAGGCAUGUGGUGUGGAGCAACAACUAUGGAGGAUUUGAGUAGAGAAAUGCUUAGCCAAGCAAAAGGAAUACUAUAAGGCGAUGAAUAAUCUUGGUCUUGGUCUUGGUCUUGGGGAUCCAUCUCACACAAAAAAUAAUUUGCAAUGCGCGAAAGUGACUUAAGAUCUAAAUUCUAGAGUAAUUCAGUUGGCUGGAAAUCUUCAAACAAUUAAUGCGGAAACAUAUUUGUCUCAAGUCUGAGAUAUGUAGAAGGCAAUCAUAGGAAACUCGACUACCAUAGACUACCAUAGCCAUAUUUGAAGCACUGCUCAAUUCAACCGAUAGUAAAAUAACCACAUGUGACUUUAAUUGAAGUACUGGUGCUGGAGCUUCAGUGUGGUGGCAGCAAGGAGAUUGGAGAAGAACAGGUGUUGGAGCUUGAAGUUUUGAAGCUUGAAGGUGCCACAAUCCAGCGGCAGCAAAGGAGAUUUCAUCUUGAAGCCGCACGAAAUCUGGCUUGAAGCCUUGAAGCUGUAGCUUGUUGGUAUUUGGUAGAAGCCACAGCGAUUUUGUCUUGUUGGUAGGAGCUGCAGUGGUGGUGGUUUGAUGGAUAAAUUAGGGCUUUGGGCAGCGAUGGAGAAGAAGUGAAAAGUGAGAUUAGCAAAUGACAGAGAGGAGAAGACUAAAGAUGAGAAGAAUCGGAGCUUGUUUGACUUUUUGAGGCAAAAAGUGUUCAAACAUUGCAAUUAAAGACUGCAAUUCUUUGAUAAAUUACAAAUCUACCCCAAAUGUUUUCAUUUACUUGCAAAAUGGAGUCUCGUAUUUCACAAAUUAGCAAAAAAUUGUAGGAUCGAAGUAGGAUCGUAGAAUCGACGAUUCUAUACGAUCCUACAGAUCCUACUCGAUCUUAUGCUGAUUAAUGCAAUUUGUGACUCUGAAUGCGAUCCAGAUCGAUUUUGGUUAUCCGGGGAUCGCGAUUUUGACAACACUGCUUCUACAUUCAUCUAUCUGGGGAAGAUUGGUGCUACCGCGCUAAUGAUAUUAGUGGGAUAUUAAUUGCUCCAUUAUGGGAGUGCUAAAUUAUUUUAUUCUACAGUGGGGAACACCAAUUUGUAUCUAAAACAAGCCGUGUUUGGUUUUAUAAUGGAAGGUUAAGUUCAUGUUAGGAAAUUGGCUUAAUUUCUUUUAGGUAGAAUUCUUGUUUUGUGUAAAAGUAUCUAGUUUUCUAAUUGGUUUUAGUUACUCGAAGUAAUAGUCAAGAAAUAUUCUAUUUAGUUUAGAAUUAGAAAUUAUUUCAUAUUCUGUACAAGUUUAGGAAUUAGAAUUGAUUUUCUAUUAUUAUUUGGAUUUUUAACCAAAUAACGUUUCUUAUAAAUAGGUGGAUUGACAUACUAUACAAGAGACACAAGGGCACACAAGGGCAACAUAUAGCCUUAUACAUGGGGUGGUGAGAGAGGGUUCUUGAAAGAUGAGAGAUGAUAUACAAGGUUGGAAUUGGGUUCAACUUGUAUUCUUGUAUAAGGUUUUCCUCUCAUAAUAAAGAACAGGUUUCUCUCCGUGGACGUAGGCUCAAUGCUGGAGUUGAACCAUGUUAAAUAUUGUGUGUUGUUUAUCUUUCAUACCGUGGCUUGUUCCUCAUUAAAUUGUUGUAUACUUGAUGUCUCAAUAGUUAUUUGCUCAGCGCUUGGAUCCUAACAAGUGGUAUCAGAGUUUCAGGUUGUGAGACUGGGCAAUAAAGCAAAGUUCGUGGUUGGAUCCUAGUUAACUAUUAAGAUCAAGUGGAUUGGUAGCUGUUACUAAUUGAAUAAUUUAAUGAGUGGUAUCCUUGUUUCAAUGACUUGACAAAAAGUAUUGAUGGUGAAGGAUGGGAAGUCGAAAAGCGUGAAGAUACUUGACGGUGAAUCUAGGCAGGUGAUUCAAGGGUCAAGAAAAAGGUGAAGUUCAAUAUUGAUUUUGGACGUGAAUCGGUGGAGACUUUCUUACACCUCCAACGAUUGAUACUUCAUCCCAGUGAAUUUUAGAUUUUGGUUAUGUUAUUUGGGUGGUGUGGCAUGUGUCCCAAAGGAACAAAAAAAAUCUAAUUGUCAUGCGCCAUAAGACUUUGACAGUUAUGAGUUUUUUGUUUUAGGUGGAGUUUUGGAAACCACACAUGGCACGACAGUCCUGAAGAUGGGAAGAAGUAUGGUAAUUUUACCACUUAAUUGCCUCAAUGGUUAAGGUUAGAACUCACAGAAGGAGAUUCCGGAUUGCAAGUGGUGGUGAGAAAAAAUCAUGCAAAGGAAGAUGGUGAAUUGGACACUUUCUCACGAGUCAACUGGAGGUUGGAUUCGGGGUGAUUACAGAUGUUAAUUUGCCGAUUAAAUCAAUUUGGUGUCAGAACUGUAUUGAUUCAAGUGUGUAGUUCGGUACCAUAUUAUUUGGUAGUUGAAAGCAAAUGAUUGUUAAAAGAAAUUUUCGCCAACGUGGAGAUUUGUUAGGAAAUUGGUUUAAUUUCUUUUAAGUAGAAUUCUUGUUUUGUGUAGAAGUAACAAUUUUUUUAAUUGGUUUUAGUUACUUGAAAUAAUAACCAAGAAAUAUUUUAUUUAGUUUAGAAUUAGAAGUUAUUUCCUAUUCUGUACAAGUUUAAGAAUUAAAAUUGGUUUCCUAUUAUUAUUUGGAUUUUUGGCCAAAUAAUGUUCCCUAUAAAUAGGUGGGUUGGCAUACUGCACAAAAGAUAAAAGGGCACACAAGGGCGACAUGUAGCCUUAUACAUGAGGCAGUGAGAGAGGGUUCUUAGGAGAUGAGAAAUGGUAUACAAGAGUUGGGAUUGGGUUCAAGUUGUAUUCUUGCAUAGGAUUUUCCUCUCAUAAUAAAGAACAGGCUUCUCUCCAUGGACGUCGGCUCAAUGGUGGAGUUGAACCACGUUAAAUAUUGUGUGUUGUCUAUCUUUCAUACUUGUAUCUUGUUUACCAUUAAAUUGCUGUGUAGUUGAUAUCUUAAUAGUUGUUUGUUCAGCGCUUGGAUCCUAACAGUUCAUCCAGAAAUUUUAUAUGUAUUGGUUAAUCCAAUUCAAGUGACAUAAUAAGUUUUGCUGUUUUAAUUGAGAAUGGGAAUUAGGUUAGAAUUUCGCAGAAUUCCACACUAAUACGUUCCCAGUUUAAAUGCAAACUUAAAGUUAAUUUAAAUGUUUGAGCAGUAAAUUCUGAAUUUAGUUGUCAGUUCCAAUUCUGAAAUUAGAUCAGUUUGAAUACAAUUUUUAAGUUAAUUUAAAUGUUUGAGCAAUAAAUUCUAAAAUUAAAGCAAGUUAAAUUGGCAGGAAAAACUUCAAAAUGUUUCGGGAAUUCGUACUGGAUGUUCUCCAAUAAGGUUCAAUGACCCUACUAACUCGGACUGGAUUAAUCACAAAUUGGGUCCAACUGGUCAAGGAAUGUGCCCUCUCACUGGGCCUAGUUCGUUGCAGUCAGAAGACUACUCUCUCCCUUUAGGUAAGCUAUCUACAUGUCUUUAUAUAUGUAUAUAUAUAUAUAUAUAUAUAUUCUACUUCUACUCCUACUCCUAUUUUAGCUUAUUUUAGGGAGAGGGGAGGACGACGAAGACUAAAUCAAUGUUGGAUCAGACAGAUACAUUAUGCACCCAUAUGUAUUUAAGAGAAGCCACAUAUAGUGACACAAUAAUGGGAGGUAAGAUUUGAACUCUUGAUCUUUCACACUUCCAAGACUUAAAGUGUUUGAUGAUGGCCAAAAACUUUCUACAUGUCUAACAUGGAAUUUUCUUGACAUGGAGUAGAGUAGACGGUGACGAUUGACAAAAAAAGAAGGGGAAUUUCCUCAACCCACAAAAAAAUUUUUUUAAAAAAAGAAAGGAAGGUGAAAGUUACUUCAAGAACUGAAAUUUUCAAGAAUGCUUACUAGCUUAGGUGCUAGAGCCUCAUCUUUGCCCCCUGCAACAACAAUUCUACAAACAAGCAAUGUUGUUAGGUUGAAAUUUAAAAUUUUGUUUUUAAUAAUUGUUUUUGGUUUUGUUUUUUUACACCUGCCCAUGGCCCUUAGAUAAAUAAAAUUGUUUGGAAUAAUGGGAUUAGAACUGCUUUUAACGCAGGGCUUGUCUAAGUUGUGGUUGGAACUUGGAAGCUUGCAACUAGGAAUAUUAAAAAAGAAGCAUAUUAAUUCUAGCACUAAUUAACAGUUACCAUUUGUUCGAAGGCUUCGGACAAGCAGGAUCGCACAUCAUGAUAAAGCUAGCUAUAUAUAAGAACUUGUCUUUAACACUAAUUAAUCCCAGUUAAUUAAUGAUGAUCAAGAUUAGAUGGGCUUUCUCUUCCUGUUAGAGUAGGGCAAUAUUAGUGGUAUUGUUUGUUUAACUUUUUUUUUAAAUUUUUAAAAGGUAGUUUACAAUGUAAGUAACAAUUGUAUGAUGCUCUUUGUUUUAUGUAUAAUCCAAUUCAGUCAAUUUUCUUGCAGAAUUUUAACUGUUAGAGUUGAUUUUGCUUAGGUUAAAUCGCAGGGUGACGUCCAAAAGACGGACCGCGGGACUUAUCCCUGGGAGCUUGCGGCUAUUCUUGGAAGGUGUAUUUUGAAGUCACGUGGGAUUAGGAGACAUCUUGAGAGACCUCUUUGGCAACAAAGCAAGGAGAAAAAAAAAUAAGGAAAGGGAUUCCUUAUAGAAACAAGCACUUUGUUAGCUAAAGAGAAGGCGGCGGCAAAGCUUUAAAUAGGACAGUAAUAGACUAGGAGUUGGUAUCUUUGACCUUGGAUGUUUAGUCUUUCUCUUCUUCUUCUUAACAUGAGUUAGAGAUUCGUGGUUUUUACUUUAUCAACUAAAUUCCAUAAAAUGCUUUCAAUUGCAUCAACGUUAUGCGGCAAGGCUAGAUUCUUUGUCUAGUUGAGGAAUAAUCAAGACCCGGUGCACGGACAAUUGUUAGAUCUUUUUAAUUGUUCUACGCUAAUUCAAAUUCUGCGUUAGUGGGUAUUUAAUUAUUCUUUGUUUUAAUAGCCUAUUCUUGUUUGGAUUUAUUGGAUCAAUGUGAUCAGUUGUUCAAUUGUCUGAAUAAUAAACUGCCAAUUAGGAUGAGGGUGCAUAUCACUUGAUUGUCUUAAAAUUAGUGACAAACGGCACAAUUUCAUUGCCUCGCAAGCAAUCUAAUCUGUGUCGUAGGAAUAGUUAAUCUAGUUUAAAUGAACCCGUAUGUGUGUUUGUUAACUAGAAUUGGGUCUCUCUAAUUCCUAACCUGUGAAUAGAUUAAAUCCUUCGAGCGUCUCUGGAGUUAUUUAUUUUACAAGGGGGUGGUUUAAGAGCGUCUCUGGACCACCAUAUAAUUAAGGAGAGAUUGGUAGUUUGGCGGUUGCUGAAUUACUAGAACCAAUUUACUUACGAACGUGUGAAUUAAUUCAGGUAUCUAUAAUCAAUUAUGUGGGCCAAUGCCGAGAUUAUUUCCUUGACUAGGUUGUGUCAAUUAAUUGUUUAUUAUAUUCUUUAGAUAUUGGACUUUCUUGCGAUUGGAAAUUCAGUACUCUUACCUCUUUAUUUGUUCUUUUUGUCUUCCUUUCUAAACCCCGCCCCCCACAUUCUCUGUGUGUGAUAAAUCUACCAGUUCCUUGAGAAGACGACCCUACUCACCACUAUACUCGUUUAGUUUUGGGAGUAGGUUUUGAUAUAAAUUUUAUUUUUGGUAGUUUGACAGCCACCAUGAACCAUCCCUGUUAGAUCCUCUUCCAGCCUCAUCAAAUUAGCAUGUAUAACCUCAGACACAGCAUCUGGCCAUGAUGCAUUCAUCCAAUCCUUCAAGCUCACAUCUCCUGAUAACAUUUCAUUAGUUGGCUUCCUUCUUGUGAAAGUUUCCAUCAACAUGAUUUCAAAACUGUAGAUAUGACACUUCUUGGAUAUCAAACCUUCUGAUCCAUACUUUGCACCAAGUGAAACAGCUUAUCAGAAAGAUUACAAUUAUGUUGAGGGAUAUGAAACAAAAUUAGAAGCAACUAUUAUCACCUGGUGCCAUGUAUCCUAGUGUUGCUAGUGUCUGAGUUUGGGCCAUGCUCUCUCCCAUCCCUAAUAAUUUUGCAGUGCCAAAAUCACCCACAUGUGCUACCAUAUUUUUGUCAAGUAAAACAUUGCUUGGUUUCAGAUCACAGUGAAGCACAGGGAUUGAAUAACCAUCGUGCAGAUAGUCUAAUAGUGAUGCCACAUCAAUCAUUAUGUCUAGUCUUUGCAAAAAAUCCAUGUACAAAUCCUGAUAGUACAACCACUUUUCAAGACUUCCAUUAGACAUAUAUUCAAGAAUUAAAGCUUUGAAGUCAAGGCUGGAACAGCUGCUGAUGACUUUGGUUAGAUUUCUGUGACGAAGGUUACAUAGUACUUCACAUUCUAUGUCAAAACUUCUAAAUGCACCUUCUGUUUGUAAGUUGAACACCUUCACAGCUACAUUUGAUCCAUUGAUUAAUGUCUUGUAAACAGAACCAUAGGCUCCCAUAAAAUUCAUUGAAAUUGGUGCACACUGAUGUUUGCUAUAUGAAAGAUAAGUCUCUUGGUGGUGCUGUUUAUUUUGUAACUUUUAUUGAUGACUUUGCUAGAAAGGUUUGGUGUUUUGCUUUGAAAUCCAAAGAUCAGCUUUUGGAUGUAUUUAUGGAUUUUCACAGCAAAGUUGAAAGAGAAACUGAUAAACAGUUAAAGUGUGUACGUGCUGAUAAUAGUAGUGAGUAUAGAGGACCAUUUGAAAUUUAUUGUAAGUCCCGUGGGAUCAGAUUGGAGAAGACUAUGCCAAAAACUCCUCAAGAGAAUAGAGUAGCAGAGAGAAUGCAUAGAUUCAUCACUGAACGGGUCAGAUGUAUGCUCUCCAAUACUAAGUUGCCAAAAUCCUUUUGGGGGUGAAACAAUGAGGACUGCGGUCAAUUUGAUUAAUCUUUCUCCAUCAGUUUCUCUAGAUGGUGAUAUCCCAAAGAGAGUAUGGACGGGAAAAAAUAUAUCUUUUGAGCACUUGAGAGUUUUUGGUUAUCGGGCAUUUGUUCAUAUCCCCAAAGAUGAAAGGUCAAAACUUGAUGUAAAAUCAAAAUAGUGUAUUUUCUUGGGUUAUGGACAUGAAGAUUUUGGUUAUAUAUUGUAUGAUCAUAUUGAGAAGAAGGUGAUCAGGAGCAGAGAUGUUGUUUUUUUUGAAAAUCAAACCAUUGAAAACAUUGAUAAAGGUGAUAACUCAAAAUCCUCAGAUGACAUUCCUACUAGCUCAAAUUCAGAUCCAGAUCCAAUUCUAUUACCUGUUGAUUCUAAUCAAGGGGGAGCUGAGAUAGAGUAGAGAGAAGAUGUUUAUGAUGGUGAUAAUCCUACUGCUGAUGAACCUGAGUAUGAGGCAUCACCUACUCCACCACCACCACCACAAGAUGAGCUUAAGAGAUCUACCAGAGAAAGGAGACAUUCUAACAGAUAUAAUCCUCAUGAAUAUGUGUUAUUGACAGAUGGAGGAGAGCCAGAGUCCUAUGAUGAGGCUCUAGAGCAUGAGAAUAAAGAAGAUUGGUUGCAAGCCAUGCAAGAGGAGAUGGUGUCCCUGCAUGAGAAUCACACUUAUGAGCUAGUGAAACUGCCUAAGGGUAAGAGAGAUUUGAAAAACAAAUGGGUCUACAAGUUGAAGAUUCAGGAGCACAGCCCACAAGUAAAGUACAAAGCAAGAUUGAUUGUGAAGGGAUUUAGUCAAAAGAAGGGCGUAAACUUUGAAGAAAUUUUUUCUCCUGUGAUAAAAAUAUCAUCAAUUCGAGUUAUUCUUGGUAUUGUAGCCAGUUUGAAUUUGGAGAUCGAACAACUUGAUGUGAAGAUAGCCUUCCUGCAUGGUAACUUGGAAAAGGAGAUCCACAUGGAACAAUCGGAGGGGUUCAAAGAAAGUGGUAAGGAAAAUCUUGUAUGUCGUCUCAAGAAGAGUUUGUAUGGGUUGAAACAGGCACCGAGAUAGUGGUAUAAGAAGUUUGACUCAUUCAUGACAGACCAUGAGUACCAUAGGACUACAUCUGAUCACUGUGUUUACGUGAAAAUUUUUUCAGAUGGUGAUUUUAUUAUUCUCUUGUUAUAUGUUGAUGACAUGUUGAUUGUUGGUCGUGAUACUGUGAAAAUUGAUAGGUUAAAAAGAGAGUUAAGUAAAUUUUUGUAAUAAAGGAUUUGGGUCCGGCUAGACAAAUAUUGGAAUUGAAAAUCUCACGAGACAGGCAAAAUGGAAAGUUUUGAUUGUCUCAAGAAAAAUACAUUGAGAAAGUGCUCAACAUGUUUAACAUGAGCAAUCUAAGGAAAUCUCAGCUCCACUUGCAGGUCACUUCAAACUGACUAUCAAACAGUGUCCUACAAGUGAGAAAGAUAAAAAAGACAUGAAAAAGAUUCCUUAUGCUUCGGCUGUUGGUAGUUUGAUGUAUGCUAUGGUUUGCACCAGGCCAGAUAUUGCUCAUGCAAUUGGAGUAGUCAGUCGGUAUCUCUCUAAUCCUGGUAAGGAGCAUAGGAAUGAUGUCAAAUGGAUUCUCAUGUAUCUCAAGGGAACUCCUAGAUUGGUCUAUGUUUCAGCAAUGGUAAAAUUAUGAUAGAUGGAUACACUGAUACAGAUAUGGCAGGUGAUCUUGAUAAUAGGAAGUCCACAUCUAGGUACUUGAUGAUUUUUACAGGGGAAGCAGUGUCAUGGCAAAGUAAGUUACAGAAGUGUACCGUUCUUUCUAGUACGGAGGCUGAGUACAUCGCAACCACUGAAACAUGCAAAGAGACUCUUUGGUUGCAGAAAUUCCUUCAAGAGUUGGGUAUGAAACAAGAGAAAUAUAGUCUCUAUUGUGAUAGUGAGAGUGCUAUUCAUUUGUGUAAGAACUCAACAUUUCACUCUCGGUCCAAACACAUUGAUGUGAGGUAUCAUUGGAUUCGGGAAAUUCUGGAUUUCAAGUUGUUAACACUUGAGAAGGUACAUACAAAUAAUAAUAGUGCUGACAUGUUGACCAAAGCAUUGCCUAAAGAGAAACUCUUAUUUUGCAGACAAGAAACAGGUCUUGUAGAGGCCCCCAAAUGAGUUGGAGGGGGAGAUUGUUGGACUUGUAUGUGGGCCAGCCCAUUUGUGCAAGUAAAUAAAGCUUGAGGCUUUCUCAAGCUUAAAUACAUAGAGCAGCCGCAUGAGGAGUUUUUUUUCUUCGAUCCUUGCAUGCGAGAAAAAGUCAGCCGCCAUCUCUUUGCUAGUUGAGAGAGAAAAUGAAGAGAGAGAAAAAGCUAGAGAGAGAGACUUCAAAGUCUUGAUUGGAGCGUGAUUCGGAACCUGAUUGAGACGAAAUUUUACCCAUGUGAUCCUCUCGUCAGGCUCUACUCAUCUACCGGUUCAGAUUUCAUAUUUUCUCUUCGUUUGGUAACACCUUUCCAAACUCACUUCUUUGACAGUUGUAGUUUUUGGGGGUGAUUUUGUAGGAAUUUUGCUUAGUUGGUAUUGGUGAUAUUAUUGUUAUUCGAAUAUUUCGGGUAGACUUGUGUAUUCUCAUUAUUGUGCUAGUGGAGACUUUUGACUGGACUAGGUCCCGUGGUUUUUUCCAAUUUGGGUUUUCCGCGUAAAAAUCUUGGUGUCCUGUGCCUUUUAUUUUUCUUUCAUUUUGUUAUCAAUGUUGGUAUUAUUACUUGGUGAUUUGGUUUAUUCCUAUUUUAACUGGUACUUGGGGAAAGAGAAAUUUGUCCUAAACUAACUCUGAUAUUGUGUGCCUGUACCGGUACCCCUUUCCUAACACCUUCGAUAUUUCCAGUGAAGAAUUCGAGAAGUUGCCCCAUUAAUGGGGAAGGUAUUUUUUUCAGCAAAAUUGUUGCCUUUCUUGACUCUAUUGUUAUAUUUCAAGUGAAAGAUAUCAUGUCAAUUUAUGGAUCAUGGAUGAAUUAAUAUGAAGUGGAUAGAACUUGGACUAAGUUAAAAUCUCAUUUGAAAUUCCCGACAUUUGGUGUUGAACAUCGAUCAUAUAUAUGCUCAAACCAAAGCAGGCAACUGCUUUUGCAGAUUGAUGGAGCAGAAAAGCUUGUGCUCUAUGAUCCUGGAAUUGGAUACAUUAGAGACGUAGCCACUGCACAUGGUGCAGCUAGUUUCAUUAGAAGCCUUCUUGCAUGUCUUCAUGUUCCAAUUUCCAACUUGUGUAGCACUAGUUUUACCUCUUCUGGUUGCCAAUUCUCUGUUCUUAACCAAAAGCUCAUUUCUCCAAUUUCUUAUUCAAACUUAAUUUCAAUUGAAGAUGUCCAUUUGUUGUGAGUGCAAUCAUCCUAAUCCAGAACCCUCUAUCAGUUAGAAGUUCAAGUUGCAAGCCAUUUCACUUUAUCCAUUUGCCAUCCUGCAUAGGAAUUAAAUUCAUGCUGAGUAAGUUCAUACUUUUUUUUUUAUAUAGGAAAGAUCAUUUUAUUCAAAUAAAUCUGCACUAAUGGAAACAAAAUACAUCAAACAAACAUGAAACGUAGACGUAUGGAUCUGAAAUCAAUAGAUAUAACUGAUCUAAAAAAAAUACAAAUAAAGAUAACAUUGAUACUCCUAUAUAUCUUCGAUCCGGAUGAAUCACUAUAGCCCAAUACAUCAAUACAUGUCUGCUGACAAUCAAAUCUAAUUAAAAUUGGUUUAAGUCCAAAGUAAGUCCAUACUUUAAAUACAUAACCGAGACUUAAACUCUUUUUUUUUUUGGCAAAGAACAUCACAUUCAUUCAUUGUCGCCAACUCAUUUUUAGAUAACAAACAAAUUGAAAAAAGACAAGGAAAGAGGCUAAAACUAACUUGAAGAAAUUAAAGGAAGCAAAGUUGCAUGUUCAAUUAGUGGGAUACAGAAAAGCAAAGGAUGAAGGAAAGCAAAUGCAUAAAUCACUUGUACACAGCCUAAUUUUACAUAAUAGACAGUCUGUCUAUGAACAUGACAUUUGGGAUAUUGUUACUAGUUUUUCCGUAUAAUGUUUUUGUGUGUGUAUAACACAAGAAUAGCACAUUACGGUGCCAUUGUAAUUAAAUGAAUGGUGUCCAAAUCAAGACGAUCGGGUGGUCAAAUUUUUUGUCCAUUAAUUUGCUGUUUGACUUGAAAUUUUUUUCUUUUGAAUAUCAACGAUUUUAAUAGUUAAGUACCCACAACUUUAGAAUAGUAGUUGUUGAGUUGCCUUCUAAGCCCUAUAUAUAUGAAGUCUAUUAUUGCUAUGGAAGUAUAAUAGUUGUUGCUAGCUAGUAUGUAAUUAGUUUCCCAUUGUUUUGUACAUCCACAUGUCACGUUUGCAAGAAGAUAGAGUGCAAUAUAUUUGACAUUUAUGACGGAUUAUCAAUCAAUCAAAAUAAAAUACCUACUCUACAAUAAAUGAAAUUACAAGACAGUGGUGAACAAGAUUGCAUCCAUGAGGAUUGGAAUGAUUUAUUUCUUGGAAUAAUUUCAUAAACCUAUCCUGAGGUUUUUAACUAUUUUGCUUAGUUCCCUUGACGUUUUAAAAAUUAUACUUACCUCCAUCGAUUUGACAUAUUGGUAACCAAAACUUAAAAUAGAGUAAAAAAUUUAAUGAAUAUCCUAAAAUGCCAUUAUCUUAUAAAGUUUAAUUUGUUCUUCUAAACAAUUAUAACGUAAUUUAGUACAAUUAUAAAAAAAAGUGUCAAGUUUUUUAUACCAAUAUUUAUUAUUUAAUAAUCAACUAUAACAGUAAUCUUUUUUCUAUUAUAGGCUAUUUUUCGUAGUGAUUUAUUGGAGGAUAUAGAUUCUUUUUAAGAUAGAGAAAAAGUGUUAUCUUUAUUUUUUAAAAGUUUAUGGACUACUUUUUUUAAAUAAAAGUUUAUGGACUAACUUAGUGAUAGAACUACCCUAGUUUGGUAGUGAUUUUGGGCUAUUUAUUUUUAAUUAUUGUUGAUUCAUUCUUGAUUUUGAUACAAAGAAAAGGGUUACAAAAAAAUUGGAUGAUGUUGAAAAUUAUCAAAAAAAAUUAUAAAAUCCAUCCUUUGCAUAAACAUGGCAACAAGAGAGUUUUAUUAAAAUAUUAAAGUUAGUAUUAUCAUUUUAAAUGGACAAGGGAGGUAGGUGUAAUUUUUAAAAUCUUAGGGGAGCCAACAGUAAUUAUUAGAAACUUUAGGGGAGGUUUCUAAAGUUAUCCCUUAUUUCUUUCAAAGCAAUGAAUAUAAAGGGAAGAUUUUGGAUAUUAAACCAACUAAUUAAUUUAAACACAAAAUAACAUACAAAAUUUAAGUAAAUUUUAAUGAAUAAUAAUGGAACUCUAGCCAAAGAAAUAACUUCUGAAAUGAUUCAUAAAACUAAUCAAAAAUAAAUUCAAACAUUCAUUAAUAAACUGGUUAUAAUUGUCAAUGAAUUCUGACAACCAACUUUUCUUUACUUUUUUUAUAGUUAAAGUACGACCAUUAACUACUUUCCUAAUUAAAAAGAUAAUCUUAGGUACAACCGACCAUAGGAUUUAAUCUUAUAAUUGCAUUCGAAAAAACUUAAUUCUACCUAGAGGUGUCAAAAUGGGUGACUUGGACGGGUUUGGAUUGGGUAAAAUGAGUAAUGGGUAUAAGUAAGUUAACCCAUUUAUAUCCAUUUAAUUAGAUGGGUAUAAAUGGGUAACUCAAAAAAUGAAUUGGGUAACCCAAUUACCCAUUUAUAACCCAUUUAUUUUAACCUUUUGUAAACUCAUUUAAAUUUAUUUUUGCAAAAUAAGUUAUCAAUUUAUACCGCUAUUUGCACCCAUCAUUAGUUUUAAAUAUUUACUUAUAAUGUUCAAUAAGCCUAAUUACCAAUUUUUGUCCCAUUCAUACUCUAUGUCACAAAAUUACAUAUUAUUUAAUAAUUGAAAAAUAAGAAUAUAAAAAUUUGAACUAAGUACUAUAAAAGUUAAUAUAAAAACUUAAUCCAAAAAUUUUGAACCCCUAACAUUUUUGUCAUAUAUAAAUUUAAAAUUUCAUUUUGAAAAGAUAAGAAAAGAGACUAAAACUUAUCAUAAAUUGGUAAUAUUGAAAAAUGAGCAAGUUAAUAAAUUAAGAGAAAAUAAAAUGAUAAGAUAAAACUAAUAAAUAAUAAUAAUAAUGAAACAAAAGUAGUUAAUAUCAUGACAAAAUGAAAAAUUUGAAAAAAAAAGGGGGUGGGGGAAGAGAGGAGACUUGGGGAAAGAAAAUUUUAAAUGGGUUAAUUGGGUUUGAUGGGUUAUCCAAUAAUACCCAUUUAAUGGGUAUUAUUGGAUAACUCAUUUAUACCCAUAUACAAAAAUUUAAGAUACCCAUACCCAUCUAUUCAUGGACGGAUAUAGGUAAAUUUAGUUAAAUGGGUUGGUUUGCCACCUAUAGAGCUCUCAUUGAAUGGUCAAGGGAUCGAAUCCUAUGAUUUGCAUUCAUCUUUAGAAUUUUCUAAAAGUUUCGCAAGCACAAAGUUUCCAGUAGAGACAGAUAUUGAAACUGCUAAGAUAGGAUAGGAUAGUUCCUAUGUCUAUUAAAAUGUUAGAUGUUCUUUCUUAGAGGACCUGCCAAAAGGAAUCAACAGUUGUGUAUACGCCCUUUCUCAGCUUUGUAGGGCAAUGGAACAAAAGGAAAGCAAAGCAAUAGAACAAAAAUAAAAUGUACAAUAUAACCUUAUAUUGGGAAAAAUUGCAAAAGUUUUAGGUAAUCACAAAUCUAACGGUAAAUUGGACAAUGUUCACCUAGGUUUCAUCAGCUGCAGAUACAAAGGAAUCCUUUAGAUGCUUCCAUAUGUCUUCAAGUCUAAGUGUGUAAUUCUUUGAAAGAACGGAAAAUACAUCUGUAGACUUCACAAAUGGAGUUCAUAUGCUGAGCAUCCGCAAUGAAUUGAAUCUUCCACUAAGGGCUAAUCUAAACUCAAAGGACAAGCUGAAUGCAUUACUUCAUCGAUCUGAGCAAUAAAAAUUAAACAUUAGACAUGUACAAACUUUUUGGGAGUGCUAGUUUAGCAGAUGGUCAAGAAAACAAAACACGUAUUGCUGGCUUUUUCAGACAGGAAAAAACUGCAGAUGUCUCCAUAACCAGGACAUUUGAAAAACAGAAUUCUAGUGUCACCUGCGGGAGGGGGGUAGCGAUUCUAGAAGAGCAGAAGUUACAUGAUGACGCACUACCAGCUACCGGCAACUUUCUGAGGUGUAAGCAGAGGACUUGUUAAAGCUCAUCAGUUCUGUCUUUCCUGCUUUCUGCUCGUUGACAUUUUUCACUAGCUGGCAGCUAAUCUACUAACCCGAAGUUAAGAAGUUCUUCUCUUCGUCUUUGAUCAGCAACAAAGACAUAUAGGACCUGGAUACGUUUGAAGUAUUAUAAGAGCUAAUCAACAAGUACAGAACCGUUUCCAGGAUGAUUUCACUAUGGCUGCUUAAAUAACGGCACAGAAAUUAUAUGGAACUUUUCUUUUCUUAAGAUGUGAAACCCAAGAUUCUGAUAUAAGAUUGGGCAUCAUAAAGAAAAUGACCACCAUCUUCAUCUCUCUAUCUCACAGUUUCACAUGCACGCUGCAAGCUGCCCAACCGUGAAAAUCUUGAUUUUCCAACCUUGAAAAUCUUGAUUUUAUAUGAGACUGACUGUGAUUCCCAAGAUUCAAAGACACUUGCUCAAGAUGUAACUUUGGCAACCAAAAGGGAAUUCAAAUCUGAACUAAUGUGUAGGAAAUCCAUUUAUCAAGGUUUUUUUUUUUUUGCUCAUUUCCUCCACCUCCAUAAACUUUCAGCAGCUUUUCACUGAUUGACUAGAUGGACAAUCUAGAAUCAUAAAUUAUUUCAAAGAAAAAGUUCGGAUAGAUUCUCUCAAAGAUACACAACAAGAGUAGUUAUUCAAACCAUAUGAAGUGGGUGAACUUCAAGAAAUGAAGAAAACAUUCUAAUCACAACAUUUGAAAAUUUUUUACUUUGGCUUAUUUAUGCACAUCAAAAUGUCAGAACCAGAUGGCUAAUGGUCAAGUCUAAAGCACCAGUAGGGUACAAAGUUUUCAACAAUCUACAAAAACAUUGCGUAACAAAAUCUGCCCAAAAGCUGAGAUAAGCGGGAACAAGCUCAUCUAUUAAACAUAGAAGACAAAACUUAAGCUAAGAUCCAAUCGCAAAAUUUGACGUCAUUGGGACCUCAAGAUGACGGACAAGCAUGUCGCUCUCUCAUGUUGAAUUUGCAGAGGGCCGUUUACACUGAUUGUGAUCAGAACUACAAGAGAACUGAAGCAAGAAAAGAAAAUCGGGAAAAUAUAGGGAAGCCGAAACUUUACAAAUAGCAGAUCCCAAACCUUACCAAGUUGAAUCACAACUUUGGUGUGUUUCUGCAUAUAUUUAUACAUAAGUGCUUGUGCAGAAGUAUCAUACAAGAUCUGCCACGGCACAAAAAGUAUGUCUCAGUACACAAUUGUAAACUCAGCCAGACAUUGAACGAAAAAAACGUUUUAGGAACAGAGUCUGAUACGAAAAAACAAAAUGUUGACUUCUGAACAAAAAGAAAAACUGAAUUGUUCUGUCAUAUCUUUUGUUCUAGACUCUGUACAACAUCUAUACAAAUAGAAUUUGACUUUUGUCAAUUCCAUGAAAUCUGUAAUUUCCUAAAAAUUAGGAGCUAAUUUAUUCUAUCCUAAAAUACAUUAGGAGUAAAUUAUUCUAUCCUAAAAUAGAGCAGAAAUCAUGGGAUAUACAUAGAAAAAGAUAUUCUAGAUUUCAACACUCCCCCUCAAGAUGGUGAAUAGAUAUUUUCCAUUCCCAUCUUGCAUGUAAUGUCUUCAAAGUUGGAAGUUGGCAUUCCCUUAGUUAAGACAUCUGCCAAUUGAUUAUUUGAUGCUACAUAUGGAGUGCAAAUCAUGCCACUGUCCAGCUUUUCUUUAAUAAAAUGUCUAUCAACUUCGAUGUGCUUUGUGCGAUCAUGUUGCACUGGAUUGUGUGCAAUGUUGAUGGCAGACUUGUUGUCGCAAUAGAGUUUCAUAGGUCCUUCGCUCUUGAUUUUAAGAUCAUCAAGUAUUAUUUUGAGCCAUAGCAAUUCACAAACUCCAUGAGCCAUAGCUCUAAACUCUGCUUCAGCACUUGAUCUUGCAACAACCGAUUGCUUCUUACUCCUCCAUGUCACUAGGUUCCCACCAAGAAAUGUACAAUAUCCUGAAGUUGAUCUACGAUCUACAACAGAACCUGCAUAAUCAGCAUCAGUAUAUGUCUCUAUGAGCAAUCCUUCAUUUUUCUUGAACAAAAUUCCUCUACCCGGUGUCCCUUUGAGGUAUGAUAGAAUUCUAUUGACAGCCUGCAAGUGUUUCUCUCUUGGAUCAUGCAUAAAUUGGCUUACUACACUUACAGCAAAUGCUAUGUCCAGCCUUGUAUGGGACAAGUAUAUCAGUUUCCCAACCAACCGCUGAUAUCUUCCCUUAUCUAUUGUGCUAUCAUCCUUCUCUUCAUUCAAUCUCAGGUUAGGCUCAAUGGGUGUGCUUGCUGCCUUGCAUCCAAGAUUGCCUGUUUCUUUAAGCAAGCCUAAGGCAUACUUUUGUUGGGAAACAAAGAUGCCUUUACUUGAGUAUGCUGUUAUUCUUGAUUUUGAUGAUCACAAAAGCACUUUGAAAUAUUUAUCUAAUUCUCUCCAAACAUAAAAGUUUUGCUUUUUAGAGAAUCAGGUACAAAGGAAUCAAGGAUAGAAAAUCAACCAAAAGAAGAAGCAAAAACAGGGUACUUAUACCGGACGUCCAAAAGGAAUCUGUUGGACGUCCGAAAGGAUGAAGAACAUCAAGAAGAAACUCUGUCGGACGCUUGUAAGGAAGCAUCGGACGUCCAAAAGGAUCGGACGCAUGCUUCGAAAGCACAUUGAUCUCAUCGGAUGUCCUAAAAAUUCCAUAAAGUGUUGAUGACUCUCUGUCGACGAUCGGACGCUGAUGCUGUCGGACGAUAAUAUCCCAUAGGACGUCCGAACGACAACUUGGCUGAUUUUCGGACGAUGGAAUCGGACGAUGAUUAAUCUUUCGGACGUCCGACGGGUCCAACGGCUAGCUGACUCUUCAUCUGCCUACUAUCCGUUAGAAGCAUUAUUGAAGCCAAUUUUUGGUUCCCUUUAAAUACAAACGUUUCUGAACUAGUGAGAGACUUUUGCACACUUUGUUUACAAGAUCUCAAGAGAUAUUUUAGUUAGAAAAUAGUCUCCCAAGCAAGAUUUGUUCUCCAAGUGGUGUAAAUUUCUUGUAAGCACUUCUCUUGUGUUUGAAAUUUUCAAUAGUGUAGCUUUGCUGAGGGUUAUCUGAGUGAUAGUAAAACUUCCUAACUUGACUAAGUGAGGCUUGGGGCAAGGAGACAGUGAUCCCUCCAUUGUACAUUAAGUUGAUUUUAUUCUUCAAAGAGAAGAUGCUCAUCUUUGUGAUUGGUCUUCAAGUUUGAGGAAAGCUUGGUAGACAAUUGGUUUGAUACUCUAUCUUAUUCUUUUUGUUUAAUAAAAUUCUCAUUACUUAUAACAUUGUUCUCUUCUUUAAAUUUACUUGGUUGAUCACUACUAGAAAAGAAGGUAAGUUUUUAUUAAAGAAAAAGUGCAUAAACUAAAUUAAGGUUUUAUAAUCAACCUAAUUCACCCCCCUCUUAGGUUGUCUUUGGGUCUUACAAUUGGUAUCAGAGCUUGGUCUUCUAGAGAUUAAGCUCAAUCGGCUUGGAGUAAAGAUGACAACCAAUCAUGCCAUGUUUGUUGAGGGGCAAUCUGUCACUAGACCUCCCAUGUUUACUGGUUCCAAUUAUGUUAGUCGGAAAGAAAGAAUGAUUAUCUUUUUGUAAUCCAUUGAUAUUGAGCUAUGGUUUAUUGUAAAUGAAGGACCGCAUGAUGCUAACAUUCUUGAUGCAGAUACAGGUUUGUUUCGGCCAAAAACAAGAGUUGAAAUGAAUGCUCAAGAUAGAAUCAAUCUCACAUUAAAUGCCAAAAUCAUGAAUGUUCUUUAUAGUGCCUUAGAUUCAAAUGAAUCAAUUAGAGUAAAAGAAUGUAAAUCUGUCAAGGAAAUGUGGGAUAAACUAAGAGAAAUUCAUGAGAGUAGUGACAACGUGAGAGAACAGAAAAAGUCUAUCUUGGUCACUAAGUAUGAAUCAUUUAGAAUAGAACCUCUUGAGGAUAUUGACAAAAUGUACUGCAGGUUCAAUGACUUGAUCAAAGAUCUCGAGGCGUUGGGCAAAGAGUACACCUUGGAUGAGAAAAACAGGAAAAUUCUCAAUGCAUUGGGCAAAGAAUGGGAAAGUAAAGUGACUGCAAUAGAGGAUACUAAGGAUUUGAAUUCUAUACCUAUUGAAUCUCUCAUUAACUCACUAACCUCCUAUGAGUUGAAGUUGAAAACUAAAGUGCAGGAGGAAGAGGACACGAGAGCAAAGAGAAACAUAGCUCUAAAGGCAGUUCAAGGUGAAGAUGAUCCAGUUCAAUUGAAUGACGAUGACUCGGAUGGUGAUGACAAUGAUCUUGCUCUCAUCACAAAAGGUUUCAAGAGAAUCUUGAAUAAAAAAAAGUUUAGAAGGGGAGGACCUAGCAAUCAAUUCCAGAAUCAGCCUUCAAACGCAAGGUAUAAAGGAAAACAAGAAUUCAACAAGAAACAAUUGGACAAAUGCUACGAAUGUGGACAGCCUGGACACUACGCAAACGAAUGCUCCCUAAAGAAAAAGAAAGAUGGAAAAGCUGAUCGAAAACCAAGGUUCAACAACUUCCAGAUUACAUGGAAUGAAUGUAACUCUGAAGGCAAAGUUGAAGAAGAAGAAGAAUCAGCUCAAAUGGCCUUCAUAGCUAUCGGGGAUAAUGAAGUAACUUCCAUUCACUCUCAAUCUGAAAGUGAAGAUAAAGAUGAUGAUGAUCUUGAAUCCUUUGUUAAAAAAUUACAUAAUGCCUUGAAGGAAUCUUAUGAUAAAAACAAGCAGCUAAAACAGAAAAUUAUUUUUCUCAUUCAAGAAAAUGCAAGAUUUUUUCACCAAAAUAAACAACUAAAGGCUGACAAUGAGUGCCUUGUAAGAGCCGGUUGUGAUGUUUAAAAUGAACUUGAUAGAAAGACAAAUGUUUGUGAAAUACUAAAGAAAAGAAAUUAUGAUUUGAAUAAAAGGAUGGACUAUUUGGAUGAGAUUUUAAAAGCUAGAAAGCAAGAUUAUCUCAAAAAGAACAUGUCAUCCACCUUUCUUACUGCUCAUGGAAGAACAUUUGCUCACAACAAAAAUGCACAUGGUUUCACAACAUAUAGAAGGAAUGGAUUGAGAUUUAUCAAACCAUUACAUGCUAAAGACUCUUCCAUCUUGUGUAGUUUUUGUUAUCAAAGAAGGCAUUUGAAAGGAGAUUGUUAUGUUAAAAGAAAUCUGAACAAAGGAGGGAAAUGCAUGUGGGUAGUUAGGCACAAUGCUAACUAUUGAGGACCCAAAAGUUAAAGGGUACCAAACACUCUCUCUUUUCAGAAAAAAGGCUCAAACACGUCAAAAUGGUUCAUUGAUAGUGGUUGUUCAAGGCAUAUGACUGGUGAUCCUUCGUUGUUCAUAAAGCUAAAAUCAAAAUCAAGUAGAAAGGUGACAUUUGGUGAUGACGUGAAAGCUAAGACAAUUGGAAUAGGUAAUGUUUGUAAGGAUGGUGAAACUUUUGUUCAUAAUGUGCUCUUAGUUGAUAACUUAGGUUAUAAUUUGUUUAGUGUUAGUCAAUUAUGUGAUAAAGACUUGUAUGUGUUGUUCAAAAAACAUGAAUGCAUUGUACUUGACUCUAAAUAUAAUAUUGUGUUCAAAGGUAAGAGGUUUAACGAUAUUUAUAUUGUUGUUCUUGAUAAACUUGAUUCGUCUAGUUUCAAAUGUCUUAAAGUUUCAAAUGAAGAUCCUUGGUUGUGGCAUAGGAGACUUUGUCAUUUUAACAUGGAUUUACUAAAGGAAAUUUCGAAAAAGGAGUUGGUUAGAGGCUUGCCAAAAAUCAGUUUUGAAAAGGACAAAAUUUGUUAUGCAUGUCAAUUUGGGAAGCAAACAAAAAUUUUCUUUAAACUAAAGAAGUGUGUAUCAACUUCUAAACCUUUGGAACUCUUGCAUCUUGAUUUAUUUGGUCCCACUCAAAUCACUAGCUUGGGAGGUAAGAAAUAUUGUUUUGUAAUUGUUGAUGAUUAUUCUAGAUAUACUUGGGUGAUAUUCCUUACUCAUAAAGAUGAUGCCUUCAAGAAUUUUACUUCAUUGUUUGCUAAAGUGCAAAAUCUGCUUGGUUUAAAAAUGGUUAGGAUUAGAAGUGAUAAUGGGACGGAAUUCAAGUUUUGUGAUUUUCUAAAAUUUUGUGAUCAUAAUGGUAUAACACAUGAGUUUUCUAUUGCAAGGACUCCACAGCAAAAUGGUGUUGUAGAAAGGAAAAACAGGACACUCCAAGAGGCUGCUAGAACUAUAUUGAAUGAAUGUAGUUUGCCAAAAUAUCUUUGGGUUGAAGCGGUAAACACCGCAUGUUAUGUAAUGAAUAGAAUCCUCUUGAGAGCUAUUUUGAAUAAAACAUCUUAUGAACUGAUUUUUGAUAAGAAACCUACGGUUGAAUAUUUCAAAGUUUUUGGUUGUAAAUGUUUUAUUUUGAAUUUAAAGGAACAUUUUGGUAAGUUUGAUAAAAAAAUCUGAUGAAGGAAUAUUUUUGGGGUAUUGUGAGAACAAAAGAGGAUAUAGAGUCUUUAAUAGAAGAACUCUUGUGAUAGAAGAAGCUAUUCACAUGACAUUUGAUGAAACUAAUGAUGAUAAUUCCAAAAGUUCGGGUGAGGAUGAUGAUAUAGGUAUUCGUGAAGGAAUGAAAAAGCUAACAAUUGGAGAUGAAGGAAACUCUAAACCAGCAACAAAGGAAAUGGAGGAUGGAGCACAUGAUGAUCAAGAAAAGGAAGAUGAAGACAAGAAUGAUGAUUCAUUCAAAGACCUUCCCAAUACUUGGAAAUUUAGCCAAAAUCAUCCAAGAGAUCUUGUAAUUGGUGAUCCAUCCGAAAAGGUAAAGGCUCGUUCCUCAUCUAAGAAAUUGAUAGAUAAUUUUGCUCUAGUCUCUCUUUUUGAACCCAAAAAUAUCAAUGAUACUUUAAAGGAUGAAAACUGAAUUUUGGCAAUGCAAUAGGAACUUAAUCAAUUUGAGAGAAAUAAAGUUUGGACACUUGUUGAUAGACCUCAAAAUCAACCUAUCAUUGGCACGAAGUGGAUAUUUAGAAAUAAGUUGGAUGAUAAAGGUGUAGUCGUAAGAAAUAAAGCCAGAUUAGUUGCUAAAGGAUAUGCACAAGAAGAAGGAAUUGAUUUUGAUGAAACAUUUGCUCCCGUAGCUAGAUUAGAAUCAAUUAGAAUGUUUCUUGCUUUUGCUUGUUUCAAUUGUUUCAAAUUGUUUCAAAUGGAUGUUAAAAGUGCCUUUUUAAAUGGUUUUAUUGAUCAAGAAGUAUAUGUGGAUCAACCCCCCGGUUUUAAAAAUACAAAAUUUCCAAGUCAUGUGUUUAAACUAUCAAAAGCAUUAUAUGGUUUAAAACAGGCUCCAAGAACUUGGUAUGAAAGAUUGAAAGGGUUCUUGAUUGAAAAUGGUUUCAAAAGAGGUAUUGUGGACACCACUCUUUUUACUAAACAUGUGUUAAAUGAUUUUCUUAUUGUGCAAAUAUAUGUUGAUGAUAUUAUUUUUGGUGCUACUAAUGAGUAUCUAUACAAGGAUUUUUUCACCAUUAUGCAAAGUGAAUUUGAAAUGAGUAUGAUGGGAGAAUUAAAUUUCUUCCUUGGACUUCAAAUACAUCAAACCCUAGAGGGAAUUUUUAUAAAUCAAGCAAAAUACACCAAGAAAUUGCUGAAAAGAUUUGGCAUGGAGGACUCAAAGCAAGUUGGAACUCCAAUGUGCACUUCUACAAAACUUGACAAAGAUGAAGAAGGUAAACUUGUGGAUGAAAAGCACUAUAAAGGUAUGAUUGGAAGCCUAUUCUAUUUAACCGCAAGUAGACCUGAUAUUAUGUUUGUUGUUUGCUUGUGUGCUAGAUUUCAAUCUUGUCCAAAAGAAUCACAUUUGAACGCAGUUAAAAGAAUUUUUAGGUAUUUGAAAGGUACACUAGACUAUGGUUUUUGGUAUGCUAGAUCUUGUGAAUUUGCUCUAUAUGGAUAUUCGGAUGCGGAUUUUGGUGGUUGUCAUGUGGACAGAAAAAAUACUAGUGAAACUUGUCACUUUCUUGGCAAUUGCUUAGUUUCUUGGUUUAGCAAAAAACAAAAUGUGAUCUCUUUGUCUACAACCGAAGCGAAAUAUAUUGCCGCUAGUGCAUGUUGUACUCAACUUUUAUGGAUGAAGCAUACCUUGAAUGAUUUUGGAUUGUUAUAUGACUGCAUGCUUAUAUUCUGUGAUAAUACUAGUGCUAUCAAUUUGACCAAAAAUCCAAUUCAGCAUUCUAGGACAAAAUAUAUAGAUAUAAAGCACCACUUUAUUCGCGAUCUUGUUCAAAAAGGUGAAGUUUGUGUGAAUUAUGUUUGCUCUAAAGAUCAAAUUGCUGAUAUUUUUACAAAAGCUUUGCCAUUGGAUCAAUUCAUUCAUCUAAGAUCAAAAUUAGGGAUAAUCGAAAAAUCAUCUUAAAAAUUUUUUUCUCUGUUCAAAGCUUUCGGACGUCCUAAAGCAGAUGAACGGGCGUCCGAUAAUGUUCUUCAGCUAUUUUCCUAGAAUGCACCUGUUCGGACGAAACUGUCGGACGCACGAUUUCAUUCGGCCGUCCGACAGUGCAACGGUACUCUUUUUAAAGUAACUUCCCCCCUCAUUUGCUUCAGACUCCUCUUCCUCUCUUCCUUCUCGGACGAAAAACUCUAUCUCCUUGUGCUCUCAAUUCAUGCUAUUAUGAAGCACUCAUUCCAAAAUUGACUCAACCAAAAUCUUUUCCUGAUCAUUGCGAGUUGAUUCUCCUGAUUUUUUCACCAAAUCUCAUCACAUUUCGAGAGUUCCCAAAUUUCCCUCAAAACCCUACUUUCUCAUAACCGCUCCGCUCAAUCAUCUUCAAGGCUUCUUUAACCCAAAAUUCUUGUGUGAUUCACUCCCAUACCACUGUGUGCAUCAUUCACAUCCCACAUCUCACACAUUUAAGACAAUGGUGAAUCUAAGAGGAGGAAAAGUCCCUGCCGGACGCAAGCACACACUCAGGGAUGAAGAUGUGGAUUCUCCUAGGGUCAUAAGAUCAUCCAAACGCUUCAAAAGGGGAGUAAUAAAGACUCAAACUUCCCGGCUUUCUGCUCAACCUGAAUCCAGACAAGGAACUCCAUCUCAACAGCCUUCCUAAUCAACCCCCGUCUCUCCAUUCUUUGAUGCUGCUGCCAAAGAAAAACAUUUCUUGAUAACCCAGAAAGGUUUCAUUCCUCAACGAGCCAUCACUCUUUCUGAAUUCCGCAAGAUUGGUUUAGAGUCAAUUUUUAAUCUCUUUGAAUUCCAGAAAUGGUCUCAUAUCAUUUCCAUGCCUAAUGUUUAUUACCCUGAAAUGCUGUAUCAAUUUUUGCCAAUCUUAGGAAAGGCACUGAUCACACUGAAAUUAUGUCCAGGGUAAAUGGGGUAGACUUAGUAUUUGAUCCUGAAACUGUGAAUGCCAUCUUAAAUACUACUAUUGAACGUGGAUGCAAAAGUAAAAUUGCCAAUUUCUUCUCUUAUGAAGAGUAUCCUACUGCUGAUAAUCACUUUGAUAAUGCUAAAAUGCUAACCUAUUUUCGAAACAAAUUUUCUGCCCCUGCUGAUGCGAAAUUAAAUGACCUUGCUCCUGUGAAUCUUAUUACUUUCUCAAUCAUUUCAAAUCUGCUUGUGCCUACUGACGGUCAUAGAACAGAUGCAAAUAAAAUGGAGUUGUAUCUGUUUUAUUGUUUUUGAGAAAAAAUUCGCAUUGACUUUGGCUUUGUCAUGUGCAAGUUUUUAUUUCGCUAUACCACUGAUUCUUGUAGAAAACUGUCCUAUGGAAAAUUCCUUCAGAAGGUUUUUGAAUUCUACAAAGCACCUAUCCUUGGUGUUUGUCCCAAAGAUACAUUUUCCUCUGCCUUCACUAAGGCUUAUUUUGAGCGCAAAAAUCUUGUCUUUAGGGAUAAUUUGUGGGCGUAUAAGGGGGCCACUUCUAAUGAACCUAGAUCUAAGGUUGCACAUGAUCUACUUCACACUCCAUCCUCUGUUGCACCAACCUUUAUUCAUCCUAGGAAGACUGCCACUAAGGCAUCUUCUUCUUCAAAUUCUGAGGUGGUUGAGCUCCUUCGAGACCUUAAGCAACAUGUUCUACUUCUUGAACAUGGUCUCAUGCUCACCAUGUCAUCCCAGUAGCAGGCUGACUUCCUAAAUAAAAAGAGUCUUCUUUUUUCCCCACCUGUGGUUGAGGAGGUCCCUCCUGGCAAGGAGCCACGCUCCAAUGAUCCAAGUUCAUCAGCCCCUGUUCGCUCAAUGAGUCCUGCUCCUAUCGACCUCACCUCUACUCCAGUGGCACCACAUGAUCCUUCCACAUCUGAUAAAGACAAGAAACCAGUUGAUGAAGUUGCUGAAGAUGAUGAAGACACUGAGGAGGAGGAUCUCUCUCAGUAUCAGCUUACUCGAAGGACGCCUGGAUCCUCUUAGCUUAUCAUCUAGGAUCACUAGUCCUAUUAGGAUCAUUUGCAUUCUGUUUGAUUGUUUUUAUUUGCUGAAUGUUAGAUAGUUGCCUCGAACUCUUUUGAAUUCUGGUGCUUGGUGUCAUUUGGUGCUCUUAAUGUCCAAAACUGGACAUAUGUUUGUAAUGUUUGUGAAUGAUUGAAUCUUUACAUUUUGUUUGUGAAUGGCUGGUAUCAGAGUAAGAUCAUUUUGCUCUGAAUGGUUGGAUAUAUUACAUUUUCAAUUUUGUGAUGACAAAAAGGGGGAGAGAUGGUGUAGAUAUGAAUAUGGAUAAUAUGGAUAAUAAGUAGCCAAGUGAGAGGGAGUUCUACGAUUGAGGGGGAGCUCUACGAUUGAGGGGGAGCAAAUUUUUGUUGUUGUUGUUGUUCUUCAAUUGAGUGAGAAAGGGGGAGCCUAUUUGAAGUCAUCAAAUUUCAUUUCAAACUUUUGUUUUGUCAUCAUCAAAAAGGGGGAGAAUGUUAUUCUUGAUUUUGAUGAUCAUAAAAGCACUUUGAAAUGUUUUUCUAAUUCUCUCCAAACAUAAAAGUUUUGCUUUUUAGAGAAUCAGGUACAAAGGAAUCAAGGAUAGAAAAUCAACUAAAAGAAGAAGCAAAAAUAGGGUACUCAUACCGGACGUCCAAAAGGAAUCUGUCGGACGUCCGAAAGGAUGAAGAACAUCAAGAAGAAACUCUGUCGGACGCUUGUAAGGAAGCAUCGGACGUCCAAAAGGAUCGGACGCAUGCUUCGGACGCACAUUGAUCUCAUCGGACGUCCUAAAAAUUCCACAAAGUGUUGAUGACUCUCUGUCGACGAUCGGACGCAGAUGCUGUCGGACGAUAAUAUCCCAUAGGACAUCCGAACGACAACUUGGCUGAUUUUCGGACGAUGGGAUCGGACGAUGAUUAAUCUUUCGGACGUCCGACGGGCCCAACGGCUAGCUGACUCUUCAUCUGCCUACUAUCCGUUCGAAGCAUUAUUGAAGCCAAUUUUUGGUCCCCUUUAAAUACAAACGUUUCUGAACCAGUGAGAGACUUUUGCACACUUUGUUUACAAGAUCUCAAGAGAUAUUUUAGUUAGAAAAUAGUCUCCCAAGCAAGAUUUGUUCUCCAAGUUGUGUGAAUUUCUUGUAAGCACUUCUCUUGUGUUUGAAAUUUUCAAUAGUGUAGCUUUGUUGAGGGUUAUCUGAGUGAUAGUAAAACUUCCUAACUUGACUAAGUGAGGCUUGGGGCAAGGAGGAAGUGAUCCCUCCAUUGUACAUUGAGUUGAUUUUGUUCUUCAAAGAGAAGGUGCUCAUCUUUGUGAUUGGUCUUCAAGUUUGAGAAAAUCUUGGUAGACAAUCGGUUUGAUACUCUAUCUUAUUCUUUUUGUUUAAUAAAAUUCUCAUUGCUUAUAUACUCUCUUAUUUCUAAUCAACAUUGUUCUCUUCUUUAAAUUUAUUUGGUUGAUCACUACUAGAAAAGAAGGUAAAUUUUUAUUAAAGAAAAAGUGCAUAAACUCAAUUAAGGUUUUAUAAUCAACCUAAUUCACCCCCCCUCUUAGGUUGUCUUUGGGUCUUACAUAUGCCACUUCAAUGCCUAAAAAAUACUUCAGCCUCCCUAGUUCUUUAAUUUCAAACUCCUUUGCUAAGCACUUUUUGAGUGUUUCUCUUUCAAUUGGAUCAUUCCCGGUGAUGAUGAUGUCAUCUACAUAUACAAGUAGAGCUGUAACACCUUCUUUUGAAUGUUUUAUGAACAAAGUAUGAUCUCCUUGAUUUUGUUUGUAUUGCAUUGCUAACAUCACUUUAGUAAAUCUUCCGAACCAAGCCCUUGACGAUUGUUUUAAUCCAUAUAAAGCUUUCUUUAACCUGCACACUUUCUUUUCAAAAAACAUUACAUUGAAAUCCGGUGGAGGUUCCAUGUACACGUCUUCUUCUAAAUCCCCAUGUAAGAAUGCAUUCUUCACAUCAAAUUGCUGUAAACACCAACCAAAGUUAGCGGCUAAAGACAAAAGAACACGCACAGUAUUCAUUUUUGCAACGGGUGCAAAGGUCUCUUGGUAAUCUAUCCCAUAUGUCUGUGUAUAUCUUUUUGCAACCAACCGUGCUUUAUGCCUUUCUAAUGAACCAUCAGCUCUAUAUUUCAAAGUAAACACCCAUUUACACCCCACUGUUUUCUUUCCUUUGGGCAGGUUUACAAUUUUUCAAGUCAUAUUUCUCUCUAGGACAUUCAUCUUCUCUUUUAUAGCAUGUAACCAGUUCUUAUUUCUAAGUGCCUCUUGUAGUGUUUGUGGGAUUGAAAUGGAGUUGAUGGUGGUAAGAAAAGUUUUAUGUUGUGGAGAGAGUCUAUGGAAAGACACGAAAUUUGAGAUUGGAUGCUUAGUACAUUCUCGUGUUCCUUUUCGAACAGCAAUAGGCAGGUCUAAAUCAUUAAAUUCACAAGGAGCAGAGUCAGAUUGAACACACAAAGGAACAGAAUUUUCAGUACCUGAUUGUGGUUCAGACUCUUGGAUUUGCACAGGUUCAAAAAUAUGAACUUUCUUCCUUGAGUAGACUUUGAGUGGUGUAGUUGAAUUUAAACCAGAUUUUCCCUCAGCUCCAAGAUCAGGUUCAAUUUCUUUACUGGCAUGUUCAACUUCAAAUUCAGGUUCAGGUUCACUGCUAGUAUGUUCUCCUUUAGAAUUUGGUGGAUGGUCAAGCUUGAAAGACUUUAAGUUUAGUGUAGGACUUUGAAGAUCAAGGAGAAAUUCCUUAUCUUCCCAAGAACUCUCCCCCUGGGGAUGAGGAUUGUUACUUUGAGAGUAAGGUUCAUUUUCAACAAAUGUGACAUCCAUGGAGAUAAAAAAAUUUUUUGAAGGAGAAUGAUAACACUUGUAUCCUUUCUUUGUGUUUGAGUAUCCCACAAAAAUACAUUUGAAAGCUCUUGGAUCAAGUUUCCCUCUUUGUUGUGCAUGAACAUGUACAAAAGCAACACAACCAAACACUUUUGGUGACAAUAUGCAAGAGACAUUAAAAUCAGGGUAAAAAACAGAAAAAGCAGCAAUGGGACUUUGAUUAUUUAGUACUUUUGAAGGUACUCUAUUUAUCAAAUGUGCAGUAGUUAAAACAGCCUCCACCCAAAAAGUUUUUGAAACUUUAUGUUGAAACAAAAUUGCUCGAGUCACAUUGAGUAAAUGUCUAUUUUUUCGUUCAGCAAUCGCAUUUUGUUGGGGUGUAUCUACACAAGAUGACUCAUGUAUUAUACCCUCUUUUUGGAAAAAAGAAGAGAGAAUUUGAUUAAAAUAGUCUCUUGCAUUAUCAGAUCUUACUCUUUUAAUCAAACUUCCAAAUUGUGUACAAAUCAUUUUAUGAAACAUUGAAAAAAUACUGCUUACUUCUAAUUUUUCUUUCAUAAGAAAUAACCAAGUAGUUCUAGUACAAUCAGCAAUGAAUGUGACAAACCAUUUUGCUCCAGAAAUACUAGAAAUUCUACAAGGCCCCCAAAUAUCAGUAUGUAUCAAAGAGAAAAGUCUAGUAGAUCUUGUAUUACUCAAUGGAAAUGAUAGUCUAUGAUGUUUAGCAAUUUCACAUGUAUCACAAUGAAAACUACUAACAUCUUCAUUCUUGAAAAGUGAAGGAAACAUGCUUUUAAGUAGAAUAAAAGAUGGAUGACCAAGACGGAAAUGAUGAAGCCAGAUUUCAGAUUUAUUAUUUGAGGAGCAGGUGAGGGAUAACUGAUUUUUGUUCUUCUUGUUGCCACUCAUCUCCUCAAGGUAAUAAAGCCCGUUAUUCACCUUAGCAAGUCCAAUCGUCCUCCCCGUAACCAAAUCCUGAAAAACACAGUGAGUAGAAUAGAAAAUUACCCUACAGUUCAAACCUUUGGUAAUUUGAUGGAUGGAUAUGAGAUUGGAGGACAAUUUUGGGACAUGCAACACAUUAUUUAGGGAUAAAGAAUUUGAUAGAUUUACUGUCCCUUGGCCUACAACAGUUAUAGGAGAUCCAUCCGCAACAGUAUUUUUUCUAUUUCCAGGACAUGGGUUGUAUGUUCUAAAUCUGAUUGGACUGUGAGUCAUAUGGUCAGUAGCUCCUGAGUCGAUGACCCAAGAGUCUAGAGAAGACAUGCUUGAGGCACUUAAAGCAUAAGAGUUAAGGUACUUACCUGAUUGAGCCAAUGAACACGUACUAGAGAACUUUUCAAGGGAAUUUAUGAGGUUUCUUAGCUUUUCGAUUUCUUCUUUCUUGAAUUCUCCCAUACCAGCCUGGUUGGAUUUUUCUUGUGUUUGGUCUUCUCCAGCAGUUAAGUGGGCUUUUUCCCCUUUGAAUCCUCCUUUAUGACUAAAGGACUUGUUCCUUCCCAUGGAGUUUGAAGCAAUCAUCUCGCAUAUGACGUGAUUUUUUGCAGUACGUGCACCAAAUUGUGUCUUUAUUUCACUUUGUAGAAAUCAUUGCCGAGCCUUCUAAUGUUUUAGGCUCUAACAUGACUUCUUGCCUAUUCUCUUCAGUUCGAAUCAAUGAUAUUGUCUCAUUCAGAGAUGAUAAUCUUUCCUUCCCCAAUAUCUGGACUCUGACCUGAUCAAAUUCCACAUUCAGACCUGCAAGGAAGUCAUAAACUCUAUCCUUUUCGAUAAAGUUUUUCAAGGUGGCUGCAUCUUCACUACACAAUAUCUGAACACACCGAUAUUGGUCCAAUUUUUGCCAUAGAUUUUGCAGAAGGUUGGCAUAUUGAGUAACAGAAAGGUUGCCCUGUUUAGUGGCUAAGAUUUUUGUUUUGAUCUCAUAGAUUAGGGCAGCAUCUCUUGCCUUUGAAUAGGUCUGUCGAAUAGUAGUCCAUAUGUCUUGAGCUGUUGGUAGGAACAUGCAAGUAUCACUUAUUUCAGGUAACAUGGAGUUCCACAGCCAUGACAUGACCAUAGAAUCCUCUUCAUCCCAAGCAGCGAAUUUAGGAUCUCCCUUUUUCGGUCCAGUUCCAAGCAAGUGGCUGAUUUUGCCCUUUCCUUUGAGAAAUGUUUGAACAAAUUGUGACCACUUCAAAUUGUUUUUCCUGUUGAGCCUGUAGGUUGCCUGGAUACUCUGCAAAUCCCCUGUUUGUGGAAUAUUUGAGGUCUCUUCUGAUUUGGUAUUGGAGUGGAUUUCUGAUGUUUCAGUUUCAGACAUGUUGGAGGUUUCAAAGAAAAAUUGGCAAUGAAAGCCUAAUGAAAAAAAUCAGCAAUGAAGGCUGGAAAUUGCACUUGGCAAUAAAGACUUGAAGAGAGGAAAGCACUCAGCAAUGAAGGCUGACAAGAAGAGGUCCCAAGAGCAAAAGCUCUGAUACCAUGAACAAAAAGAAAAACUGCAUUGUUCUGUCAUAUCUUUUGUUCUAGACUCUGUACAACUUUAUACAAAUGGAAUUUGACUUUUGUAAAUUCCAUGAAAUCUGUAAUUUCCUAAAAAUUAGGAGCUAAUUUAUUCUAUCCUAAAAUACAUUAGGAGUAAAUUAUUCUAUCCUAAAAUAGAGCAGAAAUCAUGGGAUAUACAUAGAAAAAGAUAUUCUAGAUUUUCAACAACUUCCAUUGUGCUUGACAGUUCGUUUCACUGCAAUCUCGAAGCUAUAGCAUCAAAUCCAAACCAAAGGAUUGAGAAACUAGAAGAAUUGUUUUGACAAAUUUGAAUAACUUAAUUAAUGAAUUCAGUCAACAGAUAAUAUUAAUACUGUAGUACUAUAUCUAACCUAAAUUGCAGAAUCCCAACCUCCGUUGACUCUCUUCUGCAUCAACCAGCACAGAAUAGAGGUGAACAGUUCACCAUUUUAACAUGUGAUAAAGAAAUCAACUCUGUCCUUCCCCACUCAUUGUCAAGAUAACAUCCAAAUCUCAUUGCAUUUUCACUCCAUGGCUGUCUGGAUCACUCGCAAUGACAUGAGAGCACCAAUUCUUUUAAAUUCAGGGGGAAAGUUAAAACCAAACUCACGUACACAAAACUGAACCAAUUUGAGUGAUUCCAAUUGACUCAGAAAAUCCCGCUUGAUAAUUUUAUUGCAAAUCCUCCUGAUCAUGUUCCAAAAGCGUUCCACGGUAUCUCCUCCAGCAAUUUCUCACAUACAGAUCAAAAGUCUUUAUAAGUCCUACCCACAUCACCACUUGUACCAUCCUUGUCUACUGUCGCUCUUUAACAUCCCUAUUUAAUUCCUUAAUCUAGCAUCAUCUGCAAGUCAUCAUUUAACAGGUUGAAGCCAACCUGAAUGGUUGCUAAAGACUAGCAGAAUGCUAUUGCACUCCGCUCUUAAAUUUUUCUUCAGACAAGCAUGCUAUAUGUGCACUUACCCUGAGGAAAUUUUUGGGCUUGAGCACGAGGACUAUCUGGAGUUUAUAAUUUGUAUCUUACCUUCAUCGAUCUUCAGACACCAGAGUGUUAUUAAUUGGUGCAGGUAUUAUGUAUUAAUUAUACGAGCUUUUGACCUUUUUUGUGAGUUUUUAAAACGAAAGAUGCUGUAGUUAGUUCUUCUAAGUGUGUUACUUUGAGUUCUGGAUUGGCAACUAUCUCAAUAUCAAAUGAAUCUUAGAAGCAUAAUCAUAUGGUAGCUAGACACUACCAACUGUAAGCCUAUAAUGUUGCAGACAUUUGGUUUGAACUGUUCUCAGUUGACUGACUAUAUUAUUAUGAACUGAUGUUGUACAUUGAGGAGAUGAGUCCAUUAUCUUGAGUAAUCUAAUAAAUUUUGAUACAUAAAUGUCAAAAAAUAUGGAUGCAUUUUUAGCUGAGGGCCUGAAGGCUUUGUAACUUACAAUAAUGACAAAUUCAAAAUAAACAUCUACCACCGUCUUUCUUCCAAAUUAGUAGCAGUUCUCCAUUCUCUGUUUUUUUUUUGGGGGGGGUAAAGAUUUGGUAGUGCCGUAAGGCUGCAAUUUUGAUGAGGCAAUUCAAAAUGUGAAGUAUUUUCCAGAGCCAUUACAAUAGGAUAUCAAAUCCGUAACUUAAAAAAAAAAAAAGAUUACUGCAGUGUAAAUAUUGAACUAAUCUAAGAUCCAUGAAGCACCAUAAAUGAACAAAAUGAAACUUCAAUCAAUUUAUCAGAGAUGUCAAAGUAAAAGGUAGACUAGCCAGAAGUAAAUGGGCAUCAGAGGUUGAAAUGAGAAAGAGACAUUUUUCAUGAUUGAUGGCUAGCAUUACAAUUUCCUUCAAUCAAAACAGGAUUUUUCUUAAGACAUAGUAUGAAUAGAAAGUUCAACCAUUUCGUAGAACAUAUGCAAAAUGAACAAAUCACGGCUAAAAUCUCACAUUUUCAUUGUUCUGGAUUGCUUGACAUCAUUGCACUAGUAAUCUCUGUUAUUGGCCAUAUUGGUUGCCUAACUUUGGUGGGCAUGGGUAUAGAGAAAAGAAGGUAGAGUUGAAAAAGAAGGGAAAAUGGAAAACAUUAUUGUUCGGCUCAAGUUUGGGUAGCUUUAGUAAUUAGGCAACGCUAGUUCAUCAAAAUGAACCGACCUUAUGAAUUUUUGUGGAGAAUUUUGGUUUAGUUAUGGAGACUGGGGAGAAAGAUGUAAAGAAAAAGAGUGAGGGAAAAAAGUGGGGAGGUGGACAAUGUAUAAAGUUUCCAACAGACUGUAAAUUGUAUAUUAUCAUUGUAAAGUAUUUUGAACAAAUUGUAAAUAAUGAGCAUUAUCUUGUGAAUGUUGUUUUUAUCAGUAUUAUGCGAAAUUAUAUUCAUGUAACGAACAAAAACAGACACAAAUACCAUAAACAAGAACUAGAAUUUUAUCCUUCUUAUACUUCUCAAAUCUCCAUCAUGUAUUCCAAGUUAAAGACUGAGGGGUACACACUAUCCAAUUCAAUUCAGUAUAUACAGUUUUCCUUUUGAGAAAAAAAAACUUGCAAUUCAAAUAUUUUUCACUUGAUUACAAAUUUACAACAAUCAUUUCCACUUGAUUAACGGCAAAUGAAAUUUUUAUUGCUAUUCUUGCAAGACUUGUUCCCCUUCCUGAUGCAAUUAUUGAAGUAGGUUUCAUCAGGGAAUAACAAUGGCUACUAGUGACAACUUUUUAAGAUGAUAAUCAAGCUAGUGAGGUAUGGUCCUAGAAUCAAGGGAUUACCUGUCAAGAGCAAUAUCAAAAACAGGAAGGGCAUGAAGGUUAAGUAGCUCAUGCAAAGCCUCCAGUGGGUGAUAAAAUACUAGAUGAUCCGUCCGCUGGAAAUAUUCAAUUGAAGAACCUUGGUAGCAUCAUAAAUACUUCGCUGGUUAAGGCAUUUGUGGCAAGCCAAGAGUGAAUGAAGACUGUCAAGUCAUUCAUGCAUUCUGCACUACUUUGUGGUUUUAUUUUGGCUGUCCUUCUGUACAUGUAGAACUCUGCUCCAUUAGGUAAUUGAAUUAAGGGCAAAUUACACUUUACUCCCUAUGAUUUAGUAUUUUCGUAUAUAACUCCCUAUGAUUUCAAAAACUACACAUAACCCCCUCAUGGUUUGGAUUAAAGUGUCAAAAUGACGGAAAUGAUCAUUCGUAACGGAACUUAUUAAAAUGUCGAAACUACCAUUGUUUAAAAAUAAAAAUGGCUGAAGUGAUCAAAAUAUAUAAACAUAAUAUAUAUGACACACUAAUCAUAUAUGAUUUUAUAUUUUACCAUAUAACAUCCUUAUGAUUUUGAAAAUAUACACAUAACCCCCCUAUGGUUAAUAAGUAAUUUUCAACUUUACAAAAGGGUAUUCUUUACAUUUUAGUUGACUCCAUUAUAGAUUACAAAUUCCUUCACUGUGAUACUUUAAUCCAAAGUACAAGAGGGUUAUAUAUAACUUUUGAAAUUAUAGAGGGGUUAUGUAUAAAAACACUAAACUACAGGGGGUAAAGUGUAAUUUACCCUUGAAUUAAUCAAACAAACUAGUAGAAGAAAACAACAGAGAAUUGGAGCACAUAAACCUGACAACUGCAGGCAAACAACUUUUAAUAUAGUUCCAAUAUCUGUUUAAACGUCAGAUGCUCAUUCUUGGAGGACUGGCAAAAAAAAUUUAAGUUUUAUGUAUAUGUUGUUUUUGAGCUUUAUGAGGAAAUGGAACAACAGUGACAGGUUGUCGGCCUGUGCAAUAAUAAAACCUGCUCAAACUAAAAGUAAUUUCUGUAGAUAACGGUGAGCAGGGUCGAAUCCACAGGGAUUGGGAGUAAUUGUUUCUUUUCAAAUUCACAGUGACAAGGGGGUGUUUUUAUAUCAGGGGUGACAAUUUAAGCAAUUCAACUAAAAGUAAAAUAAUAAAAAUAAAAUAGCCAACUAGAAAUUAAAUAACAAUUUACUAAAAUCAAAUGAGUGAUAAUUAAGGAUCUAGCCAAGGAAUAACUUCAGCAACGGUUCACCUAAUUGAUCAUUGAAACAAAGGCAAUUCCAAUUAUUUACUAAUAAAUAGGUUAUAACUGUCAAACAAGUGAUGACAGUCAAUCCCUCCUUACUGUGUCGGUGAUUAAGGUACGCCCGUUAAUCACUACUCUAAUUGAGAAAUAAUCCUAAGUACGCCCGCAAGAUUUAAUUCCCCAAUUACCUUACGUAUUAGAGGAGCCCUAUUCAAACCAAAUAACACACUACCAGGGUUAGAUUAACCCGCGUAUUCUCCUGACACAAACCCAAUCAUGCCAGUUAUCACUAUUUUGAGACAAUUAAACAAUUACGGAUUUAACGUCCCAAUUGACAAUAGAUUAUCAAAUUAACUAAUUAUCCAGAUCCAAGACAAUCAAUUAAUUAAAUAACCAUAAGUACUGCAAUCAAAGAAUAUACAAAUACCAAUAAAUAAAAAAAAGAUAAAAUUAAAUCGAUCUCACAAUCUUUAGGCGAAUCAAAACUUUCGUUGUUCCUUGACUAGACAAAGGGAUUUAAGUCAUCCCUUGUCUACUCCUACCGAAAAGAAAAGAAAAGCAACUAAAGAUGAAAGGAAAAGUCAAAGGCUAAGCUCUCCCCCCCUGACAUGCGUCGGAAGCAAAAACUCUAAGAAGAAGCCAAAAGGGCAAAGUUCCAAAAGCUAAAGGAGUCCUAAUCCUUUGCAACUCCCUAUCCUAUCAAAAGUCCUACUCUACUUUUUUAUUGUGCGGUGGCUUCAAUGCCUCCCGAAGACUUCGGCAUUUUCGGUUCUUUUUCCUUUCUUGCUGUCUUCAGCCAAAUUACCAAAAUGGGCUCACAUCUCCUCGUUUCAAAAAUGUCCCUGAAUGCCUUCUAUUUGAAUUCAUUUCCGAUGACUGCCAAAUUGGCCUUAGUUGUGGUAUUUUCGUUCUACUCCCUGAAAUAAAUGUAAAUUACGAAAAGUGAGUAGAAUCUAAUAAUUAAGUCACAUCGGGUUAGGUAAUAGAGGAAAUUAAUAAUAAAAUAAAUGAUAAAUUGCAACCUAUCAAUUCCCCCCACACCUAAACCAUACUUGUCCUCAUGCAUAAGAACAGUAAACAAACACUAAUAUUUGACAAUGGCUAUUGCUCUAUCUACCAUAUUACCAAGAUAUCAAGAAAAAUAUAUAUCAAGCAUCAGUGAUCAAAAUCCAAAAAACAUCACCCCGGUUAACUUUUGAACUACAAACUCUUUCAAUUCCAAGUUUACUAAUCUAAGAAGAAGGAAUGAUCGCUCAACAUUUAUCAGCAAAUGGUUCAACUAUUCACCAAAAUCUCAACAUUAAAUCCAUAAAUCGGCAAACUGACUUUUAUCACACACUAACACAACUUUCACUUCUUUUUUUUCGUUAUUUAUUUAUUUAUUUAUUAUUAUUUUUUUCAAUAGCACAAAAGAUUUAGCCUCUAGCCAUCGAAGCCUUUUGACGCGAACUCCAACAUUUGCCAGAUGAAGGAGCCCGGUUACUUAGCUCCUAUCGCUAUACGACCAUGUACUAAUAGAAAUUACUACAUUUUGACGCGAGAAUCGACACUGUAGGUGAAGAUCCCCGGUUACUCAGUAGUACCAAAUAGCAGAGUACAGUCAAUUUUAUUUCAUAAUCAGAUAACACAAUAUCUCACAAUAUCACAAAGAAAAAGCAGCUAGCCUCAUUUUUCCCAAACAUGGAGAACUAAAGUUAAUCACUGGACCAGUUCACAUGAAAAUGCUAACAAUCAUUUCCAAUGCCUAGGAAAGUUAACAAAAACUUAUAAGAGUAAAACAAUCACCGACAUUCACUAAAGAGGUGUUUUUGGAUUCAAUCACAUUAACUUGAUGCACUUUUAUUAUUAAAACUUGGCAAUAGUAGAAUUAGAGUGAACAAACCAACAUCUAAAUUGACAUCACCAGGUAGGAGCCUUAUAAAUAAAAAUCUGCUCGACUAAAGUUAACUUUUAUAAAUAGUGGUAAGUAGAGUCGAAUCCACAGGGAUUGGGUGUAACUGUGUCUUUUCAAAUUCACAAUAACAAAGGGGGUGUUUUUGUGCAGAAGGUGACAAUCGAAAAAAUUCAAACAAGAAUAAAAAUAAAUAGCUAGUUAGAAAUUAAAUGACAAUUUACUAAAGUCAAAUGAAUGAUAACUAAUGAUCUAGCCAAGAAAUAACUUCAGCAAUGGUUCACCUAAUUGAUCAUCGAUGCAAAGUCAAUUCCAAUUAUUUACUAAUAAAUAAGUUAUAACUGUCAAACAAGCGAUGAUAGUUAACCCCUCCUUACUGUGUCGGUGAUUAAGGUACACCUGUUAAUUACUGAUCUAAUUGAGAAAUAAUCCUAAGUACGCCCGUAAGAUUUAAUUCCCCAAUUGCUUUACGUAUUAGAAGAGCCAUAUUUUAACCAAAUAACACACUACCAGGGUUAUUUUAGAUUAGUCCGCGUAUCCCCCUGACACAAAUCUAAUCGUGCCAGUUGUCACUAAUUCAAGGCAAUUAAACAAUUAUGGAUUUAAUGCCCUAAUUGACAAUAGAUUACCAAAUCAAUUAAUUAUCUAGAUCUAAGACAAUCAAUUAAUUAAAUAAUCAUAAAUACUGCAAUCAAGGGAUAUGCGAAUACCAAUAAAUAAAAGAAAAAGAUAAAAUUAAACCGAUCUCACAAGUUUUAGGCGAACCAGAACCUCCGUUGUCCCUUGACUAGAGUGGAUAAAUUAGUUCAUAUUUAAUGUGAAAAACCCACACACAAUUGAAGAGAAAGCAGCGGCCAUCAUACUGUGAAACUUGGAAAAUUCAACCCGUCCGAAUAUUGAAUAGAUAGUAAAGCUACAAAAGGUGAUUGAUAGUUUUUCCUUCGUCUGACACACAAGAAGGAAAAGAUGCUACUUAAGACUCUAAGGGAAGAAAAGUCAAAGUUCUAAGCUACACUCUCAUACAAAAAACUAAGGAAAAAGCCAGGUAGUGGCUCCCCCUCAAUUCCUAUUCUAUCUAAUUACUCACUAAAAACUCCCCUCCCUAGCCGCGGCUCCCACCAGGAAGAAGAGGACCUUCAGCCGUCUUUCCUUCUCAAAAUUUACCAGAAUGGGCGUAACACCUUCUUUUUCAAAAAUGCCCCUGAGAUAAGCUCUAUCAUCUACACUCCUUUUUUUGCCAAAUUAGCACCUGUUAUCAUAUUUUCAUUCUACUUCCUGAAAUAAAUGUAAAAUACUAAAAGUGAGUAGAAUCCAGCAAUUAAUCCAUAUGGGAUCAGGUAAUAGGGAAAAUUAAUAAUAAAAUAAAUGAUAAAAUCGCACCCUAUCAAUUCCCCCCAAUUAUAUGCUAAAUUUGGUAAUAGAAGUGCAGAAAAUUAGCAAUAGCAACACAGUCACAAGGUCAAGGCAGUUGAUCAAAUAUCCAACCAACAAGAGUUAACAAAUUCAGGGAAAAACACUCCAGCUAGUACCACUGGAGGAAAAUGGAAUGCACAAUUCAACUAACCGAAAUUGUAGCAACAGUCCCAGGAAAUAACAAUUCAAGCAAUAAUAACCCUCAAAUCUGACAGUAGCAGAGUAAUUCUAAGUACCCAGCCUCCAACAGUCAACCAAUAGAGUAGAAUUAACCCAGUAAAGUUAAAAUUCCCAAACAGUGGAUGAAACAAGUUUAACGGCCAACCCACACUAGUGAGAACCCCAUAUAACGUAACUCAAUUCAGACAAGUAGUAAUGUAGCCACAGGAUUCACAGGCGAAGCUAAUAAGGAACCCAGCAACAAAUGGUCCAAUUAAAUAGGCGAGUAUGAAGAAACAGGGGGGUACCUCCACCGUUGUGUGGAAAAGGAGGCCGUGGGUGAAGGGAAGAUGGCAGGCAGCAGCGCGGCAAUGGAGACGGCGCGUGGGCUGUCGAUUGCGAUGGAGGGUGAGAGGAGUUCGGAGUGGCGGGGAUCAUGAGAGGUGGACUGCGGUGACGCGCGGAGCUGCGGGCGGCGCAGUCGCAACCGUGGGGAGACGCGACCGCGCGAGGUGAGCGUUGGCUACUGGUGGCGCGGGAGCUCAGGAGGAGCUGCGUGCGAUAGAAAAGGAGCCGCAGCGCUCGGCUGUUGGCUGCGCGCUCGAUGGGUUGAUGGAGGAGAGAAGAGCGCGGUGGCUUGGCGAUGGAGAGAAGGGUUGUAGCUCCGUCGGUGGCUUGCGAUGGAGCUAUGGUGGCCGCUAGGAGCUUGGGAGCCACGGCUACGCGUGUCAUCGUGCAACGUUGUUCACGGGUGACAGUCGCAUGGGGUAGGUCGCGACUGGUGGUGGCCGCUUGAGAGAGAGCUGGUGAGCGAGAUGCGGCAAGGGAAGGGCGGCGGUGUGCGAUGCAAAGAGCCUCGGUCGAACAGGAGGAAGAAGCAACGGGGAAGAAAGAAAGAAAGGAAAAGAAAAUAUGUUGUUUUUUUUUUGUGUUGUGGUUUCUUUUGUAUUUCAAUUUUUUCGAUUUUUUUCUUUUCUUUUUUUUUUUAAUUUUAUUAUUUAUUAUUUAUUUUAUUUUUUAAAUUUAUUUUUCUUUUUAAAUUUUUUUAAGUUAAAUCUCUUUUUUUUUUACAAAUAAUAAUUUUUCCUUUUUUUUAUCUGAAUAUUAUUAUUAUUACAUAACUUAUUUUCAAAAUUAAAAAUUAGAGACUAACAGAAAAUCAAUAAUAGUUCUUGAGUUCUUUUGAAUACUUACCUUUCCCGCGCACAUGACGUGGGCACGUCAAGAAAGCACAGAAUGAGAAGCUCUGCAGGUUACUUGACGCGGGCACGUCAUGAGGACAAGAGAGUUCUCUGACCAUGAGCUCUCCAUGGGACUUGACGCAGGCACGUCAAGAGGACAAGAAAGCUCUCUGACCAUGAGCUCUUCAUGGGACUUGACGCGGGCACGUCAAGAGGAUCGAAACCCUUUUUACUAAGCAUCAGGAAAUUGCAAUGUGCCACGCGCCCAGUUGACACGGGUGCGUCAUGUCAGAGGGAUGCCUAUGAAUCAUCAAAAAUGAAAAUUAAACCAAAAAAUCAGUCAAAUCCAAGGAAAAAUAUAUUUAAAAUAUCAAACAAAAUCGAAAAAAUAACUAAGAAAAAUUGGGUUGCCUCCUAAUGAUCGUCUUUCUUUAAUGUCUUUGGCUAGACAUGGUAAGGUGGCAUUAAUUGGCACACGGCGGUGCAUCUAGACUUAUCGUCUCUACUUUUCUACUUGAAAAACCUUCGUGAUAAUACUUGAGACGAUGUCCAUUCACCACAAACUUAUUGUUGGUUUUAGCAUUCUGAAUUUCAAUUGUACCAUAUGGAAAGACGUGAGUAAUAAUAAAAGGUUCAAUCCAACGGGAACGUAGCUUACCUGGGAAGAAUUUGAGUCUGGAUUGGUACAGGAGAACUUUCUGACUAAGUUCAAAGGUUUUUUCUAGAGAUUUGCUGGUCAUGAAAUGCUCGGCUCCUCUCCUUGUAAAUCAAUGCAUUCUCGUACGUUUCGUUCCGGAUCUCCUCCAAUUCCUGCAAAUCCAAUUUCCGUUGGGUACCAGCCUCCUCUAGGUUCAUAUUACAUUGUUUAAUCGCCCAAAAAGCUUUGUGCUCGAACUCCACUGAUAGGUGACACGGCUUUCCAAAUACCAAUCUAUAGGGUGACAUCCCUAUGGGGGUUUUGUACGCCGUUCGAUAGGUCCAAAGUGCAUCUUCCAACCUUUGACUGCAAUCUUUCCUAUCGGGGCGCACCAUUUUCUCCAAAAUAGAUUUAAUUUCUCGAUUCGAUACCUCCGCUUGACCAUUGGUCAGCGGGUGGUACGAUGUUGAGAUCCUGUGGAAUACACCGUACUUGCGAAACAGCGCGGCUAUGGUUUUGUUGCAGAAAUACGUCCCCCUGUCACUAACAAUAACUCUCGGCAUUCCACAACCCACAAAAAUAUUAGACUUGAUAAAAUCUGCAACCACUUUCGAAUCAUUAGUCCGGGUAACCUUAACCUCCACCCAUUUAGACACAUAAUCAACUGCCAGCAAUAUAUGUAUAAAAUAAAAUGAAGUAGGAAAAGGCUCCAUGAAAUCUAUAUCUCAGACAUCAAAAAUUUCGACAAAAAUCAACGGGACUUGGGGCAUCUGAUCUCUACGAGCUACAUUACCUACCCUUUGACAGCGAUCACACGACUUACAAAACACAUAAGCAUCCUUAAACAAUGAAGGCCAAUAAAAUCCACUUUCCAAUACCUUAUGAGCAGUUUUCUUGGGUCCAAAAUGACCUCCACAGGCAAAAGUAUGACAAAAAGUUAGAAUUAGUUGAAAUUAAGCUUCACUUACACAUCGCCUCAUCACUUGAUCAGCACACCUCUUCCACAAAUAUGGGUCAUUUUAGAUAAAGUACUUGGCAUCGCUCUUCAAUUUAUCCCUCUUCGAUUUUGGCAAACUUGCAGGAAAAUUACUUGUUACUAGACAAUUGACUAAAUCGACAUACCAAGGCAAUUGAGAAUUUAGAGAAAAUAAAUGGUCUUCAGAGAAUGCAUCCUCCAACGGCUCGUUCUCCUUUCCAACAGGUAUACGACUCAAAUAGUCGGCUACUAAAUUCUCCGAGCCUCUCUUAUCUCUUAUCUCCAGAUCAAAUUCUUGCAGAAACAAGAUCCACCUUAUGAGCCUCGACUUUGCAUCUUUCUUGGUUAUUAGGUACCUUAGAGCUGCAUGAUCAGGAAAUACAAUAACUUUAGCACCCAAUAAAUAUGACCUAAACUUUUCCAAGGCGAAAAUAACAGCAAGAAGCUUCUUCUCAGUGGUGGAGUAAUUCAAUUGGGCCCCAUUUAAAACUCGAGAUGCAUAGUAAAUGACGUGAGCUGUCUUUCCUACUCUUUGCCCGAAUACAGCUCCUACAGCAUGAUCACUGGCAUCGCAUAUGAUCUCAAAUGACAAACUUCAGUCAGGAGGUUGAAUGAUCGGUGGCGAGGUCAAUAGCUCCUUUAACUUGUCGAAGGCUCUCUCACACUUGUCAUCGAAUUCAAAAGCCACAUCUUUUUGUAAAAGCUGGAAUAACGGGGCUCCCAUUUUCAAAAAAUCCUUGAUGAACCUUUGAUAAAAACCUGCAUGUCCAAGAAAAGAGCGCACCUCCCGCACACUAGCGAGGUAAGGUAAAGCAGAUAUAAUAUCUAUUUUCGCCCUGUCAACCUCGAUACCUUUAGAAGACACAAUAUGACCCAGAACUAUCCCAUGUUCAACCAUAAAAUGACAUUUCUCCCAAUUAAGCACGAGAUUAGUCUCUAUACAUCUCAACAAGAUCAAUCUCAGGUUAUCUAGACAUGUAUCAAAACUAUCACCAUACACACUGAAAUCGUCCAUGAAAACCUCAAUUAUUUUCUCAACAUAUUCAGAAAAAAUGCUUACCAUACAUCUCUGGAAAGUUGCAGGUGCAUUGUACAACCUGAAUGGCAUCCGUCUAUAUGCAAAGGUCCUGAACGGGCACGUGAAAGUCAUCUUCUCUUGACUCUUUGGUGCAAUUGCUAUUUGAAAAUACCCUGAAAAUCCAUCCAAAAAGCAAUAGUAAGUCCUAUAAGCUAAACGUUCAACCAUUUGGUCAAUGAAAGGGAGAGGAAAAUGGUCAUUUUUUGUGAUAGCGUUUAGCCUACGGUAGUCAAUACACUGCCUCCAUCCAGUGGGUUUGCGCACUGGUACGAGCUCACCCGUUUGGUUAGCCUCCACUGUCAUUCCUGCCUUUUUUGGAACUAUCUGGACCAGCCUCACCCAUGGGCUAUCCGAUAUCACGAAAAUGAUUCCCACAUCGAGCAACUUCAGAAUUUCUUUCUUCACCACUUCCAUCAUGAGGGGGUUAAACCUCCUUUGGCCUUGCCGUAUAGGUUUGGCAUUCUCUUUCAACCUAAUCCGGUGUAUGCAGAUGGAGGGGCUGAUCCCCUUGAUAUCGGUGAUAGUCCACCCUAUCGCCUCUUUAUACUCUUUAAGGACCCGAAUUAGUUUCUUCUCUUGGGUCUCCGAGAGUGCAGUUGAUAUAAUCACCGGGAGUGUUUCGUUGUCGCCCAGAUACGCAUAUUUCAAGUGCUUCAGCAAAGAUUUCAACUCCAACACAGGGGCCUGCACCACAGAUGGCAGUCCCCUCUAGUGAGGUUCGGGAAUGAAAAUUGGAGAGACUUCAUACAUUUUUGUUGUGGUUGGCAAUGAGUGUAGUGCCCCUAUUGUGCAUUUCAAGUCUUCACUCCACUCUACCUCAGGAGUUGUCUCCAACUCAAGGUGCUUGAUUAAAGCUAUUUCCAACUCAUCCUUACCAACAGUUUCAAACACUUCCUGCACCGCAGGGUCAAUAGCACUUACAGAAAAAACAGAGCUAAAGUUAGAGUUUGAUGGGUAUUUCAUCGUAUCAAAAAUACUAAAAUGCACAAUUUUUCCAUCAAAUUCCAUGAAUAGGGUGCCCUUAUUAACAUCAAUUUUUGUCUGCACUGUACUCAAGAAGGGUCUACCUAAUAGUAAAGGUGAGGGAUCGGGGGAGUGAUCAUCAUUCAUAUCAAGUACAUAAAAGUCAGUUGGGAAUACCAAAUCAUUAAUUUUUACCAAUAUAUCUUCAACUAACCCAUCAAGAUAUGCAUUUGUUCGGUCAGCUAAUUGAAUGAUUAUUCCAGUUUCUUUUAAUGGACCUAGUUUUAGAGAAGCAUAGAUAGAUUUGGGUAUGACAUUAAUUGAUGCUCCCAGAUUCAACAUGGCCUUCCUAAUCAAAGUGUUGCCUAUCUUACAUGGGAUAGUAAACAUACCUGGGUCUCCAUACUUUGGUGGGAGUUUUUUCUGCAAGACCACGGGCACGUUCUCCCCCACAAUGACCCUUUCAUCCCCCCUCAACCGCCUUCGGUUGACACACAAGUCCCUUAGAAACUUGGCAUAUUUCGGCACUUGUUUGAUUGCGUCUAAGAGGGGGAUAUUAAUCUCUACCUUGCAGAACACCUCUAGAAUUUCCUUCUCCUUAUCUUACUUUUUCGAUUUUUCCAACCUGGUAGGAAAGGGAGGCGGGUUAGUUUUUACUACAAUGAUUGGGUCUGGAAGUACCUCUGGAUUUGUACUAUUGUUGUCCUCCCUCUCAAACUCAUUUUCGAUCUUUUCCUCAUCCUUGUCCUUAGGGAUCACAGGCUCAGGCCCCUGAAUCUCCUUUCCGCUCCUUAGGGUCAUCACGCUUACAUUUUUCGGGUUCAAUUUAGGUUGAGAUGGCAAUUUACCUUGGACUUGGGACUCCAAACGGUUGAUUGUUGUGGCCAUUUGACUCAUCUGAUUUCUUAUGUUCUGCAUUUUGGAGUCCGUCCUUUGCUUAUAUUGCGCGGUGGUUGCUAUCAAUUGUUUCAUCAUCUCCUCCAAAGAUGGACUAGAGCUCGGGGGCGGAGGUGGUCGGGGUUGGUAUUGCUGCUGAUACCCUUGUUGUCUAUUUGGCACGAAAUUAGACUGUCUGUUCUCUCCAUAGUUGAGGUUGGGGUAAUCCCUCCAACCGGGGUUGUAGGUACUUGAAUAUGGGUCAUAGGGCUUCCUUGGCGCGAGCGCGUGUCCUGCCAUGUUCAUUUGCUCUGCACUUUUCUCUUGAAUCAUUGGGCACAUCUCUGUAGAAUGACCCAUGUCAGUGCAAAUUCCGCAUAUCAUGGUAUGAGAUGCAUUUCCUACAGCCAGUUGCCUAACAAAAGAAGUCAACUCAGUCAACUGUUGCUGGAUAGAGGAUGUUUCUACCUCGUUCACUUUGCGUAUCGAGACAUCCUCCCUCGUACCAAACUAUUGCGAGUUCUCAACCAUUCCUUCUAUUAGCUCCCACGCUGCUCGAGGGGUCUUGUUCACCAGUGCCCCUCCACUCGCAGUAUCAAUUAUGCUCCUGUCUCUGAAAAGUAGCCCCUCGUAAAAAUAUUGUAUGAGCAACUACUCACUUAUUUGAUGCUGGGGACACUUGAUGCACAAUUUCAAAAACGCUCUCAGUAAUCAUAGAGCGAUUCUUCUGGAUGCUGCUUGAUACUGCAAAUUUCUUUUCUUAGACUUGCAGCUCUGAAAGCAGGAAAAUACUUAUCUAAGAACUUUUUCUUUAGCUGGUCUCACGUGGUGAUACUACCGGUAGUAGGUAGUACAGCUAGUCCUUUGCAGAGUUCUUCAAGGAAAAGGGGAAUGCCCUCAUUUUUAUUUGCUCUUCUGUGAUUUUCAGGGGUUUCAUACUGUUGCACAUGACAUCAAAUUCCUGCAAAUACUUAUAAAGCUCCUCACCUGGUAACCCAUGAAAAGAUGACAAAAGAUGAAUUAGCCCAGAUUUUAAUUCAAAUAGAGUGUUAUCACUCAAACUUGGAAAAGUAAUGCAUAAAGGUUGCUGAAUUAAAUCAGGAGCAGCCAACUCCCUUAAUAUCUGGGCAUUAGCCAUGGGGACUUCUUCUUGCUCCGAGUCACUCGAAGUGUCACCAAACGAAUCUGUUGAUUCAACUUCUGGCUUAGGUAUCUGAUAUGCAAUACUUGAAUGCUCUUCUCUGAGUUGUCUGGUCUCUUUUCUUGUUCUACGCGCGGUCUUCUCUACCUCAAGGUCAAAAAUUAAUUCACCUGUACGAGAAGAAUGAGGCAUACACUCGAACAGCACUAGAAAAUUAGAACAAAAAUAAAUUUAAAAAGAAAUAAAUAUUAACGCCAGAACUCGGCAACGACGCCAAAUAUUGACAGGUUGUCGGCCUAUGCAAUAAUAAAAUCUGCUCAAACUAAAAGUAAUUUCUGUAGAUAGCGGUGAGUAGGGUCAAAUCCACAGGGAUUGGGAGUAAUUGUUUCUUUUCAAAUUCAUAGUGACAAGGGGGUGUUUUUAUAUCAGGGGUGACAAUUUAAGCAAUUCAAUUAAAAGUAAAAUAAUAAAAAUAAAAUAGCCAACUAGAAAUUAAAUAACAAUUUACUAAAAUCAAAUGAGUGAUAAUUAAGGAUCUAACUAAGGAAUAAUUUCAGCAAUGGUUCACCUAAUUGAUCAUUGAAACAAAGGCAAUUCUAAUUAUUUACUAAUAAAUAGGUUAUAACUGCCAAACAAGCGAUGACAGUCAACCCCUCCUUACUGUGUCGGUAAUUAAGAUACACCCGUUAAUCACUACUCUAAUUGAGAAAUAAUCCUAAGUACGCCCGCAAGAUUUAAUUCCCCAAUUAUCUUACGUAUUAGAGGAGCCCUAUUCUAACCAAAUAACACACGACCAGGGUUAGAUUAACCCGCGUAUUCUCCUGACACAAACCCAAUCAUGCUAGUUAUCACUAUUUUGAGAAUUAAACAAUUACGGAUUUAACGUCUUAAUUGACAAUAAAUUAUCAAAUUAACUAAUUAUCCGAAUCCAAAAUAAUCAAUUAAUUAAAUAACCAUAAGUACUGUAAUCAAAGAAUAUGUAAAUACCAAUAAAUAAAAGAAAAAGAUAAAAUUAAAUCGAUUUCACAAUCUUUAGACAAAUCAAAACUUCCGUUGUUCCUUGAUUAGACAAAGGGAUUUAGCUCAUCCCUUGUCUACUCCUACCGAAAAGAAAAGAAAAGCAACUAAAGAUGAAAGGAAAAGUCAAAGGCUAAGCUCUCCCCCCUGACAUGCAUUGGAAGUAAAAGCUCUAAGAAGAAACCAAAAGGGCAAAGUUCCAAAAGCUAAAGUAGUCCUAAUCCUCUGCAACUCCCUAUCCUAUCAAAAGUCCUACUCUACUUAUUUAUUGUGCGGCGGCUUCAAUGCCUCCCGAAAACUUCGGCCUUUUUAGUUUUUUUUCCUUUCUUGCUGUCUUCGGCCAAAUUACCAAAAUGGGCUCACAUCUCCUCGUUUCAAAAAUGUCCCUGAAUGCCUUCUAUUUGAAUUCUUUCCCGAUGACUGUCAAAUUGGUGUUCGUUGUGGUAUUUUCAUUCUACUCUCUGAAAUAAAUGCAAAUUACAAAAAGUGAGUAGAAUCUAAUAAUUAAUUCACAUCGGGUUAGGUAAUAUAGGAAAUUAAUAAUAAAAUAAAUGAUAAAAUUGCAACCUAUCAAACAGAUAAGCGACGUGACAGAACAGAAAAAUAAAGUCCACGAUAACCUUAAAUUGGGGAAAACUGUCAAAAUAUUUGGUAAAUCACAAAGCUAACACUAAAUUGGGCCAUCUGCUCGAGUAUCGUAUCGUCAGCAAACAGUAGGACUGGUACUUUUGGUCCUUCAAAAUGACUUUCAAUUCUAAAGAUGCAAUUGUUGGAGAAGAACAGAGAGAACAUAUAUUGACUACAAAACACCAAGCAGGUGAAGUAAAUUCCAGAUUAAAGGCUAAUGGAAGCACGAAGAACUACCUGAACGAAUGGCUUUCAUUACAAUUUUCACAACAAAGCACAAGAAUUAGACACGAACAAACCACUUUGGCUGUGCCAGUUUAGCAUCAAAUUAUAUUUAUUCUUUUACCAUUUCAGAUCUUAUAUCAAAUGGCACAAGACAAAAAUUUUGACAGCAUUGAGCAUCAACUUCUUAUAUAGACAAUGACUAUCAGGCUAUCUUCCAGAUAACUUUCCUUUCCACUGACCGGCAAAAGAUGAGAGAGAGUGAAUAAGUAGAUGCUGCACAAACAUCUUUCAUAGCCAAUCCUAGAAGAGCAGAAGUUACGUGGAUAAUGCACAACUAGUACCGGCAACUUAUAAUCAAUGAUGUAGUUCGCCUUCUGAAGUGUUAGAAAACGACUUGUACAACAAACUAAUCAACGCACCAAAGCAGAAUCAUGGUAGAGGCAUCAUGGCAUCAUUAAACGUUAGUUUCACUUUCAAGCAUCAUUUGUCAUAGCCAUUUGCUGAGAGGUAGAGACCACUUUUCUGAGCUCACCCGUCCCAUUCCAACAAGUAUAUAUUAAUGAAUACUUCGUCAAGAUAUUCAUCCAGUUGGUAGUAUUCCUGCUUUUUGCUCAUUUCCAUUUUUCUCUAGCUGGCAGUUGAUCUAUGAGCCAGAAGUUAGGAUAUUUUUCUCUUCCAUCUAUUUCAUUGUAUUUUUUUCCCUUCUUGAAAGAACUUCUCUUCCCACUUUGAUCAGCAACUAACAAAUACUGGACCUUGAAAAUUUCGAAGUGUUGAUGCUGCUUAUUCUUACAAAAAUGCAACAGGAUCGCUGCUAGGAUAAAUCACAACAGAUGUGCCCAAGCCAAAGAAAUUGAUUCUAAGCUAGACUCAUAUUGAUAGAUUUGAGCCACCUGUUGAAGAUGCAGCUUACCAACUAAUUGCAAAUGGGACGUCAGAAUGCAUGCUAAGUCGGAUGAAGAACAUAGCAACAGCCUAAAUACUUAAAAUUUUCUGGUACAACAUCCUUUCAUCUAGUUUGAAAUUCCUCCACCCCCAGGAACUUUCAGCAUCUUUUCGCUGAAUCAGUGAUAUGGGAGAACAAGAAUCCAUGAAAAAUAUCUUCAAGCAAAUUAUUAUUAAAGAUUAAGUACACAGAAAAUAGUACUUAUUAGAACCAGAUUCUCAUGUUUGCCAAGCUGUCAUUAACUAUAUACACCUAUUCUACCCAACAAGGUUGCAAAAGCAAACAGCAUUCUUUGCAUUAAAAAAAAAAGGAAAAAAGAAAGUCUCAGGGCAUUCAGCCAUUUACUUCAAGAAAAGAAACCUACUCUGCAUUACUUAAGCUGAAAUGUAUAAAAGAAAUAAAAAUGUGUACUUGACAUUUAUGCUUGUGCUCAGCUGGUUUUAAGGAUCAUACCAAUUUGUAGCCAGAUUGAAGAGGAUUUUAGGAAUUAGAUAGUUUUGAUUUCAUAAACACAUGACCAUUCAAACCAAAGAAUUGAAAACCUCCAGAAGUUGGUUUGUGAAAUAUCAAUGAUUAUAUCAUUCAACUGAUCCAACAUAUACAAUUAGUCCUGUGGGAGUGGAUCUAACCUCAUGAGUGGAAUUCUUCUCUUCUUUGACCCCUUUUCUGAGUAGAUCUAAUAAUAACGCUCUUUAAGUCCUUGUUUCCCCAUUCUCUCUGUUCUUGCAGAAUUCGCUCCACAGAAUUUACAGCAGACUCACUACACCUUUUCACCUCAAUCAUUUUAAGAGUGAGGCUUUCCCCUAAACAAGGAGGGACCUCUUCCAGCUCCUCACAAAACUCCAAAACCAAUUUCUCAAGACAGGAAAAAUUAUCAGAAGACGCAGUCCACCUACGAAUGUACAACCCUGACAAUUUCAAAAAUCGGAGGUUACGGAAUUCCCCUUCUUCCAUCUCCCAUUCUUCCUCCCGAACGGAACGAUGGCAUAAUUUGAGCACUACAAGGUUGGGCAGAUUUCUUCCAAUUGCUGAAAUUUUUCCCCACGGCCAAUAAUUAUCCGAGAGAGUCAACUUUUUCAAAUUCAAAUUCAAUGAGAAUUCAAACUCAUCUCCGCUAAUCCUGCUUAUCUUAAGUGAUUCUAGUCGACUCAUGUAGUUCAGCAAGGGAAUCUCCUUGCGAUUUCCACCAGAUUCAACUGCUCGGUAACUUUUCCUUUGGAUUCCAUAUGUUAUUGUUAGCCUGCGGGUGCUCUGUAACUUUGCCAGUAUCUUCUGUGCACUUUGAGAAGAGAGAUCGAUUGCAAGGCUUAAAGUGUCUAAAUGUUUUAAAUCAGGGGAGCCUUCAAGAUUGUCCAUGGGAAAUAUGAAACCACAGUCGGACAAUGAUGUGACAAGAUACCUCAAUGUUUCAAUGUUCCAGAUAGUGUUUGGCAACAUAUAAUUUCUACGGCGUGCUUCUACUACAAAAGUUUCUAACCUUGAGAGGUUGGCUAUUGCAGAUGGGAUAUCCCCAACAAAACGUCCAAUUCUCAAGUACCUCAAGUGAAUAAGGAAUACUACUUCCCUUGGAAAAGAUGAAAUCCAAUAAGGAGUGUUCCAGAAAUCCAGCACUCUAAGAAGUUUAGACAGCAGAAAUUUGGAUGAAUUCUUAUCCAGCUGUGUAUAACUAUCACCACAGAAGAGCAAACACCGCAAAUUGGGAAAAAACAGCCUUGAUUUUGUAAGCCCCAUAGUCUUGGUAGGGUGGAUAGACAAUCGAUGGGGCUUGCAUGGUCCAGUAAAAGUUAAAAGGUUAUCCACACGUAAAAUCUGUAGAAAACUUUCUUCUUUAGCUUUCUCCAUGCAAAAUUCAUGUACCAAAUCAUGGAUUCGGCAAGCUUUGAUCCCACCUAAAGAUCUUUGUUGGGGAGCCAUAACUAAACUUCUCCCAAUCAGAUCCAUCAAAUAUUCAUCUGCCACAUCCUCUAAACACUUUCCUUCAGUCUUUUGCACGAAUCCUUCCGAGAUCCAAAUCCAUAACAACCUUCGAAUGGGAAUUUCUUUGUCUUCUUGAAAUGCACCGAAGUAAAGAAGACAUGGCUUCAAAUAAUUUGGUAAAUUAUUGUAACUUAGCUCAAUUGUCUUCAUGCAAUAUUCAUUGUCAACAUAAAUGCUGGAAGUUAAAUGUAUUACAACUUCUUCCCAGCAAUCUUGCUCGGUAGUAGUAAGAAUUCCGGCAACAAGGACAACUGUGAGAGGCAGGCCUUUACAGUAUUUUGCUGCAUGCAGUAAAACAUUGCUUAAUAUUGGGGGACAAUCUUCUUUGGCAAAUAGCUUUUUCUGCAGCAAUUCGCAGCUCUCAUUAUCUGUAAGCGGGCGAAGAUGGUGAGGCUCGCUAUCAAGUUUAAUUUGCAAUGGCAAUUCCUGAAAUCUGCUGGUUAAGAGAAUCCUGCUUCCAUUGCAAUCAUCUGGCAGUGAGAGUUUCAAUAAAUCCCACCCCAGAAUGUCCCAAACAUCAUCCAAAACUAUGAGAUACCUAUUUCCCUUCAACAAUUUGCGUAGCCUGUCAGCCAUAUAAUCUUCAUCUUUCCGAAUAUAUCCAGCUGAGUUCCCAUGAUCAAUAUUACACAACAUUUGAACUAACAAACUAUGCUUGGUAUAUGCUCGAGAAAAACAACACCAAGAACGAAUGUGAAAGUGGGACUUUACCAAAGGAUCACCAUAAACUUUAUUGGCUAAUGUUGUCUUACCAAGACCAGGCAUACCCACAAUGGCAACAAUAUCCAACCGGCUUGGUCCCCUUACAAGUCCAUCAAUUAUAAUUUCCCCCUCGUCAUUGAGACCCACCACAGCUUCAUUAGAUAUUGGAGCAGUAACUUGUGAUGGCAUGGGAAUGGUAGUCUUAACAAUACUCUGGGUUUCAUAGUCAAAUCGUAUGCUAUCAUAAAUCUUUUUGGCCUCAAUCUUCAUAAGCUUGACAUCUCCAGCAAUAACAUCCAAACAAUGUUGAUGUUUUCCACCAGGUAGUGUAGAGUCAAUGAUUAUCUCUGCCCUGUAUGCCAGCUCAAUAAUACGACUCCACAGAGCUUGGAGUUUUUCAUUCCGCUUUCACUGCUCUGCAAUCUUGCCUAGGAAAGGUCUUAAGAAAUCAAGAUCUUCACGAACUGUGUGGAUUUGAUUAUUUGGGAAAGCAAUUGAAUUAGCUGUAGAAUUUUCCAGUUCCUUGAGAGUUUCUAAAAGAAAAUCAAUAGAGCCCAGCUCAUUAGUCCUAGGGAAACUAAUUGAUGAUGAUGGUGGUUGUAGUGGACAAAUCUGUUCAAUUUCUGGAAUAAUGAGCUUGAGCAGUUCGAGCGAAUGAGAAGCCACAAGAUCUAUUUCCUUGGGCAAGCUUUCUGUCAUUUCACUCUUAUAAAGGGAGAAAAUCACAAUUCCAGCAUCACAGACCACAAAUCCAAUAAGAUCCUUCAUUUCAUCAUUUAGCUCAUCGAACUUCUCGUGCUGCUGGCUGAGAAGGACACUCAGGAAUCUUGCUCCCUCAUAGAGUUUUAGUAAUUGAUCCUUCACCGGAAGCAAGAAACUGGUGUAAGAUUCUGUUAGCUCCAUAAUAAUAUGUAAAAGAUGAUCAAUAAAUUCGGCCACUAGGUGCUUAUUCUUCUCCAGGGCUAAAGUGUGUGAUGAUGGUGACAACUUGGAAGCUGUCAAGACGUGGAUAUAAGUUUCUCGGACUUGGAGAUCAACGGGAUCAAUCUUCUUUUGUAUCAG